AAGUUCAGAAUCGAGAGACCACCAAUACAUACAAAAUACAUACAGUCCCAGCACAAGGAAGAAUACCAGGAACACACGCUAGUCCCAGGCAGAUCGAAAAUCAAUCCCAAACUGAAACUGAAGAAGAUAGAACCUGAAGAAGGCUGGACAACUCAAAACGAAGCAACGCCCAAACAAAACCUAGCUGGAAAACACUGAAAAGCACCCACCAGACGUCCAACCAAGCAAGAUGAAGAGCUUGAUUUCUACUUCUUCUUGGUGGAAAUUGAUUUUAACAUUCUGGUUUUCAUUCAUUUUAUGGUCCACAUUUGCUCUGUUUUGGAGUUUUUCUUUUCGGAUUUCUGGGUUGCCUUGGACUUCCAUAGUCAAGGUUCAGAUUCGGUACUCUGCUUGCUGUGUGGUUCAGUUCCAGUUUGUUUGAGGUUUAGUGUUAGUCGGCCUCAAGUUCAGGAUCAAGAUUUCUGGUCGUUUCUUGGCCAGUUUAGGUUCAAGCUGGUGGUCUUCUGGUUUUCUUGCUAAGGUUGGUGUUCCCAGUUUGCGUGCGGGUCUCUUCAGGUCUUCUGGGUUCCAGUUUGUUUCUUCUUACCUGUUUGUUUAUUUGGUUCCCUUCUUGCUGGAGUGUUUUGUUCCUGGGUGUUCUUGGGGUCUUCUUGCAGCUGGGAUUGUUUGUUUCUGUAUGCUUUGAUCGUGGUUAUUGAUUUGUGAUUGUUGCUGGAUUUUCUUGCUGGUCGGUUUGGUUUUCACUCUUGGUGCCGGGCUCCUCCAGUUUCCAUCUUCAGUUUUCGAAUUCUUGGAUGUUUCUAUGGUAUAUCUAUUGUGUAACUAUUGGCCUGGGCUGAUUCUUGCAUAUUUGAAUUUGGUCUUCCCUGCAAUUUUUCAGUUUUGCUGCACACGGUCAGUGGUAGGUAGCUAAUUCCUAUUUUUUUUUAAUCGGUAAAUGUAAAUAUCAUUGAUAAAAAAAUGUUUCAUAUAGAAGUACACCGGGCAUUCCCGGGCGAAUCAAAAGUCAAUAUCACAUACAAUUACUCCGGGCAUAUCCGGGGACACAAAAGAAAGUGAAAUGCAUAAAAAAUCAAUUACUCAAUGCCAAGGAUUCGAAAUGGAUUAAGACAUCCGGAUACAAGGUAAACAUAACUUUGUAUACGUGUGUCUUGAUCCGUCUCACAAUGCAUUCCAAGUCGGGUGAAAGGUCUUCGAAAAUCUUCUUAUUCCUUGUAAGCCAAAUAUAGUAUACGGUGCUAGCAAGAGGAAUCCUCUUUGCCUUACUUAGCCAUGAAAUUCCACGUGCCUCCUUUUUCAACCACUUUAAAGCACUAGCAAGUGUUGACAUAGAUCUCAUAAUUCCGAGUCAUCUCCUAAUAUUCCCCCAUAAGGUAGAUGUGAAAGAACACUUAAAAGGAAAGAUGGUCGUAAAUUUCCACAAAAUGCCCACAAAAAUCACACUUUCAAUCAAUAUUCAAGAAAAGCAAUUUGUCUUUAGUUAGGAGCUUUGAUUGGGCCCCUAACCAAAGCAUAAAAGAAUGCUUUGGUGUGAUGCACGGUAGCCAAACUUCGGCUCCCCAAGUUUUGAAAGUACCAUUAGGCCUAAAGAAAUUAUAGACAAUUUUUGUGCUGAAUUUCUCACUUGUAGAACAGCCCAGAUUUUUGUCAAAAAAUUCUAGAAACUGCAUACAGAAUGAAGCAUUAUGCCCGCCUGUAAUGCUGUCCAAAUUCUGCCCAUUUACCACCCAAUUCUCUGCAUUCCCGGCACUAUAAAUUUAGUUAGAAAUAGCGUGCCGAGAAGGGGAAAAAUCAGCCUUCAUUUGACCUGACACCCCUUGUUGUCCAUAAGUGAAAACCUGUUGGGAAGCACCAUUUACACGAAGGAUGUCCCUAAUUUCCAACAAUUUUUUGAAUAGUGGAGAAUGAUCCUUUCUAGGACGAACCUCUCAUAUGCAAGUCCCAUUAAGAUAAACAUGAUAUACCCACCGAAUCCAUAGAGUGUCCUUUUUAUUGUGAAUGUUCCAAAGGGAUUUAACAAGUAACGCUAAAUUCCAACUCUUCAAGUCCUUUAAUCCAAGGCCCCCUUCCUCUUUUGGAAGGCAAAUAUUCUUCCACGCAACUAGCGGCUUUUUAGAUCCCCAAAGGAAUUUUCGACAAAGACUAACAAUCCUUGAUAUAAUUGUAGCCGGAAUAGGAAAAAUAGAAAGCCAAAAACAUUCAACUCCUUGAAGAACCGCCCUUAUAAGUUCAAUCUUGCCUGCAUAAGAUAAUGUAGAACAAUUCCAUGCACCAAUAUAUGUUGUUAUUUUGUCAAGAAAAGGAGCAUAACAACUUACUUUAAGUUUUUUCGAAGCGAGAGGGAAGCCCAAAUACCGAAAAGGCAUACUCCCCCUCGGAACACUUGUUAAUUCCAAGAUAUCCUCAUGAAGCUGUUCAUGAAUUCCAGCAGUAAACAAGCUAGAUUUAAGAACGUUCAACCUUAAUCCCGAAACCAAUAUUUGAAAGGCAAUCCAUGAUAAUUUUUACCGACAUAACAUCUCCCCUAGCAAAUAGCAUCAAAUCAUUUGCAAAAGCUAAAUGGGUGAUCUUUUGGGGCCACAUUUUGGAUAAAAGUUGAAAUCACUAUCAUUCGUUGUAGCUUUAAGCAAUCUUGAUAGGUAUUCAAUACAAAUCACAAAUAAGAAAGGGGAGAGGGGGUCACCUUGCCGAAUACACUUCCUACCUUUGAAAAAACCAUCAAAGUCUCAUUCAAAGCUAUAGAAUAUGAUGUAGAAGUGACACAUUCCAUAACCCAAUGAACAAAUGUCGAUGGGAAUUGCAACCCAUGAAGAACGUCUCUAAGGAAAUCCCAACAAACCGAAUCAUAAGCUUUUGAAAGAUCAAUUUUUAGGAGGCAUCUUGGAGCAAUCCUUUUUCCUAUUGUAUUGCCUCAAGAGUUUUUGGGCAAAAUGAAUGUUCUCCGUGAUACUCCUACCUUCUACAAAAGCGGCUUGUGCAUGAUCGACCACGUCUCCCAAAAUGGGUCUCAAUCUAGAAGCAAGAAUUUUAGCAAUCACUUUGUAAGUAACAUUACAACAAGAGAUGGGCCUAAAAUCAACAAUAUGCGGGGUGUGAUCCGAUUUAGGCACCAAAGCAAUGGCCGUGUGAUUAAUUUGUUUGAGGAUGGAACCCGAAGAGAAAAAUUCCAUGAUAGCCCCAACAAAAUCAUCACCAAUAGUCCCCCAAGCAUUCUUUAAAAAACAAAAAGUGUAACCAUCCGGCCCGGGAGACUUUUCAUCUCCAAUAUCAAAGAGAGCAUCUUUAAUUUCCUCAUAAGAAAUGUCCUGAAUCAAAUUGUUGCCUUGUUCCAAAGAAACCAAAGGACCAUUAGUAAGAAUCCAUCUCAAUAGGCCUAGUAGGGCAAUUUUUCCCUAGCAAAGAAGUAUAAAAAUUGAUAAAUUCCAUAGCAACUUGAUGUUGUGAUGUAAUAUACCUCCCAUCUUCUUUGAGUCUAGUAGUAAUAAAAUUCUUCCUAGAAUUCCUUUUAACAAUGGAGUGAAAGAACUUUGUGCGUUUAUCACUUUCCUUAAGGAAGAUGCACUUAGCCUUUUGGUAAUAAAAACUACGUUCCGCUUCACAUAAGCCAACGGUCUUCUUCCUCAAUUUUGCAACCAAAAGCUGAAAAUGCAUAUUCAUGGGUUGAUUAUGUAGCUGUAAUUGGGCAGCCUCUAAAUCAUUUUUGGCCUCACUUGCUCUAGCCGAAAUAUGCUCAAAAUGCUUAAAAUUAAGCUCCUUCAAAGCACCCUUAAGUUUUCUCAAUUUCUUGCAAAGGAUAAAUUGUUUUGUCCCUCGCAAGUAAAAAUUCCAGCAAGCACUAAUCAAACCAUUGAAGUUCUUAUGUUUGGUCCACAUAUUAAAAAAUUGAAAGGACUUUUUGUUGUACCAACACGGUCAUGUAUCGAUACAAUGCAUGGGGAGUGGUCGGAAAGGCAUCCAGAAGAAGAGAAAUUUGCUUCAACAAAUGCCCCAUUUUGCACUCAAAAAUCAUUGACCAUUGCCCUAUCAAUUUUGCUCCAAACCGACCCAUUAGUCCACGUGUAAAAAAACCAAUGGAGCGCACAUCCGUAAGCCCACAUUAAGGCAACAAUUUGCAAGAUCUUUAAUUUCAUAAGGGGUAACAUCCGCACCAUUACAUUUCUCAUCAAACUUAAGAACAUUGUUGUAGUCACCAAGAAUCAACCAAGGCAACGACACAUUUUCAUUGAGCUCCAUAAUGAUAUUCCAAAGUGGUCUUCGGUUAACCAUAGUAUGAAAUCCAUAUACAAAACUCACAAGAAAAGUAAAAGAAGUUAUCUUGCAAGUAGCUUUACAAUGGAUAAUUUGUGGAUGAACCUUCAUCACAUCUAAAGAAACUUUGGAUGAAUUCCACAAAAUUAAUAUUCUUCCGGCUCUAUGCGUGCAAAAAUUAUUUACUUGCAUGAAGCCAUCGAACUUAUUUCGCAAAAUCCUCUUCAAUUUUUGGUCCCCCAACUUUGUUUCCAAAAUUCCCAUAAUAUCAAUGCUAUGUAGCUUGAUAAACCCCCGAAUCCCAUUUUGUUUAAGGGGUGAAUUCAUACCCCUUAUGUUUCAAGAAACGAUCUUCAUGAUGUUGAAGCAAGGGAUGAUCCCUUCUUCUCGUCAACUUUUGAUCCUAACUUCUUUUUCUCCUCGACUUUGCCUUUAAGCUUUUCAUUUCCAGAUUUACAUGAAGCUGCCUCAAUGGAAAUGGAUGAUGAAUCUGCCCAGAUUUUGAGGCCCCAACAUGAGCAGAUUUUUUCAUCUCAACAGCCCUGUUUUUCUUGGUAAUAACCUUUACAAACGGUGCCUCAAUCUGCUCGGUAUUUUCCAUCAGCUGGUAGUCCACAUUUUCACUUGCAAACUGCCCAGUUUUUUGGUUAUUAAUUUACCAUUUCAGCCCAUCCAAAGUCCUGAUCAGUUCUGGGAAAUAAAUUCACUUUUUUCGCCCUGCACAAAUUUCUGUUGGGUAGUCUCCGUGGCUUUUCCUUUUCCUUUCUCCCCACAAGUAUGUUUAUUGUUACAUCCAAUAGUCGUGUGACCAAAAACUUUACAAGAACCACAGAAUUUUGGUUCAUGCUCAAAAACGAUUUCUUGUUCCCUCAAUGUGCCAUUUGGGAACCUAAUCUUUACCUCCUGCACAAGUUCAAUGGACGCAUCAACUUCUACUAGAGCUCUUGCAAAAGAUAUUCGACCCCUAGUUGCUGUAAUUUUGUCGGUUGAGAUGGGUUUCCCAACCUUUGACACGAUUUUGCCCAAGGCAUUCGUAUUCCAAAUUCCAAAGGUAGACCUGGUAGGUUUAUCCACACCGGCAUAGUACUCACGUCCUUGUCAAGAAAAUCAAAACAAUGUGACAUAAUUUUAAGCAUUAACGGUCUCCCAAAGACCAAAUAAGGACCCCCAUGCAAAACACUUAGUCUAUCCACAUUCGUUUCGAAUUUGAAGACUAACCAACCACUAGCAUGCACAAAAUAUUUAUAACUCACCUUCUAGGAGUCACAAAGUUGGAAGAGAGCCACUUUGCCCGAAAACCGACCGGCAAAGUAUCCAACAAGCCCGUAUCCCCAAUUCUCAAUGUUGUCUUCAUCCACUUCGUCCAAGACAACUUCAUCCAAUUGAUUUACAAAAGCAUUCAACUUUAUAUUUUCUUCCAUUUUCGAAUUGUCUUUAAAACGAUUGACCCAUGGGGCUUUCAUAUCUUUCACAACCCAAUUUCCAACAACAUUGACAUGUUUAUGUUGCUCCAAUUCCACCGAAUUAGAUUCAAAAUCCGAAAAUUCAGAAUCCGUAUCAUUUUUCCCAAGUGUCAAUGAAACACUAGGUGAAGGCAAGCUGACCUUGUUUUUUUCAGCAACAUUUCCCAUAGAAGAAGUGGCAAAAAAUGGAGCAUCCACAGCUGGACGAGCAGGCAGGGGCUUAAGGGGACUGAGCCCAAGAAGAGAAGGAGAAUGGGCCUUUUUCUUACCCAUAAAAAGCAGUCCAAGAAGUCCAGUAAAGACAAAGAAGAACUGCCCAACACCAGCCCGAAUAGAGAGAAAAAUAAACUGCCCAGCAAAUAAAUUGCUAAACCACACAAAACAAUCCAAAGAAACGUCCAGAAAUCAUGCCCAACACAGGCCCAAAUUGAGGGAAAACAAAGCCCCGAAUAACAUCCAGAAUAAUACAAAUGAGAAGGCCCAAAGUGAGGAAUAAAUGAUCCACAAGAAGUCAGCCAAAACAGGCCCAAAGAAACGUCCAGAAAAGGGCCACAAAAUCCCCAAGAAAUCCGUCUAGAAAAGGCCCAAAGAAAACGUCCAGGCAGAAAAUAAGCUGAAAAAAGGCCCAACACAAACCAAUUAAGAAACAAUCCAAAGAAAGGCCCAACCACAAGAACAAAACCAGCAAUGGACCGGGUCACCAGGGGGACAAAAAUGCCAGAAAUGGAAGCUGCCAAGGAGUAAGAAUAUUGUACCACACAGAGUGCCAAACACAGACCAAGUAAGCCAAACCUACAAGAAUACAGCCACCAACCCUAACACCCAGCAGAAGAUAAAAGGAAUGUAGGGAAGACCAAUUCAAAAAACUGAGGAGACCGAUAGAUACACAAUAUAUACAAUAAUAUACUGUUGUAACACCAGAAAAUGGGCCAGAAAGUUUAACCAAGUAGCACAAAGUUUAACCAAGUAGCUCCAACUAGAAAACGACGAAGAUGAAGACCGAAAUUGGAGAAUAAAAUCGAUCAGCAAUUGAGAAUCGAAAAAGGAACUAUGAACCUUCAGAACUUAGAACAGCAACAAUGAAGCAAUGCCAACUAAACCAACACAGAACUGAAGGCCAUCCAGCAAGAAGAAAAAUCCAAUGACCAAGUUGAACAGAAAACCAAGCAGCAGGGCACUGGCUGAACACAAAUGCACCAAGAACAAACAAAAGCAAACUAAAAACUAGAGAACCUGAGCUUGCCUUAGAUGACCAGCAAUACCACAAACCAAACCAGCACCAAAAUUGAACGAAGAAGCUCCAACCAGAAAGAAAGUAUGAAUAUCGAAACUGAAGAACCAACUUAGCCAGAACUAAAAACCAAACUUGGAACUCUGAAGAAGAUGAAAAUGGAGGCUCAAUUCAAAACUCACAAAGAGCAUAACAUAAACAAAAAUCAAUAUGUAUUAAUUCAAUUUUCACAAAAAGAUUAGUAAAAUCAAACUAAAACACAAGAGAAAACACAAGAAAACUCUCAAAGCAAGUGUGCACCAAAGUGGGAUUUUCUCUCACUAGGUUGAGAGCAUCUCUCUCUAACUCACUUAACUGACCGAGAGCUCUUUAGCUGAUUCCUAUUGUUCCUUUGACUUUGAGUUGCUUCCACUUUGGAUGUAUUGACAUUUAUUAAUUGUUGCUUGUUUUGGGACCUUUCUAAGUUAUUUCUGGCGGCAUCUGGCUUUCCCUUUUUGGAAAGUUUUUCAAAUACAUUUAAUUCUGAUUUCGUUGGCUUUGUUGUGGAUCGGGUUCUUUGUUUGGGCCUAUUUUGGCUGGCUAUUAUUGGAUCAAUUUUUCCUCACUCUGGGCCAUUUCAAUUGGAUUAUUCUGGUCAUGGAUUCUGGGCUUUACUUUCCCUCAUUUCUACCUUAUUUUGAUAUUGUGGGGCUUUAGUUCUGGACGGUUCCUUUGGGCCUAUGUUGGGCAUAUUUCUAGACACUUUCUUUGGGUGGUUUGGUGUGGAUUAGCAGUUUAUUUGCUGGGCAGUUUUUCUCUCAAUUUGGGUCGGUGCUGGGCAAUUCUUCUCUUUCUUUGUUGGACUUCCUUUGUUUGGACCUCUUGGUCUGAUUUUCCAUAGGGAAGAAAAAGACACGUACUCCUUCUCUUCUUGGGAUCGGCCCCUUUAAGCCUCAGCUUGCUCUUCCAGUUGAGGAUGUGUCGAUUUCUGCCACUACUUCAAAGAUAAUUGUUGCUGAAAAUAACAAGGUCAGUUUGCCGUCACCUAGUGUUUCAUUGGCACUUGGGGAAAAUGAUACGGAUUCUGAAUUUUCGGAUUUUGAAUCUAAUUCGGUGGAAUUGGAGCAACAUAAACAUAUCAAUGUUGCUGGAAAUGGGGUUGUGAAAGAUAUGAAAGCCCCAUGGGUCAAUCUUUUUAAAGACAAUCGGAAAAUGGAAGAAAAUAUAAAGUUGAAUGCUUUUGUAAAUCAAUCGGAUGAAGUUGUCUUGGAUGAAGUGGAUGAAGACAACAUUGAGAAUUCUUGGGGAUACGGGCUUGUUGGAUACUUUGCCGGUCGGUUUUCGGGUAAAGUGGCUCUCCUCGAACUUUAUGAUUCGUGGAAGGUGAGUUUUAAAUAUUUUGUGCAUGCUAGUGGUUUUUUAGCCUUCAAAUUUGAAACAGAUGUGGAUAGACUUAGUGUUUUGCAUGGGGGUCUUUAUUUGGUAUUUAGGAGACCGUUAAUGCUUAAAGUUAUGCCACGUUGUUUACAUUUUGAUGACAAGGACGUGAGUACUAUGCCAGUGUGGAUAAACCUACGGGGUCUACUUUUGGAAUUUUGGAAUACGAAUGCCUUGGCAAAAUCGUGUCAAAGGUUGGGAAACCCAUCUCAACCGACAAAAUUACAACAACUCGGGGUCGAAUAUCUUUUGCAAGAGCUCUAGUAGAAGUUGAUGCGUCCAUUGAACUUGUGCGGGAGGUAAAGAUUAGGUUCCCAAAUGGCACGUUGAGAGAACAAGAAAUCAUUUUUGAGCAUGAACGAAAAUUGUGUGGUUCUUGUAAAGUUUUUGGUUACACGACUAUUGAUUGCAACAAUAAACAUACUUGUGGGGACAAAGGAAAAGGAAAAACGACGGGGACUGCCCAACAGAAAUUUGUGCAGGCUGAAAAAAGUGCGUUUAGUCCCCAGAUUCCUCCCCCGAGACAGCUUUAAAUGAGCAACAAACGGGGAAAAAACUGACCGGGACUUUGGAUGGGCAGAAACAACAGAUUAAUAAUCAAAAAAUUGGGCAGUUUGCAAGUGAAAAUGUGGAUGACCAACUAGUGGAAAAUACCAAGCAGAUUGAGGCACCGUUCGUGAAGGUUAUUACCAAGAAAAACAGGGAUUUUGGGGCGAAAAAAUCUGCUCAUGUUGGGCCCUCAAAAUCUGGGGUAGAUUCAUCAUCCAUUUCCAUUGAAGCAGCUUCUUGUAAAUCUGGAAAUGAAAAGCUUAAAGGCAAAGUCAAGGAGAAAAAGAAGUUAGGAUCAAAAGUUGACGAGAAGAAGGGAUCAUCCCUUACUUCAACAUCAUGAAGAUCGCUUCUUGGAACAUAAGGGGUAUGAAUCCACCCCUUAAACAAAAUGGAAUUCGGGAGUUUAUCAAGUUACAUAACAUUGAUAUUAUGGGAAUUUUGGAAACAAAGUUGGGGGACCGAAAAUUGAAGAGGAUUUUGCGGAAUAAGUUUGAUGGCUUCAUGCAAGUAAAUAAUUUUUACAUACAUAGAGCCGGAAGAAUAUUAAUUUUGUAGAAUCCAUCCAAAGUUUCUUUGGAUGUGAUGGAGGUUCAUCCACAAAUUAUCCAUUGUAAAGCUACUUGCAAGGUAUUUAUUUUUACCUUUCUUGUGAGUUUUGUAUAUGGAUUUCACACUAUGGUUAACCGAAGGCCACUUUGGAAUAUCAUUAUGGAGCUCAAUGAAAAUGUGUCAUUGCCUUGGUUGAUUCUUGGUGACUACAACAAUGUUCUUAAGUUUGAUGAGAAAUGUAAUGGGGUGGAUGUUACCUCUUAUGAAAUUAAAGAUGUUGCAAAUUGUUGCCCUAAUGUGGGUCUUACAUAUGUGCAUUCUAUUGGUUGUUUUUACACGUGGACUAAUGGGUCGGUUUGGAGCAAAAUUGAUAGGGCUAUGGUCAAUGAUUUUUGGGUGCAAAAUGGGGCAUUUGUUGAAGCAAAUUUCCUUCCUUCCCAAUGCCUUUUCGACCACUCCCCAUGCAUUGUCUCGAUACAUGACCGUGUUGGUAGAGCAAAAAGUCCUUUCAAGUUUUUUAAUAUGUGGACCAAGCAUGAAAACUUCAAUGAUUUGAUUAGAGCUUGCUAGAAUUUUUACUUGCGAGGGACAAAACAAUUUAUCCUUUGCAAGAAAUUGAGCAAACUUAAGGGUGCUUUGAAGGAGCUUAAUUUUAAGCAUUUUGAGCAUAUUUCGGCUAGAGCAAGUGAGGCCAAAAAUGAUUUAGAGAUUGUCCAAUUACAGCUACAUAAUCAGCCCAUGAAUAUGCAUUUUCAGCUUUUGGUUGCAAAUUGAGGAAGAAGACGAUUGGUUUAUGUGAAGCGGAACGUAGUUUUUAUUACCAAAAGGCUAAAUGUGUCUUCCUUAAGUAAAGUGAUAAAUGCACAAAGUUCUUUCACUCCAUCGUUAAAAGGAAUUCUAGGAGGAAUUUUAUGGCUACUAUACUCAAAGAAGAUGGGAGGUAUACUACAUCACAAGAUCAAGUUGCUACGGAAUUUGUCAAUUUCUAUACUUCUUUGCUGGGGGAAAAUUGCCCUACUCGGCCUAUUGAGAUGGAGAUUCUUACUAAUGGUCCUUUGGUUUCUUUGGAACAAGGUAACAAUUUGAUUCGGGACAUCUCUUAUGAGGAAAUUAAAUAUGCUCUUUUUGAUAUUGGAGAUGACAAGUCUCCCGGGCCGGAUGGUUACACUUCUAAUUUUUUAAGAAUGCUUGGGGGACUAUUGGUGAUGAUUUUGUUGGGGCUAUCAUGGAAUUCUUCUCUUCGGGUUCCAUCCUCAAACAAAUCAAUCACACGGCCAUUGCUUUGGUGCCUAAAUCGGAUCACACCCCUCAUGUUGGUGAUUUUAGACCCAUCUCUUAUUGUAAUGUUACUUACAAAGUGAUUGCUAAAAUUCUUGCUUCUAGAUUGAGACCCAUUUCGGGAGACAUGGUUGAUCAUGCACAAGCCGCUUUUGUGGAAGGUAAGAGUAUCAUGGAGAACAUUCAUCUUGCCCAAGAACUCUUGAGGCAAUACAAUAGGAAAAGGGUUGCUCCAAGAUGCCUCCUAAAAAUUGAUCUUUCAAAAGCUUAUGAUUCGGUAAGUUGGGAUUUCCUUAGAGACGUUCUUCAUGGGCUUUAAUUCCCCUCAAGAUUUGUUCAUUGGGUUAUGGAAUGUUUCACUUCUAUAUCAUAUUUUAUAGCUUUGAAUGUGACUUUGCAUGGUUUUUUCAAAGGUAGGAAGGGUCUUCGGCAAGGUGACCCCCUCUCCCGUUUCUUAUUUGUGCUUUGUAUUGCAUACCUAUCAAGAUUGCUUAAAGCUGCCACGGAUGAUAGUGAUUUCAAUUUUCACCCAAAAUGUGGCCCCCAAAAGAUCACCCAUUUAGCUUUUGCAGAUGAUUUGAUGCUAUUUGUUAGGGGAGAUGUUAUGUCGGUAAAAAUUGUCACGGAUUGCCUUUCAAAUUUUGGAUCGGCUUCGGGAUUAAGGUUGAAUGUUCUUAAAUCUAGCUUUUUUACUGCUGGAACUCAUGGACAUAUUCUUGAGGAUAUCUUGGAAUUAACAAGUGUUCCGAGGGUAGUAUGUCAUUUCGGUAUUUGGGCAUCCUCCUUGCUUUGGAAAAACUUAAAGUAGGUUGUUGUGCUUCUUUUCUUGACAAAAUAACAACAUAUAUUGGUGCAUGGAAUUGUUCUACAUUAUCUUAUGUAGGCAAGAUCGGACUUAUAAGGGCGGUUCUUCAAGGAGUCGAAUGUUUUUGGCUCUCUAUUUUCCCUAUUCCGGCUACAAUUAUAUCAAGGAUUGUUAGCCUUUGUCGACAAUUCCUUUGGGGGUCUAAAAAGUCAUUAGCUUCGUGAAAGAAUAUUUGCCUUCCAAAAGAGGAAGGAGGCCUUGGAUUAAAGGACUUGAAGAGUUGGAAUUUAGCGUUACUUGCUAAAUCCCUUUGGAACAUUCACAAUAAAAAGGACCAUGUGGGUUUGGUGGGUUCAUCAUAUUUAUCUUAAUGGGACUUGCAUAUGGGAGGUUCGUCCUUGGAAGGAUCAUUCUUCACCAUUCAAAAAACUGCUGGAAAUCAGGGACAUUCUUCAUGUAAAUGGUGCUACCCAACAGUUUUUAACUUGUGGACAGCAAGGGGAGUCGGUUCACAUGGUGGCUGGAAUUUCCCCAUCUCGGCAUGAUGUUUCUGGCCGAAAUUAUACUGCUGGAAAUGCACAGAACUGGGGGGUAACUGGGCAGCAUUAUAGGUGGGCAGAAUGCUUCAUUCAGUAGGCAGUUUCUGGAAUUUUUCGACAAAAAUCUGGGCUAUUCUACAAGGGAUAAAUUCAGCACAAAAAUUGCCUAUAAUUUCUUUAGGCCUAAGGGUACUUUCAAGAGUUGGGGAGCCGAAGUUUGGAAACCGUGCAUCACACCGAAGCAUUCUUUUAUGCUUUGGUUAGGGGCCCAAUCAAAGCUCCUAACUAAAGACAAAUUGCUUUUCUCGGAUAUUGAUCACAAGUGUGAUUUUUGUGGGCAUUUUGUGGAAACUUGCGCCAUCUUUUCUUUAAGUGUUCCUUCACAUCUCCCUUAUGAGGGAAUAUUACGUGAUGGCUCAGCAUUACGAGAUCUAUGUCAACACUUGCUAGUGCUCUAAAGUGGUUGAAAAAGGAGGCACAUAGGACUACUUGGAUAAGUAAGGCGAGGAUUGCUCUUGCUAGCACCGUAUACUACAUUUGGCUUACAAGGAAUAGGAAGAUUUUCGAAGACCUCUCACCCGACUUGGAUUGCAUUGUGAGACGGAUCAAGACACACGUAUACAAAGUUAUGUUUACCUUGUAUCAGGAUGUCUUGAUCUAUUUCGAAUCCUUGGAAUCGGGUCAUUGAUCUUUCAUGCAUUUCACUUUCUUUUAUCUCUCCCGGGUAAGCCCGGAGUAAUUGUAUGUGACAUUGGCUUUUGAUUUGCUCGGGAAUGCUCGGUGUACUUGUAUAUGGAACAUUUUUUAUCAAUGAUAUUUACAUUUACCGAUAAAAAAAGCAAGAUGAAGAACUGUCAGCAUUAAAGACAACACCAAAAAGCUAAGGGAAUCAAGACGGAACAGCAGAAAUCACAAAUGCCAGGACCGAACGAAGAAAAACAACCAAACACAGAUUCAAACCAGCCUCACUUCCCAACUCCAUUCACAACCUAGCUUCAAAUCUGAAUCCAAAUGGAGCUUGGAGUGUAUAACUGGAUUAGCCCCCCAAUCACAACCCAGCAAGACGACUAAAAUGCACUGGUCGUAACUUAAGAGACCAUGCACAAGCUGAAGCAAACAGGAAACCCAGUGGACCAAAAACUGCCUUGGACGAAUAGCAAUUACACCGACUGAACCAACACCGAAAUCUGGCCAAGUAUCUGAAACCAGAUUCAAAGCAGCUAGACUGAAAACUGCCUUAAAUACAAAUCGAACUAGAGCUGAAAACCAACUUGCAGCUUUCAAACUUUGAAAACUGAACACAAACGAUUUGAAAAUCCCUCCAAAAACCAGAUUUAAGUAGGACCAAGUAAAAUGCAAUAUGUUUAAAUUCAAUUUUCACCAAAAGGAAGUAAAAAUUGAACCGAAACACAAGAAAAGUCUCAAGAAGCCAAGGCACUUAAGUGGGAUUUUCUCUCACUAGAAUUGAGAGCAUCUCUUUCUAACCUUGAUUGAGAGCUCUUUCUAGAUUCUGAACAUACUUAUUCUUUAUUUUUAUAUUAGAUCACACAAUUUUCAAUUAUAGUAUUUUAUUCAAAUUUAUGCACAAUAAAUAUAAUAACGUAAACAUGUUUAAUAAUGUUACAUUAAUCACAUCAACAAAAUAGAAAUAAAAUUUAGGUAUACCAAAAAGGGGCAAUUCCUUUAAAUUUCUAACUAUUAUGCUUUGAAUUAGUGCAAGUUUGGUUCAAUAAAAUAUAUUUGUCUAUAUAAAACAUCACGGAGAUUGAAAAUGCUAUGAAUGAACAAGGACCCAAUGAAACUCAGUGUCAACAAAGGCAUCUUGAGCCCAAUUGAUAUGGUUAGAUUAAUUAUUAUUGGCAUAAUGAAGUUGAACUAAUUAAGGAUCCAUGAUUUUCUUCAAGGCAAGAUCUUGAUACGGUGUCUGGUUUUGGCUCAAGUUUUUGAUAUUCUACUUGGAAGAAUCAGUUUUGUUCUCCCUGAAAUUUGGAAGUGCAGCACCUUUCCAUAAUUUUCUUGCAAUUCCUUCAAGUUUUGACCGUAUAGAUCCAUUCCAGCACUAAAUUUGCAACAUUUCUGUUGUUUCUUCAGUUUUUGACGACUAGUUUGGGUUGUCGGAAUUACAGUGGUGCCGAAAAAUAUUUUGGAAAGAGCAAAUUUCAGGCCGUUAUUGCAAGGUAUCCAUUUUUUUCCAUUUUGAAAUACGGGAAAAAAGUCAAGUAGAAAUAAUAGUGGGCAGUUUCAACUUGUAUUUAGUAAGUUACCAAAUCCAGCACUUGGCAAAAAAUCUGGAGAAUUACCUAUUGAGGCUGGAUCCAAUUCAAAAAAAAAAAAAAAAAUCUAGCACAUGGAAAUUUCCAAAACGAAUUUCCAGCACUUGGCCAAAAAUCUGGGGACUUACCAUUUGAGGCCGAAUCCAAUUCAAGCAGAAUUUCAGCACAUUGAAACAAUGGCAGUUCCACAUCCAACCCUGUGGAUUCUAUUAAGGCCUUCUGGUAGGAAUUCUACCAAGCAAAUUUUUAAAUUACCUAGUGUAUCCCAGACACUUGGUGAAGAGGAUACAGAAUCGGAGGAAAAAUCUACUGCAGCACAUCAGGUAAAUACUCCUGCCCAAGAAAAUAAAUCUGAUGAAACCAAGGCUCAAUGAGCUAAUUUAUUCAAGGAGAAUUGUGAGAGUGAGAAUGGUUUCAAGCUCAAAACCUGCAAAAAAUUGCCGAAUAUAUUGGUUUUUUUAGAAAAUGACUUUGAUGAUGAUCAAACAGCAUGGGGUUACUGAUGAGUGAUUUACACUUAUUAUAUUAUGCCAUUAAUUUCAUGAUUUUGCUAUCUUGGAGAGUAUUUUAGAAGUGCUAACAAGUGAUUUUGGUGUUGUUUUGUAGAUUGAUGGAAGUGGAGAAAACAAGAGCUAAAAGAGGCCAAAGGAAGGAAAUAGGCAAAAGUUAGCGAAAUUGGAUGAAAUAACCAAAAUGUAAGAGAUCCAAAAUUUGAGGAUUAAAAUGCAAUUAAUCAAAAGUCGUGUUGAAACUCGUGAUGAAGAUUUGAGAGUACUAGGAGUCAAUUGGAUGAAUGAAGGUGUCAAAGGGAUCAAAUUUAGUCAAAAUAUGAUCACAAAUCAUUUUCCAACCGAAAAGUUACGCGUCGGAGUUUUGGUCUCAUAUUGAGACUCAUUUUUGACAUAGAAAAAAAUCGAAUUGAAGAAUGAUGCCUGCUAUAAAGUUGUAGCCCUUUGAAUUAUCUUUUCAACGCAUCUUGAAUCGCCUCGAUCAGAUAUCGGGAAAAAGAAUUAUGAUAAAAAUACUGAAAGCUGUGCAGUGCAACCGAGGUAGUCCUCAGUGCCCAGGCACUAUCCCUCAUCGCCCAAGCGCCCAUCUUGCUGAAAACAAGCAGAAAGUCAAUGCCCAGGCGCCAUUAACGCAGCGCCCAGGCCCUGCAUUCCGAAACAAAAGAAAAUUCUGAUUUUAUAAUAUUUUCUAGGCCCAAUUAGUAACCUGUUGUUCCCUAAAUUCCAAAACACUAUAAAUACACAAUUGAAGACCUAAAUUAAGAGAGAGCCGCAAACUAAAAAUCCAUGGGAUCAAGUUGUUGGGAAUCUACUUAUACAUGCACAGCGAAAGAUUAAAAUUAUUUCAAUUCCCACCGAGAAUCCCUUUGUGCUUAGAUAGAGAUCGUGAUAAAGAUUGUACCUUUGAAGAAUUCUGCAAACCUUUUGCUUUUCUUUUCGUUCCAACAAUCUUAAAUCUGCCUCCCACAGCUGUCCAAUUAUCCAGCCUCCAAUGAAAUCCACACAGAGAAUAGACUGUAACUGCUAGGAUUUUUCCUCUUGUGCCAGCAAGAAUAAUGAAAAUCAUAUGGAUCUCAAACCCUAGCUAUGUAUUUAUAUAAACCCAAACGGGCUCGGCCCGGUCCGGUCCAAUAUUUAAUUAAUCCAUUUAAUUAAAUCCGGUCCGUGAAUUAAUAAAUCCAAUUAAUUAAUUCGGGACUAUAAAUAACCAAUCCAAUUAAUUAAUUUUAUCCAAUGAUUGGAUGAAUUAAUUAAUUGGCAAUUUGCAAUCUUCCAAUUCUCUUUUGUGUGCGACCCAUUAAGUUCCCGACCAUGAUGCCUAACGACGUGAAAUAUUAUUUUGAUCUUAUCAGAACUGAUAAAUUAAACACCCUUUUAAUUUAUCACAAAUUCACACUCGCCGUCCCAGAUUGACAUCUAGCAAUGUAUGAGGGCAAUACAUGUGACGGAAAAUGUCACGUGAUAUGACAAAACCAAAACUGUUCGUUUACCAAGAAACUAUAAUCCCUUCGUCAAUAUGAUCCCAUCAACUACGAGAUAUGGAAGUGUGUCAAUCUCAAUUAUCGAUCAUAUCUUUCAUUCUACUAUUAAGCCAAUAUAAGUCGAAAACUCCAUUUCGACUUAUAUGUAUACUUUGGCCAUGGAUUUCGUUAUUGACUUAAUUGAACGAAAUGCAGAUCACAAUCUCUUACUAUCUAAGAGUGACAAAUCCUCUAUUGGUCAUUCACAACCUUCAUAUGGUUCUUGACAUACCCGAACGAUGUCGUAUUAGCGGCCCUUGGCAUAGCAACAUCCAACACCGUCAAAGCAUGAUUGUCCUCAUACAAGGCACUAUGAUGACCUCAAGUCAUAGGAUCAAUUCCACUACCAAACGUUAGAAAUUAACCAUUGACACUCAAAUAGUUAUCCAUGUGGAAUCUCUUAGCGGGUCUCCAAUGUUUUGUUCUAUAACAAAACAUCCACGUGUUCAUUUAAGUGUCACCACACUUUAGCUUGUGAGAUCAGCUACUUACUUCACAAGUAAGAAAUGCCACACGUGAUGGUCUAUCCGUAAUAACGAUAUCCGUAUCUCGUUAUUACUUACGACCACGGACGAUUUAAGAUUCAAUCAGAUAUAAUUUGUAUCUCACAAUCAUAACUCCUUGUGAUUAACAAAUUAUAAAGAUUUGAAUGUACGGACUCUACUAUUUAAUUAAUUGUCUAUUAAUUAAAUAAUAGAUGUGCUAUUAAAUUGCAUUAAUUAUAUAUCAAAAUUAUUUAUGUCCAAAGUUGAUUGGACCUAUGGCAUAAUACUUACAAACUCCCACUUGCACUAGAUUCAAUCACUUAUGUAUCCAAUAUCAUAAGUCUACAUGACGAUCAUGUUUAUGCUAUGACAACUCUUUAUCAGUGGAUCUACAAUAUUGUUAAAUGUGGGAAUUUGUUCUUCUCUUUACGUCAUUUCUAUGCAUUAUCUUUCUGAUGAGAUUAGACUGCCUUAAUACAUGUUUGGAUCAUUGAUGAGACCUUAGUUCUUUUGCUUUCGCAAUGGCUCUAUUGUUAUGACAAUACAAUGGCAUGUGAUCAACAAUAUCAAGAACUACUCCAAGUUCAUUUAUGAACAUCAUGAUCCAGAUUUCAACUCUUUGCUACUUUUGAAGCAAUCAUGUAUUAAGUUUCUACUAUUGAAUCAACGGUUGCUUCACGUUUGGAACCUUUUCAACAAACCGCUUAAGAGUAAACUAGUUUCUCGAUAUGAAAUCUUCUCAAGAUUUCAUCUAUGUAAAUUGGGAUGAGUUAAGCGAUUUCUAGAUCUACCUCUAUAGAUCAAGUUGCUUCUCCCAUAUCGUUCAUGAAUAAAUCCUUUAACAACCAUUAUUUCCACGAUUGAAACAUAGGAAUGUCGUUUUCUAUAAUAUUAGGAAUACGACAAUGCUCCCACUAUCUUCUUGUAAACACACAAUUCGUCUUCAAAUUUGAUAAAAUCAAACAUUUUGACUUUUUCAUCAAAUCUAAGAUUUAAGCUCCAAGAUACUUCUUUUAACCUAUAAUCACAGUAAGCAACUGUUGCAAGCAAAACCCGAAUAGACUUCAACAAGGCUACAAGAGAAAGGUUUCACCAAGGUCAACACUUAACUUUUACUUCUAGCCUUGCUUUGUAUAUAUGGAUAUUCCCAUCCAUAUUGACUUUUUCUUUGUAAACUAUUUACAAAAAUCUAUGGGUUUUAUUCCAUUAGGAGGCUUGACCAAGGCCCAAACCUUAUUCACAUAUGUCGAGUUCAUCUCGAGUUUCAUGGCCUCUUGCUGUUUCUUUUAAGUCAACACUUGACUUUAUUUUGGUACAAUUAGUAGGUUCAUCAUCCUGGAUCAGUAAUACCUGAUUAGCAAUCAUGGAUUCAUACCUUCUUGAAAGUUGAAUGAUCCUACUAGAUUCACAUAGAGCUAACAUGUCCUCAGGAGUCUUUACUUCCUGAUCAAGAGUAUGUCCCAUAUCAGAUAUGAGAUCAAACUCGGAUUCAUCUACUUGGCUAACUAUAUUUGUAGGCUCUUGAACUCUUUCAAGUUCUAUUUUGCUCCUACUGUCCUCCCCUAGAGUAAACAUUUUCUCUAAGAAGACGAUAUGUCGUGAGAUGAAGACUUUCUUCACAAUAAUAGAAUUUAUAUUCAAAUAUCUGCUUUGAAUAUCCCACAAAUAUGUGUUUAUCGGAUUUAGUCUCAAAUUUAUCCGAUUCAAGGCGCUUCAAAUAAGCGCCAUGGCCCCAAACUUUCAUAUGAGAUAAAUUGGGACUACUACCUUUCCAUAACUCGUAUGGAAUUCUGUUAACCAACUUAGGUGUGACAUGAUUUAGUGUGUUGCACACUGCAAUCAAUACAUAACCCCAAAACAAUUUUAGGAGAUUUGCAUGACUUGUUAUUAACCGCAUUAUAUCUAAUAAUUAACGUUUCCUCCUUUUAGAUACACCAUUAUGCUGCAGUGUAUAUGGAGGAGUCCACUGCAAGAGAAUCUCAUUCUCUCUUAGAUAAUCUAAAUUUUACCUUUAAGAAAAUUUCACUCGAUCGAAUCUUAAUGUGAGGGUAUCUUUACCUAUUUGUUUCUCUACUUCUAGUUUGAAUCCCUUGAACUUUUCAAGAGUUUCAUGUAUGAGUUUUCAUCAAGUAUACAUGAUCAUUGAUGAAAUAAGAGAAAUAUUACCUGACAUUAAUUGACACGAGUCCAUAUGCAUCCCUAUGCAUUAGACCAGUAAUUAUGCUGACCUUUCUUCUUUUCAAGUAAAAUAAGAUUUGGUCAUUGUGUUAGACAUGCAUAAUUUGUACUUGUCAAAAUCAAUUAAUCCCAAAUAUACAUCUCUAUGUAACUUUGGAAUUACUUUUCAUCUAUAUGACAAAGUCUGUCAUGCCAGAUUUCGGUAAUAAUUAGAUUAUCGCAUUUAUGCCUUAUAAUUUCUAUACUCAUUAUAGAAUCCUUAGUAUUUAGAAUAUAAAUGUUAUUUUUUAACUUACCAUAGCCAUUAGGAUCUUUACUAAGAUAAACAAGAACAACAAUUGUCCUUAACAUUAAAAUAGUUCAUGUUCGAACAUAAAAUUCAUUUUAAUGUUCCAGCUAUGGUGGGUACAAAGCAACAUUUCUCUAAUUCCAUUACUAAGUCAAGAGGCAACGGCAAGAAGUAUGCUCCUAUAGGCAAUGCAGCAACCUUUGCUCAUCUUCAACGUGUAGGUCAACUUCUCCCUUUCGCAGUGGUCUACUUCUAUUUAGUUUCUCCAUAUUUGUAUAAACAUGAGAUCUACAUCUAGUAUCAAAUACUUAAGAAACUCGUGAAGUAGACGUAAGUCAUGCAACAUCUUCUAAUGACCUUUCAUUCUAUAAUGAAAACAAGUGUAAUUAAAUUUGAUAUUGUCCUUCGCUUAGACUGUCUUAACCUUAUUGGGUGCUUUCUCAAAAACCCUUUAGAUUUCCUCUUAACACUCUUAGAAGAAUCAAUGGUUUGCCCACUACCAAUUUUGAUAAAGGGCUUGACAGUUCUAAGCAUGUUAAGCAACUUAAUGAGUAUGCAUUCGAGUAUAUUCAUAUCAUAAUUCAUAAUUAGUAUGAAUAACUGUAUGACAGAGAUUACAGAGCUAAGUGAAUACUUAGUUCAUAGUUAAUGAUUGAACUCAAUUGAAACACUUUUCAUGUCGAUCAUCUUUAGCACAUGAUGAUUGACUGAAGAUUCUUUUGUCACUUUGCAUCAGUAUAGUUGUUUGAAAGUCUCAUAUCCUUCCACACAUGAUUAUUAUCAUACAACUCUUUGUAAUGAAGAAUUAUGUGUUAACAUCUAUACUCUCAAGUUGCUUUUGUAACUCAGGUGACAUAGUUGCAAGUAUCAUAUAUGUUGCAGUACUAUUGUCAUCACUGCGUUUAUUACAGUAACCACCUCUUCUUUAAUCGAGUCAUCAGCAGGUAUCUCUGGAAAGGGCUACUCAAGGACUUGACCAAUUUUCUCAUGCAUGAGAACAAUUCUCAAAUUGUGGUGUCAAUUAAGAAAAUCUAGUUUGGUUGUUGGCAUCUAGUAUGUCAUUCAAAUACAUAUGGUUACUCACGAUUCAAUAAGUAUAAAUGACGAAAAAUGAAAGAAUAAUAUAUAAAAUACAUCAAUUAAUUUAACAUGGACUUUUGUUAAAUUAAUUAUGCUCCCACUAUUUAAUUCAAAUUUAUGACCCUCUUACAUAAAUUUAUGGAGUCCAUACUCGACUCCCAGUGGGCUGGCCCAUCUGUUAAACUAAGACCUUGAGUAUACUCAACAAGUCUUAAUAUAACAUUUGGGUAGAUACUAUUAUUAAUUGUAUCUCCAUACAACUCCAAGAUCAUGAAGCUGACAAAUCUUUGUCUUCACACAUCUUAUGUGUUAGCUUGACAUGCCUCUAAAAUUUAUCUCUUUGAGUGUACUCAAUAAAAGAUAAAUUUUAGUUAAAUCGAACCCAUCAUUCACAAAUAUCUAAUAUUUCAUAAUGUCAAAUAUAUCCCUAAUAGACCAGCCUUGAGUGUACUCAACAAGCUGAGAUGAUUUGAGACUCUGGUUUUUCACUAUAAUAAUAGAAGGUAAUCAUAAAUGUGACAUAAUAUUUUGUGGAGGGAUUUUGCAUUCAAAAGUCUCAUCAAACCAAUAAUAUAUAUAUUUUAUUAUACAUUUACCAUGCAAUUAUAUAUAUAUAUAUAUAUAAAACAUAAUAUAAUAGUGUGGACGAUUAUGGACUUUACUAUCUAGUCUUCCCGAGCCAUAAGGAAGACUAAUUAGUCAAUUUCUAGGGGGUAUUACACUGAUCAGUAUCAGUGUACCAUCUCCAUGGUCUCCUCCUCUUCUUGUUUCUUCAAUUAGUCCAAUUGCAACAUGUAUCCUAUACUAGUUGGCACGCAGGUCUAAAUGAAAUUGGAUUCGCAAAUCCGUAGUAACAAUAAUAAUAACGAACUCGCAAAUCCAAAAUGAUCAAGAGCUCGCAGGCUCAAAAUAAUAACAAUAAUAACAGGCUCGCAAACCCAAAACAAUUAAGAGCUCGCAAGCCCAUAAAACGACAAGAAUAAAAAUUAACCAUUCAAUAAAUCCAUAUGUCGAGUCCAUAAUCAUCCACUAAUAAUGCAUUUAUCACAUAAAUGUAUUCUUAUAUAAUAUCUAACAUUAUAUGCAAACAUGUUUCAAGUUUCUAGCAAUUAAGAUUGUCUAAACUCUUUUAGACAAAUGGAUCGGAAUAAUUAAAUAAUUAAUUAAUCAUAUUAAUCAAUUAUUUAAUAAGCGGACAUAUUUAAUUAAAAUCAAAUUUUAAUUAAAUACCGAAUUAGAGUCCAACUCCAAUUCCACAAUUAUAAGGCGGGGUUAUGUAAUUAAAAUCAAAUUUCAAUUAAAUAUUGAAUUAGAGUCCAACUCUAAUUUCAAAACUUAAGGCGGUUGAAUUUAAUUAAAAUCAAAUUUUAGUUAAAUAACAAAAUUAGAGUCUAACUCUAAUUCCAAGAUUUUAUGGCGGAUUUAUUUAAUCAAAAUCAUAUUUUAAUUAAAUACCAAAUUAGAGUACAACUCUAAUUUCAAGAAGAAAUUUAGGGCGAGACAAUUUAAUUAAAAUCAAAUUUUAAUUAAAUGUCAAAUUAGAAUCCAAUUCUAACUUCAAUAACAUAUUUGGGUGAAUAAUUUAAUUAAAAUCAAAUUUUAAUUAAACACUAAAUUAGAAUCCAAUUCUAACUUAAAUUGAAUUAAGAUUUUAAAUUGAAUUAAGAUUUUAAUUUUAACAACUUUUGAUUAUUCCUAUACGUAAAACAAUUCCUAACAAACACAAAGUAGGCUCUGAUAUUACUGUUGGGAAUCUACUUAUACAUGCACAACGAAAAAUUAAAAUUAUUUCGAUUCCCACCAAGAAUCCCUUUGUGUUUAGAUAGAGAUCGUGAUAAAGAUUGUACCUUUGAAGAAUUUUGCAAACCUUUUGCUUUUCUUUUCGCUCCAGCAAUCUUGAAUCUGCCUCCCACAGCUGUCCAAUUGUCCAACCUCCAAUGAAAUCCACACAGAGAAUAGACUGCAACUGCUAGGGUUUUUCCUCUUGUACCAGCAAGAAUAAUGAAAAUCAUAUGAAUCUCAAACCCUAGCUAUGUAUUUAUAUAAACCCAAACGGGCUCGGCUCGGUCCGGUCCAAUAUUUAAUUAAUCCAUUUAAUUAAAUCCGGUGCGUGAACUAAUUAAUCUAAUUAAUUAAUUCGGGGCUAUAAAUAACCAAUCCAAUUAAUUAAUUUUAUCCAACGAUUGGACGAACUAAUUAAUUGGAAGUUUGCAAUCUUCUAAUUCUCUUUUGUGUGCGACCCAUCAGGUUCCCGACCACGAUGCCUAACGACGUGAAAUAUUAUUUUGAUCUUAUCAAAACUGAUAAAUUAAACACCCUUUUAAUUUAUCAUAAAUUCACACUCGCCGUCCCAGAUUGACAUCUAGUAAUGUAUCAGGGCAAUACAUGUGACGAGAAAUAUCACGUGAUAUGACAAAACCAAAAUUGUUCAUUUACCAUGAGACUAUAAUCCCUUCGUCAAUAUGAUCCGAUCAACUACGAGAUAUGAAAGUGUGUCAAUCUCGAUUAUCGAUCAUAUCUUUCAUUCCACUAGUAAGUCAAUAUGAGUCGAAAACUCAUUUUCGACUUAUAUGUAUACCUUGGCCAAAGAUUUCGUUAUUGACUUAAUUGAACAAAAUGCAGAUCACAAUCUCUUACUAUCUAAGAGUGAUGAAUCCUCUAUUGGUCAUCCACAACCUUCAUAUGGUUCUUGACAUACCCGAACGAUGUCGUAUUAGUGGCCCUUAGCAGAGCAACAUCCAACACCAUCAAAGCAUGACUGUCCUCAUACAAGGCACUAUGAUGACCUCAAGUCAUAGGACCAAUUCCACUACUGAACGUUAGAGAUUAACCACUCAUACUCAGAUAGUUAUCCAUGUGAAAUCUCUUAGCGGGUCUCCAAUAUUUUGUUCUAUAACAAAUCAUCCACGUGUUCAUUUAAGUGUCACCACACUUUAGCUUGUGAGAUCAGCUACUUACUUCACAAGUAAGAAAUGCCACACAUGAAAUAACGAUAUCCGUAUCUCGUGAUUACUUACGACCAUGAACGAUUUAAGAUUCAAUCAGAUGUAAUUUGUAUCUCAAAAUCACAACUCCUUGUGAUUAAUAAGUUAUGAAGAUUUGAAUUUACGGACUCUAUUAUUUAUUUAAUUGUCCAUUAAUUAAAUAAUAUAUCUACAAUUAAAUUGCAUUAAUUAUAUAUUAAAAAUAUUUAUGUCCAAAGUUGAUUGGACAUAGGGCAUAAUACUUACACAAGCCACACACGAAAUUUGGAGACGGCAAAACAGGGAGUCAGCUGCCCAAAAAUUCCACAAAUUAGAGAGAAUCUGGAGAGGAAUAGCCGACAACUUCUAGAGGAUUGAAAGGAGUUCAUCCGACCAGACGUAACAGGAAGGUAGGAGUCAAAAUUCUGGCAGGUUUACUUCUUCAAUUAAUCAAUUUGGUGGAUGGCUGGACAACCCUAAAAGAGUCAAAGGACAGAAACUAAUUGAGAGGCGUGGAAAAUAAGGAAAGAAUCGAAUUACUCAUUUAAUUUAUUUCUUUCUUCUUCAUGUUUUACACUAUAAUUUGUAUGAAUUUAAUGUCUUUAAUUAUACACUGAUGUAACCGAACUCAAUAUUAGGGUUUGAUGAAUUUUUAUAAUUAUUUCGUUUAAUUUUUUCGUAUAUGUUUAAUUGUAUCAUGAUUUUAAUGCUUUCGAUUGCCUGAUCAACAAUUGGAUGAUUUGAUGCUCUAAAUUUGACACUCGAGAGAGGAAAAUUUAGGCGUGAUCUAAGAUUGAUACAGCAUGAAAUUUAUAGGUUUCGACAGAAGGUGUAAAUCUAUGAAGCUUACUCCACAAAAGAAUCGGGUCUUUUAUAAAUUCGUGAUUUUCAAUUUCGAACAGGGAUGUUGGAAUUGGGGUCUAGGGUUAAUUUCUAAUCGGUGCUUGAGAGAGGGGGUUAGAAAUACAUUAGGGUUCUUGCUUUUAAAUAGGGGAAAAUUAACCAAGGUAAUUGGAAUUCGUUGAAUCAUAAUUGAGAGUUAGGUGAAAUCAAUCCCUAGGCCUUCUCAUUUGAUAAAUUUGCAUUCUCCAAUUUUGGCGCAUCCAAUUCUCGUUAGAUUCGUUUAAUUUAUUUACUCAUAAAACAUUAAAUCCAUUCAAUCAUAUAUUUGUCUAAAUAAAGUAGAAAUUGCACAAUUAUAGUACUUAGUGAAGUUAGAAUUAAAACCCCUGUGGGUUCGACACUCUUUACUCUAUUACUAUAUUACAAAACUUGACACCGUACACUUGCGGUAUAAAAUCACGUUGCAUAAAUCGCGUGGUAGUUACUACUUGGUUAGGUACUUUGCCGGCCCUUUCCCAGGUAAAACAAACCUCUUGUUCAGGUACCAAUACUUGUACAUCAAAGUGGAUGGCUCGUGUUCAAAUUUGAGAAUUCCAACAAUAGAGCACAAGUGCUUGAAGGCGGCUCAUAAUUUAUUUAUAGUCGAGUGCUAAUGUUGAAAAAUGUACAAUCAUUUUUCCAUUUCGAUGAUGGUGAAAUUAGCAAUCUUCCUGUAUGGGUGACGUUGCCAGGAUUGCCAUUGAAUUUUUGGACAGCUAAUGCUCUGGGCAUGAUUCAACAAAAAUUGGAAAACCAAUCACAACUGAUCUGCUCAUGACAACGAAGGAACGAUUAUAGUGUAAAACAUGAAGAAGAAAGAAAAUUAAGGCAAGUGCAUUCUAUCUCACCAUGUGACUCUUUUUACUUUUGAAUUUGAAUUAUUUCAAAUUAUAGUGCACCAACUGAUCAUUGCUACGUAUAUGUGAAUAUAAUCAUUAGUUUUAAUGAAGAUAAAGAGCAUGCAUGUAAAAAUAAUUUUCUAAAUUUUGUCAUAAAAAGUAAAAUAAAUAAAAUUUGCCUAUCCAUUAAUUUGUUGGCCUCGAAACCUAAACGAUCAAGUUGUCAAUAUAUUUCUUGUCACUUCUUCGUAUACAAAUGUGUUACUUUUACACUAGAAAACCAUUAGAUGCAAGGCCAUUGUAGACAAUCGGUUGCUCUUUAACAAUAAAUUCAUUGGAGAGAUAAACACAUUGAACGAAAAUAUAUUUCUUGUCACUUCUUCGUAUACAAAUGUGUUACUUUUACACUAGAAAACCAUUAGAUGCAAGGCCAUUGUAGACAAUCGGUUGCUCUUUAACAAUAAAUUCAUUGGAGAGAUAAACACAUUGAACGAAAAUAUUAUCUCUUAUGAGAGAUAAUUGGUAGGAUUGUAUUGGAAUGAACUUGUAGACUCGUUUACUGAAAUCCUGUCUACUACAAUUUUCAAGGAAUAUCUAUAUGACUUGAUGUUGUAUGAUAUGACACAUCUACUCUAGGGAAAGUGGGAGAUAUAUUUGGUUUUGUGCCCAUAGAGUAAAUUUGUUAUGAUAAAAUAUUAAUUUAUAAUAACUAAAUUGUGGGUUUAUUUAUUUAUUGCAUUCAUUUAUUAUUGAACAUGCGAAUUAGAGUACUAAUGAUCACUUGUGACAAUAUAAGUUGGAAUUUGUGUUGAGAAGUACAUUGUGACGUAACUCAUAAUUUGAUCAUAAAUAAUUUGUUCACAAACAAUGUAUAAAGGUCGGCAUUUUGUACUGGAAGGUUGCAACAUUGAUCGGUUUACUAUUUAAGUUUGUGAUUUGUCCUAUCACAUAAAUAGUUAAAGGUGACAAUAGUACACUUGAAAUGUAUUGAAUAGAUCACGUCUUGAGUUUAAUGCUAUAGCAUGACCAAGUGAAGAAUUAAAUUUUAGUUGACCACUAUGUAUUUCAUCUAAUCCUUCGAAAGUGUUAUGUACAUCCUUUCGUGAUUUUAAUGAUUCUUUGAUUCAUCAAUGAGUGAGAUUAAUUUGAUUGUUCAAAUAUCUCGACGAGCUGGGAACUUGACAAUGAACGAAAUAGAGAACAUGAAUUCGUGUUGGGAACCAUCCCCUUGAGAUUGGGUAGAGUUACUGUUUAAGUAUUUUCUAUUAAACGGUUAAAAUUUGAGCUCAAUAUUUUCUAUUGAGCGGUUAAAAUUUGAGCUUAUUGUUUGCAGAACCAUUAAAGAAAAUUAUACUUAAGUUAGCGAGAAUAAUUAGAAGGACAAAACGAUCAUUUAUGUUCCUACCUAGUUAUUGAAUCUCGAACGAGGAUAAAAUAUAUGUACGUGUGUCAGAUGAAAGUAUUACAAUUUAUCGACUUUUGUGAUCUUAUAUAUUCCAAGAGAUAAGUUUUUUGCCUUUAAUGAAAAAACAAAGAUUAAUAAUUAGAUUAGGUAGUCCAAGGUCGAUUAGACAGAUCUCGGGUCUUACUGGUAGCUCUAUAAAUUAUUGAGAUUUAACUACGGUAAUUAUAAUAGUUUUGGGUUUAAUUGUAAUCACAAUAAAGUUUUGCACUUAGCUGUAAUUGUUGUUAAAAAUUAAUAAAUUUAAUUAUAAUUGUAAUUGAAGGUCUAGGACUACACAUGUAAUUUUGACUUUAAUUGAAUAUAUAAUUAUUAUUCUACUAGGUUUGGAACUAUUCUAUUUUUAUAAAUAGAUACUAAAUAGAACCUAAACUCCACCAACAAUUAUAAUACAUAAUUUUAUAGUGUUCAAAUUUGGAGAGGGAAGAUAAUUAUCUUCAUACUUUAUUUAAUUGUCCAGUCCAAGAACUAAUUUCUUUAUUUAAUUAAAAGAAGGUGUUCACCAUCGAUGUAAUUUUGAUUUUGGAGAAUAUCAUAGAAGAUUUGGAGGUUUGAAACUUCAAGUUCUUGGAAUUAAAAGUUAAAAUCUCGUAAUCCAAAAAAAAAUUGGAAGUUUGAUAUUCAGAAUUUAAUUCAAGAAUUGACCAUUGAAUUUAGAUAAAAAUAAUCAUUUUCUCUUGAUAUAAUAUACACGUGAAUAUUUAGACGAUCUUAUUUAUUGAAUUAAAAAAUUUUAAGUUAUAAAUAAUUCUGCUUUUGCAUUCCAACAAAAUCAUAUCCUAUAAAACAUGCAUGCACAUAUAAAUAAUUCUACUGGUCAUGUCUUGCAUCUUUCAAGUAAGUUCUAUUAAAAUUCAAAAUAUUCAUUCCAAAAAAAUUUCUAACUCAUCUUGAAAUUUUUACAUAAAGCAAAAUUAAAACAUUGGAUUCACAUUCAGCAGAAGAAUUAUACAAAUGGUUAUUGUUGUAGAACCAACAUGAUAUUCCACUUGUUAGUUCCGUAAAGUCUUUUUGAGUUGGAACUAUGCUGGUCAUCACCAGAAAUGGCACCUUUUGUUGGCCAAUUGAAAUGAUUUUGUUUGUUUCCAAGCCAUUUCCCUGUAAUUUUAAUAAAAGAAUAGUCUUAUCAUCGAACUAACAAUUCCAUAAAGAAUAAAAGGGGAGUGAGAGCCCCUACAGUACUUCUAAAUCAAUGCCUGCCUUCCACAUCGAAAAAUAUAAGAGUAAGUUCUAUGGUAUUGUAGUGAUUUUAGUAUUGAUUAUUUAUCAAGAUGUUCUGUUUUAUUCGUUGUUACUUAGGUUGUAAAAGUGCUCGCCAAAAGUCCCACAUUUGCUCGUGAUGAACAGUGCCUUCAAUUUGAGGUCGGCAUUAAACGUCUUUUUUCUUUACACCAGGUUACUCGCUUCUUCAUUAUUCAAGUAACAUUUUUAUAUUUGAUAUCGUUACAUAUUAGUUUAUUUACUCGGGAUAAAAUUUAUUCCAUACUUGUUUUGGGAUUUCUAUGCUAGUUUUUGGCAUUAUAAUUUAUAUGUUAAAACAAUUGUCGGCAUCCACUUUUUUUGUUUAUAUCAAGCUAUAGUUUUAAUUGAAUAGCUGAAAUCACAAGUUAAAUACAUCCUCAGUGCUAGAGAGGAUUUUCCCAACUUUGAUUCUUUACUAAAAGAGGACGACAAUGCAGUUACUGGCUCGUUAGGUAGUAAAACCAAGUCCAGAAUGAAACUCUUAACGGCUAAACUACAACUUCUACAGAGAAGCAAGAUGAGACUUAAAAAAGAAGUUUAGAUCACCUUAUAAACUUCAGCAAGAAGAUCUUGCUUUUGAUCCUUGGAGGGUCUUGGUAAUAUGUAUGCAUAAUAGCCAGAAUGUACGUUUUGUCUUUGACAGUCCAAAACAAAGAUACAAAUAGGAAAAUACGUCACAUAAACACAAGAUAAAUUAUAUAUAGCCAAAUGUAAUUUCCAACAAACAAAAGUUUCUCACGAGUGAAUGCUUGUUCAUAAGAAAGCUUAAAUUUUGCAUACAUUUCAUGUACAACAAAUUAUGCAUCGCUUCCCAGAUCAAGUUUACUUUCAUUCAUCCAUUCAAAAGCAAAAUAAAAAGAAAUAAUAGAACAAGUUCCAUAAUCAACGUUGGCAAUGCCUUAUGCAAUAGCCAUCAUAAAGCCUACCAUUUGCACUACAUGGAAUGGCAAAAAUAUUUACUGCAUUGCGUGUUGCUUUUCUGGUCUUAUCCAGUGACACCACAAAAACAUCUGCAAUAAAGAUCCUUCAUAAAUAUUCGUUAAAAGAAUUAAACAAUAAAUUAUGAUUGACAAUCUCUCCUAUGUCUCCUUAUAAGUCAUUCUCAUAAGUAAAUUUCAAUAUUUGAAACGAAUGUUAAUUUUUGCAAUCAUAUAAUGUAAUUCAUAUUUCUCUUGAUAUUUUCUAAAUACUUCACAGAAAAUCUACUAUUUUCUACUCAUUUGACCCCUAGAUUGUACAAUUGAAGAAAAGUGAGUGGAACUAAUUUGGAAAAGCUCCAUCAAACACAUUCUCAUGACGCCACGUAAACUUUUCACAUUCUUCUUCUAAUUCUUUCUCAUUUUCCAGUCUUUCAAAUUCAAAAAAAAAGUAGAGUUACAAACUGCCUGACAGUUUAUACCAGUUUCAUUUGUAAUCUAGAGGGGCAUUUAUUUUACAAUCAAGAUAUACCAAUCCACAAUUUUCAGGCAUCUUUACAGGAUCAUACUUUGCUAUCAGUAAACUAAAAACAUAACUUAUUUUAUGGAUACAGCAGCAUAAAUAUGAAGACAAAGUGAGUGAUCGAUUUGUGAAUCAUUUAGCCUGGUGAAUAAGCUAAUUAUUUCUAUCUUAGCCCAACUGAUAGAAAUUUCCAUUUGAAUUCUGGCUAUUGUUAGUAUUAGCUUAUAACAAAUUGAGGAUACCGUGCAAGAGAUUUUCAAGCAUCUCUCGUAAAAAAGAAUUUAUGUUACUAAAAACUUGUUGAAGUAUUGUGAGCAUGUCAAGUAGAUCACAUAUUUAAAACCAGUUUAUCUACAAAAGAUGCUCAAGUAGUUAUAAGCUCACAAGUUAAGCUUUUGUGUGGGACUCAAUGAGAGUAUUUAUGUGGUUCUGUGAAAAAAAAUAAUUAAAAUUUAGCGAAUUUAAAUCACUAUGUUUAGAGGAAUGCAAAUGGAGACCUGCACCAAUAUGCUUCAAAUUUUGUUGAAUUUUCCUAAUUCAGAUCACUAGGCAAGGAACGAUCACUUAUUUAUGUCCUUGUUCACUAUAUAUCCAGGUUAUAAUCAUCAUCAAAAAGUUACCAUGACAGUAAUUUCGACGAUCUUAAUCAUAAUUAUAAGUCAAAUUUAGUAUAGAACUAGAGUUGGGAGUGUAACCAAAGCCUUUCUGAUGAAGUGCACAAGGGAUUAGAGUUCACGGCAAAAUGGGACCAUCACAAGGCAAAAGUUGGCAAAAGGGGCAAAUGAUUUCAUGAUGACUUUGGGUUUACUCGUUUUUGGCAAAUCACUAGUCUAAUUUGAUUGGAGCCGAGCCAAGGAAUAAAACUCAGCACCUUUGGCCCUGACGCAAGACCAAUUUCGGGCAAAAUCCAUGGUUUAGGCCUUCGUUUAAUCGUUUUUGCUAUUUAUGGUAAUUUUCAUUUUUGCAAUAUAUCUUUCCAUGAAAUUCGGAAUUAGAUUCCGUUUGUUGGAGGGUGAUCCCGAAGAUAAGUAUUUUCCAUCUUAGUAAUUAUCUCAUAUUUUCCAUUUUUGGAAAAAAAUAUCUUUUAUUUUAUUUUAUUUUCCGAAUUUUCCUAGGUUUUUUUUCUAUUUAAUCAGUUGUAAGCCCUUAGAGGCAGUAGUUCUUGAAUUCAAUAAAAUCUUCCUUGAGAGUUUUCUCAAUUUGUGAUUGUUCAACUUCCCUAUAAUAUUUCCGCUACGUCAGUUGGUAUCAGAGCCGAAAUCGUUCCUUCACCAUGCCGCCAAGGAGACGUCCUGAAGCCCAUGAUGCCCCGGUAGAGGAGGUACAUAGACGUGAUGAAGUCGCACAACUACGUCAACAAGUGGAAUUGUUGACACGGCAGAUCUCUGCGCUUAUGCUGCAGCAGCCUGCCCCUACAGGCCAACAGCUUGAGGAUUCCGAUGAUGAGAAUCCGUUUGCACCGCUUGAACAACCAUUGGAUCUGCCAGUUCACCGGAGAAGGGGUGGUCAGGAGGACAACCGACGUUGGGAAUCAGGAUUUAAGGUGGAUAUUCCAGAAUUUCAUGGUGGGUUGAGUCCAGAGGAAUUCUUGGAUUGGGUGACUGCAGUGGAGGAGGUCUUGGAGUUUAAAGACGUUCCUGCCGAUAAAUGUGUGCCUCUCGUUGCAACGAGGCUUCGUGGGCGAGCAGCGGCGUGGUGGCAGUAGACUAAAGUGACAAGAUCCAGGCUGGGGAAACCUAAGCUUGCAUCGUGGGACAAAUUGAAGAAACAUAUGAAGAAACAAUUUCUGCCUUACAAUUAUGUGCGGACCAUGUACCAACAAUUGUAGAAUCUGCGUCAAGGUGGGAAAACGGUUAGUGACUAUACCACGGAUUUUUAUAUGUUGAUUACGAGGAACGAGAUGAUGGAGACGGAGGAGCAGUUGGUGUCACGGUACGUGGGUGGUCUUCGUCCCCAAAUACAGGAUACCCUUAACAUGUUUGAUCCUGUGACAGUUUCUGAAGCACAUCAGAGGGCAAUACAGAUAGAAAAGCAACAGUCCAGGAAAACUACUAGUCCUUUCAUUGCAGGGAGUUCUUCUAGUAACCCACAACAGCAGGUGGCACGUCCUGGUAAUCCUGCCCAAUCUGGUCCUCCUAGAACAAAUCUUGCCCAACAACCAACACGUCCUGGGGCUGGUAUUCGUUGUUUCGGAUGCGGAGUUAUAGGCCACAGGCAGUCUGAGUGCCCAAAGAAUCCACGCAGGGGACUCUUUGUUGAUGAGGGAAAUGAUGAUUAUGAAGGUCCGCCUGUAUUUGACGGUGAGGGCGGAGAAGAAGCAACAGAAGAGGAAGAGUUUGUGGUUGGUGAUGUGGGUCAGGCACUGGUGGUGAGGAGGAGUUUCCUGAUUCCUUUGGAGAAUAACACUGAUUGGUUGCGUAAUAAUAUCUUUCAAUCAACAUGUACUGUUGGAGGGAAGGUGUGUAAAUUUGUUAUUGAUUCUGGUAGUUGCGAGAAUGUGGUGGCUGAGGAGGUCGUUAAGAAGCUGGGUUUGCAGACUGAGAAACAUCCCAAACCUUACAAAUUAGCCUGGCUGAAAAGAGGCAAUGACGUAGAUGUGUCUCAACGUGCUAGGAUCAGCUUCUCCAUCGGACCUGCCUACAAGGAUCAGGUCUUAUGUGAUGUAGUAGAGAUGGAUGCGUGUCAUUUACUAUUAGGGAGGCCAUGGCAGUUUGACAGGCACUCACUGCAUGAUGGAUAUACCAACACGUACAGCUUUCUGUUUGGGGGAAAGAAAAUUGUGUUACUACCGGAUAAGGGUUCAGUACAGACAGUUGGGAACAAUGCCAAUUUACUGACCAGAAAGAAGUUCGAGACAGAGAUGGAGGAGUCUGGGGUAGUGUAUGUACUGAUUGGAAAGUCGGUUGACAGUGAGCAUGAAGUCCCUCUCACAGUUCAGCCAUUGCUAAAGGAGUUUCAUGAAGUUUUCCCAGAAGAGCUUCCUGAUGGACUACCACCACUGCGGGAUAUUCAGCAUCAGAUUGACUUGGUGCCUGGAGCUGCCCUACCUAACUGAGCGCAUUACAGAAUGAGCCCCACUGAGCAUGAAGAGUUGCACAGGCAAGUUGAGGAGCUUCUGGCAAAAGGACACAUCAGGGAGAGUCUUAGUCCUUGUGCUGUUCCUGCUCUUCUCACACCAAAGAAGGAUGGCACGUGGCGCAUGUGCGUGGAUAGUAGGGCAAUUAAUAAGAUUACGGUGCGUUACUGCUUUCCUAUUCCCCGCCUAGAUGACUUGUUGGAUCAGCUUACCGGUGCUUGCGUGUUUAGCAAGCUUGAUUUGAAGAGUGGGUACCAUCAAAUUCGGAUCAGACGUGGGGAUGAGUGGAAGACCGCAUUUAAGACGAGGGAAGGAUUGUACGAGUGGUUAGUCAUGCCCUUCGGCCUCUCAAAUGCGCCCAGUACAUUUAUGCGGGUUAUGAAUCAGGCUCUUCGCCCAUUCAUCGGUAAAUUUGUUGUGGUCUACUUUGAUGAUAUUUUAAUUUAUAGUGCUAAUGAUGAUGAACAUGUCCGGCACCUUCGAGAAGUUCUUUCAGUUCUUCGCAGGGAUAAAUUCUAUGCUGCAGUGAAGAAGUGUUCCUUUCUCACUGAUAGUGUAGUGUUCCUGGGUUAUGUGGUGUCGAAGGUGGGGUUAGCAGUUGAUACAUCUAAAGUAGAGGCGAUAAGUCGAUGGCCACAGCCCAAAAGUGUCACUGAGGUGCGGAGUUUUCAUGGCCUUGCUUCCUUCUAUCGCAGGUUCAUACCGCAUUUCAGUAGCAUCAUGGCACCAAUUACAGAUUGUAUGAAGGAUGGUAGGUUUCAGUGGACUCACGAGGCAGAGUCAUCUUUCCAAUUGAUUAAGCAGAAGUUGACUACUGCCCCAGUUUUGGUGCUGCCUGACUUUACCCAACCAUUUGAGCUGCAUUGUGAUGCUUCGAAAGUGGGUAUUGGUGGUGUGCUGAGUCAGAACAACCGCCCUGUUGCAUAUUUCAGUGAGAAGCUUUCUGGGUCAAAGUCUCGGUACAGUACUUAUGAUGUGGAGUUCUAUGCAAUAGUCUAGGCCAUUCGACAUUGGCGUCACUAUUUGUUCCAUAAGGAGUUCAUUUUGUAUACGGAUCAUGAUGCCCUUAAACACCUUGGUACUCAGGAUAAGGUUUCUGCUCGACAAGCCUCUUGGAUUGCUUAUCUACAGCAAUUUACUUUUGUGAUCAAGCACAAGGCAGGUGCCCUUAACAAAAUUGCGGAUGCGUUGAGUAGGCGCCAAACGCUCCUUACAGAAAUGCGAGUAGAGGUUCCAGGUUUUGACAGGGUGUGUGAUUUAUAUGCUACUGACCCAUAAUUUUCCCAUGUUGUCCAGAAGUUCCAGGAGGGUGUGCAGUCGGAGUUUACAUAGGUUGAUGGUUUUCUUUUUCAUGGAAAUCAGUUGUGUGUUCCAGAGGGCAGUUUGAGGUUGAAGAUCAUUCAAGAGUUGCAUAAUGAGGGCCAUGUGGGUCGUGACCGAACAUUGCAGCUUGUUGCUGCUUCUUACUUUUGGCCAUCAUUGCGCAAGGAUGUCAGCAAGUUUGUGGAGCGUUGUCGGGUUUGUCACUUGGCCAAGGGCAAGGCGACCAAUGCGGGCUUGUAUAUGCCCCUACCUAUCCCAACCCAGCCUUGGACAGAUGUGAGUAUGGAUUUCGUUGUGGGACUUCCCAGGACCCAGCGUGGUUUUGAUUCAAUCUUCGUAGUGGUUGAUCGGUUUUCAAAAAUGGUACAUUUCAUCCCCUGCAAGAAGACUACAGAUGCUGUCAAUGUAGCCUUAUUGUACUUUCGUGAAGUUUAUCGCCUUCAUGGACUGCCUACAUCUAUUGUGUCCGAUCGGGAUACUCGUUUCCUCAGCCACUUUUGGCGCAGCCUAUGGCGCUCUGUGAAUACACGGCUGGACUUCAGCAGUGCAUAUCAUCCUCAAACAGAUGGUCAAACAGAGGUUGUUAACCGUUCCUUAGGUGAUUUACUACGUUGUUUGGUUGGUGAUCACAUUAAGUCUUGGGAUCAGAAGUUGUGUCAAGCAGAAUUUGCUCACAAUCAUGCUGUUAACCGAAGUACAGGUUUUAGUCCGUUCCAGGUGGUGUAUGGCCUUGUUCCUCGUGGUCCUCUUGAUCUAGUUCCAGUUUCUACUUCUGUUAAAAUGCAUGGUAAGGCCGAAGACUUUAUUCAACAACUGCACCAGGUUCACUCACAGACUCAUGAUCAGUUGCAGGCUGCUGUCGCUGAAUAUAAGCGUGUUACGGAUCUCAAGCGCAGACAUGUUGAGUUUGAGGUAGGUGACUUUGUUUGGGCGAUGUUAACAAAGGAUCGUGUUCCUGCUCAUGAAUACAACAAGCUUACUGCGAAGAAGAUUGGUCCGUUGGAGGUCAUUGAGAAAAUCAAUCCAAAUGCUUACCGUUUAAAGCUGCCCAGCCAUAUUCGUACCUCCGACGUGUUCAAUAUCAAGCAUUUGGUGCCAUUUCAUGGUGAUAAUUCUGGUGAUGAUGAUGAAGCUCCUUUCCCGUCAAAUUCAAGGGCGAAUUUUUCCCACCUUGGGGAGAAUGAUGAAGUGCACAAGGGAUUAGAGUUCAUGGCAAAAUGGGACCAUCACAAGGCAAAAGUUGGCAAAAGGGGCAAAUGAUUUCAUGAUGACUUUGGGUUUGCUCGUUUUUGGCAAAUCACUAGUCUAAUUUGAUUGGAGCCGAGCCAAGGAAUAAAACUCAGCGCCUUUGGCCCUGACGUAAGACCAAUUUCGGGCAAAAUCCAUCGUUUAAGCUUUCGUUUAAUCGUUUUUGCUAUUUAUGGUAAUUUUCAUUUUUGCAAUAUCUCUUUCCAUGAAAUUCGGAAUUAGAUUCCGUUUGUUGGAGGGUGAUCCCGAAGAUAAGUAUUUUCCAUCUUAGUAAUUAUCUCAUAUUUUCCAUUUUUGGAAAAAAAUAUCUUUUAUUUUAUUUUAUUUUAUUUUCCGAAUUUUCCUAGGUUUUUUUUCUAUUUAAUCAGUUGUAAGCCCUUAGAGGCAGUAGUUCUUGAAUUCAAUAAAAUCUUCCUUGAGAGUUUUCUCAAUUUGUGAUUGUUCAUCUUCCCUAUAAUAUUUUCGCUACGUCACUUUCUAUAAUUUCCUUGUUUUCCAGAUCAUCUGCCAUACACUUCAGCACUGCCUAUUGUUGUGGGUUUUAUAUUCUGGCAAGAUAUAGUUAUUCAAUUAUUAAUGCUGAAACUGGCAGAUUUACAUUUCCUAUGGAGGCCAUUCUUGACUAGCCAACAUUUUGUUACUCUAUGUGAAGACAUAAUUAGUCAGUACUGCAAUUUCCCUCCCAAAAAAUGACACUUUAACUCUAUUGUUUGAAUUAAAAAUGAAUGAUUACUUAAACUACUUAUAAACAUUAUAAAAUUUCAAAUCAAUCAUCAUAAACUCUAAUUCAGAGACAAAUAGGUCACAAUGAGAAAUGAACCAAUACCUCGAGCGAUUAGGACAACAAGAGGUGAGAAUAACAAGAUGGAUCUUAUAAUGGCGUCCUGAAAAUAGCACAAAGAGAGAGAAUCAAUUUGUUAAUUACAACAUAACUGGCAAAAGUCAAAUGAUAGUCAAAGAAAAUAGAUCGGCGAGUCUUUGAUAGAAAAUAGCAUAUAUAUUGUAGAAACUUUUCACAACAAGACCAAGGGAGUUUAAAAUAGAACCACAUUGAUGGACUGAUCAUGCCUAGGCUUUGGACAACUUUGACAAGCAAGAGAGUCACACUUCGAAAUUUAUAUGAUAAGCUCAUGAAGCUUUUAAUCACAUAAAAUGCAGAUAUAGACACCCUGCUAGAAAAGGGCAACAUAGUUAGUUAUGUAAUUCUAACACAAGCAAUGGAAUAAAUAAUGGAAUACCUCCUAAAUAACUAUAUGAAACCCAGAAAUAAAUAAUUACUCUAGUGUAAAGAGUAGCUAGUGAACUAAAACUCUAAUCCAUGAAACCAAUUUCUUAUGCAUCAUUCUUACAUUCUAUAAUAAUAUACUCUAAAACAAGAAAUGUGAGCUUGUUAUCUGGUUAAAAAUUGUGCUCAAUUCUUUCAUUUUUUGUAUCAUUUGAUCUCUUAAUAAAUUCAAGAAAUUAAAAUAGACCAAUCAAUGAUAGUAUCAUUAAAAUUCAAACUUUACAAACAAACUACUUGCAAUGACAAAGCAUAUAGAAACUCAUAAAUGAUUACCCACCUAAUCUUUUAGAGAUUGCAGAACAUCCCCAAUCAUCUCCUUCAUCAAAUCUAACUUCUUAUAGUAGAGCUCGACCUCCUUUAUCAUAAAUUUUUCCCAUUUUGCCUCAAUGUUUCCCGAAUUGCUACUCCCCUUCAAGGUGCAGUUCUUCUUGACCAUAUCUGGUGCAAUGAAUCCAAUAUUUUGAUUGAAUGACGGAUGUAUUAAAGGAUGCUUUAACUCCAUAUUGAUAUCGACUUCAUCCUCAACAGUGCCUUUCUUCUUUUUAUCUUCUUUUUUGGACCCAAACUCCACCCUUCUCCGCUUUCUUGUUUUCUCACUGAUUUCUAUGAUUAGCUUUUUAUCACACCCAUCAUUUCCCCAAAGUUUAUUGGAAAGCUCAAAAACAAUUGAGUCGUGACGAUUAGAGAAAUCCCCGGGGGCCCCAUUCUCUGUAGUUUUCUUGAAGUUUCCUACAAACUUUUUCCUGAGCCUUCAAAGUUUUUCAGUGAUCUGAAUCUUUGUAAACUGAGUGUCAAGUUUGUCCUUGAUGAAAAAGUAAAAAUCAGUCAUGUUUUUAUCUCCGUGCAUACACUUGAAGUCGAUCAUACCUUGAAGCAAAACAAUGACAUCUUUGUCCGUGAAAAUCUGGCUAAAUGAAACUAGGGGUUUCUUCCUAUUAGUUUCUUGAAUGUCAGUCUCAAGAGGAUUUUCUGUGGGGUUCAAGGAUUCAACAACCGUGAUGACUUUUUUUUUUUGGAGGUUUUGAAAAUCAAAAUCAGAGCUGGAGGCUUGUUUGCCCUCUUUUUGUCCAGCUUCUGUGAUCUGAUUCUCGCCCGCUAACGCUUCUUUAAUUUUAGAAUUGGGAUCACAGAUGUAAUCACCUUGUUCUUGAGUCUUCUCUAAUACAGCAUGUGAUUGUUUUCGUUGGUCCGCUUGAUUGUGAAUUCGCAAGGCCGUUAAUUUGUCCAACGCUGGUUCAUGGCCCUCUUUUUCUCCAGCUUCUGUGGUGGUCUGAUUCUCAUCAAACAGUGCAAUUUCUUGAGCUUUUGAAAUGGGAACACACGUAGAAUCAUCUUCCCGUUCUUGUGUUUUCACCAAUGCUUCUUCUAAGUGUUUUUGUUCUUCAGAAAUAGCAACAUCUUCAUCCAUUAUAUUAAUUUUUUGGGCUGCAAAUAUCAGAAAUAUUUAAAAAAAUUACCUUUUCUGCAGAUAAUCAAGCAGAUAAUUGGUGUCAAAUACAAACAAAAUAAAGUUAAGUUUCCUCUUCAUUUAAGUCAGUUUGAUAAAGGCAAAAAUGAAUAAGUUAGCCCUAAUGUCCUGAUGAUUAAUAUGUGAACCCCAUCUUGUUGACAUAUUCUGCAGUCAAUUAUUCUAAGACUUUAAGAUACAAGAGCAACUACAUAUAUUAAGUUUUCAAGACGAACUAAAGAUAAACAAUAUCAAGAAGAAAGAAGAGGCAUAUAAUCAAAACAAGUGCAGAAUAUGCAUUGAUGAGAACAAGAAAAAAUGCCAAUUGGAGAUGUUUGGUGAUGCCUAAAAGCGUCUGCUAAAAUAAUUUUAAGAAAGAUAAAGGGCCUAUUCAAUAGCAUGGUUGGAUUACCUUCCUUCCCCUAAACAACUUAAAGAAACAAACUUCUAGAUGAAGUUUCUCGACUGCAAGUGAAAAGCCAAAAGUUUAUACAGAAAUUCCUACUAUUUCACUACCUAUCAUCUCUAUUCAUUAAGCAAGAAAAACUCUCCAUGAAUCUUAUUCAAAACUCUUCUCCUACAAGAGAAGCAGAUUAUUUCUGUUGAUACUUCUAGAAAAUCCAGAAAAGAAGCCAAAAUUGGUUGUUAAACUAGACCACACAUGUAAAUUGUUCAAUAUGCAAAAGGGUUUGAAUAAUCAAAAUUAAGUUGAAGAAUAUUAUAUACUUACAGCCCUCAGAAGCAGAUGAUGAUGAGGAAGAAUGGAAUACUAAUUUUUUGGACGCCAAAGCCAUAACCACCUAGCUUCCAAAUCUCUUGUUUUCUUCUUCUUUUCUUCUAGGGGGAAUCAAUGGUUUACCAGUGAAGGGAUCUAAACUUUUUACAGAGUCAUCAGAGAUAGAAUUCUUCCGUGUAUUUGUUCCUUGAAACUUACGCUUACCAUUAGGCGGAUAGUAAACCUCAGUGGCUGUCAAGUCAAAUACAUGCACAUUAAAAUUUGAAUUUCCAGUGUAUUUGAAGAGUAAAAAGUAGCCAUAACGGACAGAAUCAAUAGAAUCAGUAAGUCUAACAACAUUGGAGAGUUGAUGACCUUAUCUUUUAACAAAUUUGUUGAGGAUCUUCCGCACAAAAAUACAUUAUAAUUUAUUAUAUAUACAAGCAAAAAAAUGCAGAAAUUUCAUCCGACUAAACCCUAAACUUUAUAUCAUUUCUACAAGCUGAUAUUUCAGUUAGCAAACUACCCCAAUAGGCAAAUACAAGAAUCUCAUUAAUAAUUAAGAAGAUAUGAAAAUUACCAGUUUGUGAAGGGAAGUGAUUGAGGGCAAAAUAACUUUGAAGAAUCUUCUUCUAAAUGCAUUUUUGUUGCUUUGUGUUUCAUAUUCCUGGUAAUAUUCAUGGUGUUUCGAAUUUUGUUGGAACUCUGUAAACCCCUUUCGAAUUGAAUGAUUCAGUGUGAAAAUCACACUCAUCCAGACGAAGAGUCAAGCCUUAAUUAUGCCUUACAGAUAAUUAGUGUCAAAUAUCAAUCGUUAUUGAUGUCUGUCCCACUGCUCUAUGAGUCUAUGUUCAGUAUAAAUCUUAAUUUUAUAUUAUUUUGUAUUCAAUCCAUUUGAAUUUAUAAUUAUUGCUAUUCUCAAAAAAUUUAUUGAUAUUGGGAAACUGGUGCCUUCAUUAGUACUAUUCUGAGUGUCAAAGGGCUUCUUGAGUAGAAUUUGUUCGCCUGUAAUUAUUACUAAAAUAUGUGGUUGCGUACAUGAGUUCAAAAAUGAGAGAAAGUUAAGAACCUUCAUUAGAAUUAACACGUGGAUAUAACUAUUUUAUUGAUUUUACAAAUAAGUUAAAAGCAAAAAAGGUCUAUUCAUUUUUUCCAACUUUUAUUAAUUGAAAAAGUAUCUAUUCAUUUACUUAUACUAGUGGUAAGCACGUGCCUUACACGUCUUCUAUGCGGCAUGAAUGAUAUGCAUAGUAUUUUUAAAGUAGGACACUUGAUAAUGUUAAAAGAAAAAAUUAAAAUUGUUAAAGAAUAUACAUAUAAAAAAAGUUUUGUGAAAAUUACGUACAUAAAGUGAAAAUGUUGAAUAAAUUGAAAUAUAAUGAUUUGUUUAGGACAAAGGCAUCGACCAAUUUUGUGGUACAGACAUACAAAGAAAAAUCAAAUUAAAAGAUAUACAUUUGAUUAAGUUUAAAAUGUUUACAUAUAAGUAAACUAAUAAUUUUCAAAUUAAAAAAAUUACUCAUACUAUCUGUACCAUAAACUUUUUUCCUAUAAAAAAAAAAAGGAAAUAAAAGUCUAUUAUCUAAACAUAUUUAGAAACAAAAAAUUACAUAUUAAUCAUGCUCAUCAUAUUAAUCCAUAGCAUUUAUUUUAAAUUAGAAACCAAAGUUACAUCCAAAAUAGAUAUCGUAGUGAAAAAUCUUAGACAAAAGUUUUCCUUUUCUUUUGAAUGGGAUUAAUACAAAUGGGGGAAUAAAAAUUCUUCAUUUAAAUGUACCAAGAUAAAAAUAUUUUCUUUUCUUUAUAUAUUUAUAUAUAGUAAGUAACAUGAUUACCAUGAAUUUUUAUGCUUAUACAAAAAGGAACACGCAAUAAUAAAUAUUCAAUACUAUAUUAAUUAUUUUUUAGAACACAUAAUAUAAAUUUUUAUUAAUGCUUAAAAAAUUGGAUUUAGUGAAAAUGUUUAAUUGAGAGGUAAAGCUUGUAUUUAGCGUGUAGAUAUAAAUAUGGGAAGUGUAAGUAACUUCCAAUUGUUAGGAGUAAUUAGUAAGGUUUUUAAGAUUGAUGAAUAAUUUCUCCCAUCAUUGAUUCUUUCCCUCCUAACUGUUGAUCACAUGUAAGCACUUUUUUCUUUUCAAUUUAUCGCCAUUUGUAUUUAAAUAGUUGUAUUAUCAACUAUUAAUUAAUUACACGUGAAAUUUAUAAUUUUUGAAUUAAAAUAUUAAAAAUGUUAUAUGAGGACAAAAUGAUAAAUUGAACAUUUCUCAUCCAUCUCCACAUUUUAUUUUUAUAUAUAUUGUAAUUAUAAUAUAAUUAUAUAAUUAGAUGAAUGUUGAUUUUAAGUUAAACUCACGUAUAUAAAUAAUAAAUAAUAAAUAAUAUAAUAUAUAUACAUGUACGUAUAUAAUAAUAUUAUAAUAUAUUAAAGAUGGCAUAAUUAAAAAUUGAUUUCACGUAGUCUCUUUUUUUAAGUAUAGAAUUCAUUUUUAAUAUUAGAGUACUCAUAGUUUUGGGUUAACUAAAUUAAGUUUAAUCACUUAAAAUCAAAACUCGUGUACAUACAUAAUUAUAUUAAAAAUAUAAUAAAUAUUAUUUUAUUUGAUAAUUAAUCUACCAUUAUAUUAAUGCAACAUUUGAUUUAUUUUAUUGUAUAAUUAUAAUAAAAUUACGUCUAGAUUUUAAGUGGUAAAAUUAAUUUAAAUAAUGUAAGUUAAGUAAUUAAACAUAAUUUCAUUAAUAUAAAAUUUAAGUGCUCCAAUAUAAAACAAUAAAUAUUACACUUAAUGGACAUUAAAUGAAGUUAAAUUAUAUUAAAUGUUACUAUAUUAAAUAUAUAAGGGUAGAAUUGGCAUAUGGCUAAAAAUAUAAAGGAUUUUUAUUAAGAGCAUUAAUUCAAUUUAUUCAACAUGAAAUUGAAAAAUGGGUAUUGUUUAAGGAACUCAAAUGAUGGCCUUAAAUAACCAUUUAUAGAAAUUAAAAAUAUUUUUUACUUUAAUUAAUAGCAUUACAUUUAAAUGGAUACUAAAUGAAGUUAAAUUAUAUUAAACGGUACUAUAUUGAAUAUAUGAUAAUAGAAUUGACAUAUAACUAAAUAUGUAAGGAUAAAAUUGAUAUUCAAAAGCUUUUCCUAGCGUUGGACAUGGUCCGGUUCGAUUCGGUUCUAACGAGAAUCGAACUGACCUGAAAUUUUCGGGUAUUUAGUAAGUGGAAUCAUCGGGUCCAAAUUUAAUUAUGAAACCGUUCAGGUUCGGUUCCAUUCGGUUCUGUAUUAUAAUUAAAUUUUUUAAUAUAUACAAAGUUACAUUAAUUUACUUAAUGAUAUGUUCAAUAUUAGCUCUUACAAAAUAACGUAGUCUAAUUUUAUGUGUCUUUUACGUCUCUCUUUGCUGAAUUCUUCAUAAAUUUGAUUAUUAAAAUCAUAGGAAGAGAAAGAUAGCGAGCUCAAAAUAAUUAAGAGAAAUGUUGUAGAACUUUUAUUCGAUUUUCUCCAGUAGGAACGACACUAUAGUAGAGUAACAGAUUUGGAUAAAAUUGAGAUCAAUUUGAUUAAGUUGAUUUUGAACUAAAAAUUAGAAAUAGAAAAAUUAUAUUUUGUAAUUUGAACUAAAUUAACUAGUUAACAAAUUUAUUUAGAAAAAAUAAAAUAAUUUUGCUUAUUUAAAAUAAAUAAAUUUAAAAAAUUGAGGAGAUUCGGUUUUUAUUCGAUUCUUCGGGUCUUGACCGAGAAUCAGAACCGAACUGUACCCGUCAGUUCUUGAUUCAAAUACCCCUUCGGGUAUUUAAUUUGAGAAGAACCGUCGGAUUCGGUUUUGUUUGGUUCGGUUCGGUUCGGUUCGGGUUCGAUCAGUUCGAGAGUUUUGUCCAGCCCUAGUUUUUCCUCAAUGCAUACUUUUAAUAUAUGGUAGAUGAUAUGUAAAUACUUACAGGAAAGCUUUCGAGCUUACCAAGUAUGCAUUAAAAGUUAUAGACGUUAUUAUUUUUUAAGUGCAAAAACUAAAAGUUGUAUUUUAGACAAACGGGUUUGGAGAUUAUUUUAAUUAAUAUUUCGUUUGAGUAAAAUAAAAAAUAUAUAUAGAAAUAUAUAAAAACCAAGAUAGCCGAUGCUAUAUAUUAAUUCAACUUACGUAAACAUGUAGUAAAAAUGUUAAGUAAAUAAAUUUUCAAAAAUGUUCCAAUGAGUAAGAAAGAGGAAGAUAGCUAAAAAAUGGUUAAAAAAUCGUAUGUAAAAGCAUACUAAAAAUGGAAAGGGCAUACAAUAAUAAUUUUGGCUAGAAAACUUAUAAAAUUUUUACACUUAGAUUAUAGAUAAUGAGCUUAGGUGACCCCGAUUUUUGCAAUGGCAACGUGGACAACAGAUGUCGUGCCCGCUCGUGCCUAUGCGAGCAACUUUCGACACGUUAUGAUUGGAAUAACCAAUUGAAGGAUCUCUAGCUGCAACGAAUGUAGAUAUGGUCAAUCGCAUCUCAUGCUAAUGUAAAUGGGCCAAAUGUUGAUAAUGAACGGAGCUCCAUGCCCAAGAUGAGGCUUUUUUGAUUAAUAGGCCCAAUUAAAUUAAAUAGGCGAUGCCAUGUCGGUCAAUGUGAGACUUCCUCCAUCACACGCAUGCUACGUAAUUUAUAGAUGUAACAAUAGUCCCCUAAGUUUGAGUUGUACAUUCAUAUGCGAGUCGGGCUUCAAAAUAUAAGUAGUCAACUAGGUGAGAUCUUACAAAUUGUCUAAAAAAUAUGAGCAGCUCCAAUAUGAGGACUCACGGACUACCUUAAAAAAUCCGUGCAAGCUUUAAUAAGUGGGGGCCUACAGACUGCCUCGAAAGAUAGAUAUCACAUAUGAUUUGUCAAUAAUUGAUUUGAAUCAUAAAAUGACUAUUGAAUAUCACAUAUGAUCAAUUGGAUGCAAUUUGGAGUGUCAAGUGAGUGAAAUAGAGUUGAAGUAUUUUCACCAAUCAAUUUUCAACCGAAUAAGUUAUGCUUUAAAUUUUUAGCCUCAAUUUAAGACCCAUUUUUUUGGAUAGCAAAAUUUCAAAUUGAAAAUAUUGUAUUUCAAGAAGAAUUGUAGCUCUUUCAGCUAGAUUUCCCUGGAAGAAAUGAGAGAUAUAUCUCAAGCAAAAUUGGCUAUUAACUAGCAAAAAAUGGUUAGGUAUUAUAACUCUAAAGUUAAGAAAAAGUCAUUUUCGCUCGAACGACCUUGUGAUACAAAAAGUGUUCCUAUCUUCUAAAUAGUCGGGAGUGGGAACCCCAAGCCCUAAUUGGGAGGGUCCUUAUCGAAUCAAGGAAGAGGUUUGAUCAGAGACCUAUAAAAUUUUAAGUAUCGAUGGAAGGCGCAGCCUCAUCCAUGGAAUGCAAAGCAUCUACGAAAGUACCACCAGUGAAAUUGUAAAUGAAUUUUAUGUACGAUUUGUUUAAAUUUAAAUGAAAGUUCCAUAAUAAAAAUUUCUGUUUUACGGAAAAAAAUACUUCUCGUUAACUAAAUUAUGGGAGAACCAUCUGCAUAGAUGAACUGUCCCCAUGUGGAGAAGUGUGGCACCUUGACGAUGAGGUGUAUCCUAUCGAAGGCAAGAUAGCUUGGAGAUAUUAACACCUCCACCCAUGGUUAGAAUUGGCGAUUAGAGCAUUUUCAGUAGGUUCUUUAAAUAUUUAAUUUAAAAAUUAACCUUUAAAAUUAUGUUCUAAGAGACUACUUAAAUUAAUAUUUUAAAAUAAAGAGAGUUUAUCUCUCCAAAUUUAGUGUGUCAAGCUCACUCUCUAUAAUUAAAUACACUCAAAGUGCUUCAAUUUUCAUUGGAAAAAAUAAUAUAAUAAUUUCAAGGAAAACUAGGGAAAAUAGAAUAUAAGGAAAAAUAAUAAAUAUUUUUUCGAAUAUUACUUAAAAAUAUUUACACUCUAAAUUAUAAAAUAUGCUCUUUAAACAUAAAGAGUCUCUUGAAGAUACUUUUAGCCAACCGAAAUGUGCAAACCAUUUUACAACCCCUACACUAUUAGUAGUAUUUUCCAUUCAGAAAUAAAUUUUUAUACAAGUAUGAUUUUUCUUAUAAAUAAUAUUUUAAUUAUAAAGUAAUUUUUUACUUCAACUAUUUUUAUUUGUAGGUUAAUUUUGAACAAAAUAUGUUGAUUGACAAUAAUUAUUUAUAAGGAAUAAAAUUGGAAGAGAAUAUGAGACAUGGUAAAAAUCUAUCGAUUUGAUGGAUUUCAUAAAAGGUGCCAUGGAUUUAAACAGUGAAAAAAAAAAGACAAAAAAAACCUCCAAAGCAAGCUUUUGAAGUUUAUUUAUGUAGUGUGUGCUUUGCAGCAAUUACUUGAGAAAAUGGAAUUUCCUCUACAAUCAUGUUUUGGUGUAGUCAUGUCAAUUUUAAGUCAUUUUUAUACCCUGCUAUCUCAUAGGUAAUACCUCGUCUUCCAAUUUUACCCCUACUUCAGUAAUCACCUAGCAACGAUGCUUCCACUUGCAACAGUUUAAGAUCCGUUUCAUUUUGUCACAAUUUUUUAUACAUGUUUUAGCGUGCAAUUCUUAUUUUUCACUACCCCUUAAAAAUAAACAUUGAACAACCAAAUAGAAAUAUCUAUUUUCCAUUUGAAAUCUUAAUUCUGCUUAUAAUGUAAGAUGAAGUCGCACUAUACAACGAGUGCCAAAACAAACAAGGCCAGUCCUGAGAUUUUGGAGACCUUAGAUCAAUUUUAAAUAUGGGACCAUAUAUAUAUAAAAAUACAUGUAAAAUAAAAAAUAAAUAAUUUUUUUUGGAUCCUCACCAAAGUAGAGCGUUAAGCGAUCGCCUACCUCAUCUAUAAUUAGGGCAAGCACUGUAAACAAAUUUGGAAUGCUUAUCUUAGUUGAUGCAACAUGUAAUCUCGUAAUUGUUUCCACGACAUGUCUUCAUCGAUCAUCGCAUCCAAUUCAGCUGCAAUUUUAUCUUCCUCAUCGUGGAGGUCUAUCUCCAAUUCUUCGUAAUCUGGCUCUUACACUUUAUGGAAUGCUUCUUCAACAUUCUCAUUUGUUUUAAGAAAAUUGUGGAUAGUCCUUGUUGCAAAAUGACCGUUGUUUGAGCUCGAAACGAGUAGCUAGGCAUCCCAUCAAGGAUAUUCCAUCAUUAUUUUCACACUCCAAAUGACCUCUUAAUAACGUUUCUACUGGAGGAGUGAUGAUUGAAUUUUUGUCGGGUGUUACGAAACCUACACCUUUUUAGAUUUGUCUCAUUAUGGAACUCUUGAAAAUAAUAUAUGAUAUCUUAACCUUUACCAGGUGCCAUAUAUCCUACUCGAUGUGUAAAUAUUUGCCAUGCACGGGCUACAAAAAAUUAAUGUCUGGACUAUGUAUUGUAGUAGCCAAAAUACGAUAAUAGUGUCUAUUUCUAAUAUGUGUUCCAUCAAUGGUUCUAACUAUCCUAUUUAUGUUAUGAAUGAAUCCAAAAAACAGUUUCCAAUUGUCAAGAGCAUGAUAUAUUAAUAAAUACAGAAAAAUGAAACUCGUGCAAUUGUGUUAACUUGAAAAGAGGACAUUCUUCUGCGUUUGGAUGGUGAUGUGCUGCACAUUUGGAUAUGAUUUAAUGAUACUUCCAGGAAGCAUAACAAUAACACGAAGAACAGUCUUAAUUUAAUGACUAAUUAUCUGCAACAAAUGUCCGAAGAAUGUUUGAACUUAUCAAUAUCCUUUGUCGUAUGCUAAUACACACAGAAAUAUGCCAAUUUGUUUGCCUGACAGAGAAAUGCAUUGUAUGGUCAGCAAAAGAAAUUGGAAGUUAGCACUAAUAUGGCACAUAAAUUUUGCAGAACAAAUUGGAAGUUAGCAGUUGAAAUGAACACGAAAUCACGGCAUAAUAUGGCACAACAUAUUUCAAAAAAAUUUCAACAACAUAUGGCAUUAUAGUUGGAACUUAAAGUGUUAACCAAAGAUCAUAAAGCCGUCAUAUCCAAAAUAGAAAAAUGAAGUAUUAGACUAUAAAAAAAAUAGCAUAUUCAAUGGCGGAGCACCUCGAUCUUCCUUUCCCAUCAAUCAUCGUAUGCCAUAAUUCGAUUCCUGUGCAAUUGCUUGUGCUUUGUUGUACUUGUUACCAAUAGUCGAGCUUUCUUCUAGCUUGAGGCUUGAGGUCUUCUAUUUUUAUUGCUUAUUUAGUUAUUUAUUUUGAGAGCUUUAGUAGAAUGGGACCUUAAUUAUUAAGGUUCGAAAUUGUUGGAACAAAUCAUUUGCUUUAUCAAGAAAGAUUUAUUUUUCGUUGGACCCUAUUUUCAGUGUAUGAGUCAUUUGACCUUUGUAGGGUUAUUUUGUUGCUCAUUAUAUGAAAAUUGUGAAAUUGAUUCCCGCCUGUUAACUACAUAUAUUUGAAGUUUCCCACUCUUGGAGUGGACUCUUCCGCUUCCCACUGCAUAUAUAUACGUAAUAUACCAUGCUUGGUAACUUCAAUUAGAGAGAAUCUACUUCAAGUGAAAUGAAGGGGUCUUUGAGGAAUUACAUACGGAUGAAAGAAGAAUCUGGCAAAAGAAGAAAACUGCAACUGCUGGGAAGUAAAGCAUUAGUUAAAAAACAUAAUUCUAAAGGGAUAAACCUCGCCAAUAUUUCUCAUAGAACUACUACUUCCAGGUUAUAGUACUAUGAAUUAUUAUUGAAUUGACAGACAGAAAACUCUAGGCCGUCGCACUCAAUGCAGCAGAUGCAAGGGGUCGACUGGGAUGUUAUGUGGAGAUUGUCUAUACAUAAGGUAUGUUCGGUACAUCAAUGGAAUUCAAGUACAAAGUGUUGUAAUGCGGAAGUAGAAUUAAUCAGAAAUUAAAAUUUCUUUAAUUCAAAAACAAGAUCGUUUAGAUGUUCACGUGUAUGUUAUAACAAGAAUUAAAGAAUUUGAAUAUUUUACCCAAAUUCGAUGAUCCACCUUUGAAUUGAUUCUGAACCACGAACUUCCGUCUCUUUCAAUUGCAAGAAUCUUGGUGCUUCAAACCUUCAAGCCUUCUAUGGUAUUCUCCAACGGAAAAACUACACCGGCGUGUGGGCACCUUCUUUUAAUUAAUCAAGAAACUAAUUCUUGAAAUUGGAAAUCAAGAAAUAAAAUAUUUCUCUCUCUAAAUUUGAAUUCUAUGGAAUUAUAAUUGUUGUAGUCUUUUUUCAUUCAUCUAGUCUCUAUUUAUAGAGAAAAAGAUGAUACAAUCCUAGUACAAUUACAAUUCCACAUUCAAAUAGGAUUACUAAUUAAAACUCAAGAGGAGUUCUAAUUUAAGUCCAAUUCCAAUUAGUUUACAUUAAUUAUAUGUGUAGUCCUAGAACUUCAAUUACAAUUACAAUUAAGUUUUUAACUUUCAUAGUAAUUACAAUUAAGUACAAAACUUUAUUGUAAUUAUAAUUAAGCUCAAAACUAUUAUAAUUACAGUAAUUAAGUUCCAAUACUUUAUAGAGCUACCAUAGGGACCUGAUCGGACAUAUAUUAUCCAAGCUCCAAUAAUUAGAUCAUGUCUAGUCGACCCUAGACCACCCAAUCUAAUUAUUAAUCUUUGCUUUUUCCACUAAAGGCAAAAGACUGAAUUCUUGGAAUAUAUAAGAUCACAAAAGCCAUUAAAUCUGUAAUACUUUCCUCUAACCUGCUGUAUAUGUAUUUUAUCCCUGUUCGAGAUCCGAUAAUUAGGUACGAGCAUAAAUGACCGUUUUGCCCCUCUAAUUAUUCUCACUAACUUAAGUUUCAUUUUCUUCAACGGUCUUGUGAACUAAUCACAGAUAUCGAAGUUUAGCCGUUGCUAAACACUGAGCUCAGAUUUUAACCGUUCAACAGAAAAUACUUAAGUAGUCACUCUACCCAUCUGGGCGACGGUUCCCGACACGAAUUCAUGUUCUCUACUCCGCUCAUUCUCAAGUUCCCAACUCAUCGAGAUAUUUGACCAAUCAAAUUGAUCUCACCCAUUGAUGAAUCAAAGAACAAUUAAAAUUACGAAAAGAUAUAUAUAAUCCUGUCAAGGGAUUUGGAUGAAAUACACAGCGGUCUAGUGAAAUUUAAUUCUCCGCACGGUCAUGCCAUAGAAUUAAAUUCAACACGUGGUCCGUUCAAUACACCCCAAGGGUACUAGUGUCACCUUUUACUAUUUCUGUGAUAAGGACAAAUCACAAACCCGAAUAGUGAAUUGGUCAACACUACAACCUUCCAAUAUAAGGUGCCAACCCUUAUGCGUAGAUUGUGAACAAAUUAUUUAUGAUCAAAAUAUAAAUUGUGUCACACUGUACUUCUCAACGUAAGUACUCAACUCAUAUUAUCACAAGUGAUCAUAGGCACUUUAAUUUCACAUGCUCAAUAAUAAAUAAAUGCAAAAAAUAAAUCAAACAUAAUUUUAUUCAAUAAAAAUAUUGUUAUUUUUUACAUCAGCAAAACUAUACUAUAUGGGCACACAACCCAACACAAAGAAAUUAAUAUUUACGUAUUGGUACAGAUAUGGGGAGAAUAUAAUUGAAGCAAAUGAGAAUGGGAAAAGUUGGAUAUGCCCAGUGUGUCGAGGAAUAUGUAACUGCAGCAAAUGUAGAAACAAGAAAGGAUUGCCUCCUAUUCCUUGUAUAUAUUCCAAGGUAUGUAUCCUCCUUUUCUUAAUUUUCUUCCACGAUUAAUUUGUUUUGACUAAUAACUAAUUAAUUUAAUAUUUAAUUUGCAGGCGUUGAGAAAUGGUUGCAAGUCCGUGGCACACUAUCUUAUUAAAACCCACAUUGUUAGUAUCAGUGGUGAAGGAGAGACAACAAAAAAGGUCUAGUUAGAUGAGAAGAUUGGUGUCUCCAUUGUAUAAUAUAUUAGUGUUGAACGUCCAACUCAAUCGUAUAAUAUGUUACUAUCAAUGGUGAAGGAGAAAUAUCAAAUGUCUCCCAAAAAAAAUAAAUAAAUAAAUAGAUGAUGCAGUGUUUAUUUUGUGAAACAUAUUUUGUGAGCAUUAGUAGGAAGCAUUUUGCUUGUACAUUUCUAUGAUCAUCCAUCCAUCUCAAUCAUAAAAUAUAUUAGUAUCAAUGGUGAAGGAGAAAUAUUGGACGCAGUGUUUAUUUUGUGAAAUUGAAGCAUUUUGCUUGUAAAUCUCAUCCAUCUCCUAUCAGAUGAAUUCAUUUGUAAUAGCUCAUAUGAGAAAAUGAUGUUCAUUGAAUCUUAGUAGGAUGAUGCUCACUUCACGAUUCCAUUCCAAGAUCAAUCACCCAUAGAUUACAUCACCAUGAUUCAACUAAAUGAGAUGGCUUCCUGAAUGUAAUCUCCCGAGGAUGAUGAUACUCCAUUCAAUGUGCAAUAUGUUACUUUUUGUCAAAAUCUCACAAGAUGAAAUAUGUGAAGAGGUAGAAUCAAAAAGCCAUGUGCAUGUUAAGCUAUGUGAGGUGAUGGAACAACCAAUCUCAAAACUUAUUCCGAAAUAAAAUAAAUGGAUGAAAACAAUUUGAUCAAGUUAUCUGCAACAAAUUAUAUUUUAGUUCGUGAAACGUAUAUCACAGCUUUUUUUUAAUUUUUUUUUUCUUGGGUUAUUUGCGUUAAAAUAUAACUAGUUGAAAUACAUUUAUAAUUAGGGUUAAUAAUGUUCAGAAUUCCCAGUGUGAAAUACAUUUACUCUUCUAUUUAGCUAGAAAUCUUCUGUAAGUAUCUGAAGUGGUAUAUUGAAUUAGGGUAAUGGAAAGAAAUUAGAUUAUGAAGACAUGGAAAUUUGACUCAUGUAAAUAGUAGUGAAAGAAGCAAGAUGAGUGUCCACCACGUUCCUGAUGCGAGGAAAGAAUGACAAGAACCAAUGCAAACAUCAAUUAUAAAUUCUCUUCGAUAGCUUGUAAAAUUAGAGUAUACAUACAGACCUAUAGAAGAAAAUGAAUAAAUAUUGUUUUGCAAAAAAGUGGCCGUGUUGCUGCACUUAAGAUUCCACAAUUUUUGGGCUGCAAGAAUAAUUACAAAAUGAUUCUGAAGCAAUCGCAAGUGUACUGUGUCCAUUAAGCAAGUAGUAAAAUAAAUUUGAAAAGUCCAAAUUAUCGUUCGCACUAGAAUUAUGUAUCUAAUUAUUGAUUUAACUAUGUCUAACUUCUAUUCGAGUAAAAAUUUUUAAAAGCAAUUUAAAUUCAGACCAUAAACAUUAUGACUCUACAAAAAUAAUUAAAAAGUGUGAAAAUAGACAAUUUAGGAUUUUAACUGGUGUACAAGAAUUGUUAUGGUUCAUGAAUUCACCAUAACUAUCCCUUUAAUUUCAAUCACCAAAUUUCAACAAUAAUCAAUUAUGUGCAUCAUAUCGCAUUCUUCUAAUUUAAUUGAUUUACUUCUCUUGAUUUUAAAGCAAUCUUAUUCAAUUAAGUUAACUCACUAUAUCUUUACAUAAAACAGGGCAAGUCUUACUUAAGAGUAUACAAUCACAAAAAAUGACUGCAAAGUUAGCAAAGAUUUAUCUCUACCUUCUACCCAAGUUUCACUUUUUACUAGGGCUGCACAACGAAAUUGUCAAACCGCAAAAUCAAACCGAAAUUGUUGGUUUGGUUUCACAUAAAUCCAUCAAUGUUUUGGCUUUGAACCAAAUUAAACCAAUUCGAAGUGAUUUGGUUUAGGUUUCAAUCUUUACAAAUUGUUUCAAACCGUCAAACCGUUUAUCCAAAUAUAUAUAUAUAUAUAUAUAUAUAUAUAUAUAUAUAUAUAUAUAUAUAUAAUUUGAAAAUAAAUUAGUCUAAAUUUUUAUUUAACCUAAUUGAAACUUAACACAUUUCAAUUAAAAAUAUACAUUCAUAUUGGACAUAACUCAAUUCAACUCAAUUCUACAAUUAUACAUCUCAAUUAAAUAAUUAAAUCACAUCCAAAUACCCAUCAAUCAUCACAACUGUAAAUAUAAAACCCUCAAAUUGGACAAAAUGUUAAACAACUGCCGCUAAACCAUAUUCAUUGAUCCAUUAUUACAAUUGAGCAGACAAUUAAAUCUAAAUUUUAAUUCGAACUUACACAUUUCAUUUUCUUCUAUUAAUAAUUUUUGCAAAUUUUUCUUGAAUUCAAGUCAGAUUAUCCAAAUUUUCUUUUAUCUUUUGGUAAUUUUUUUAUGUCUUUAUUGGUAGUUAUGUUGUUUCGUUCUAAUAAUUGUCCUGCUUCCUUGAAGUAACUCGCUAAUAUUUAAAUUGAGUAGAAGUAUUGGAUGAUUCACAAAAAGUCACAGUAGUUAGAUAUUAUUGUAUUUGAAUUUUGUUGUUCAUUUUCUAUUAUUGUUGCCUACGCCUUGGCUCGGCUGGGUUGAUUCUGUCAAAAAUGCUGCUUGAACUCCUGGGUAUUUGUUUGGCUCGUAUGUAGGUGGAAAGUUAUUCUGGUUAUAUAGGACCUCAGUAGGUCGGCCUGAAGCAUAGUUGGAAGAAAUGUCAACUUCCACUUCCCUUUCAAUGGGAAUAUCACCCUAGUUGUACUCCAAUGUAGCAACCCUUUGGCUUUGGACCUCAUCCUCUUGCUAGUAUUUUUCUUGGAGCAUGUAGGAGGCAUAGGAAAACCCCCCUAGCCCUGCAUUUGGGCCAUGAGCUCUCUCAUGGCCAUAUUUUGGCUAACAAUGUCCCUCAUGUUUGUGGUCAUGGCAGCCAUUUCUCUAGAGAUUUGGGCACAUUCUUGUACCACUUCUAUGGUAAUGGUGGUGGGGCCUACGACGAGCUGCUGGGGGCUAUCCCUGCAUUUUCUCUUACCCUCCUGGUGGUAUAUCCUCAUCUGAGCUCAUUUUUUCUUCUAGAUUUCAACUUAUAGGGCUUUCUCUUGCUCUUUUUCAAGAACAAUUCCUUUUUCAAGGAGGAUGCCUGAAUGUUUAUUUCAGUUAGCUUUCACUACAUGAUUGCUCGUGGUUAUAGUAUGGUUUUCCAUAGACGGUGUUAAUCUAUUGAUCCUAAAAUAUGUUGCCAACAGAAAUUGGACCCACCCACGCACACGCAAGCCUAGUCCAACACGCUAAGACACGUGGACAGUCUGGAACGAGCAGAUUGAGGAUGUGAGAGCGGCUCAAAGGCGCGGGACAACAAUGUUCGAAAUUCGACGAGAUUUAUAUAAUGAUCGUAUAAUAAUUACCGAUCGUGGUUUGUAGAAUGUGUAUGUAAUCUUGAAUUAUCUUUGUAAGAGAGUGAGAGAGAGUAAAAGAGAGAAUAUUUGUUCUUGUAUUGGAUCUUGCAUUCGCCUUUGUAUGGGGUAUAUGGCGGAGUAUUUAUAGUGUUACAAGUUAGAUCUUGGCCCUCAGUUGGGAGUACACGUGGCCUCAUCUUGUUAGUUUACAUGUCAAAUUGUAGGAAUCAAGUUUGACCACCUAGCUUGCUAUACAUUUAUUAAUUGGCAGAGUCGCCGCUACUUUGACAAGACAAGACACUUGCAUUCUAUGAUGGGUGUCCCAUCAAUCAUUCAAAGAGGAUUCUUGUGUAAGAUCAGAUCUUUGGAGAGAAGUGAUACAAGUUAUCUUGCACUUCGGUUUCAGUAUAAUGGGCCUCGGUAUGAAGAGCCUCGGCCAUAUGCACCACUUCAGCUAUUGCAUUUCAGCAUACAAAAUAUGGGCCACGUCAUAGGAGCUGUUUGCUGGUGUUGUUCAAUCUUCAUUGGCUUAGGGGCCUCGCCUGAAAUGCCACGUGGUUCAGCAUGGGUGGGCCAGGGGCCCCAGUGGGUCUGCGAAAUGUAUCAACACAUAACACUCAUCUUGAGGGCCAUUUACAGUGCACUUCCUUUUUGGGGGAUAUAACUUAUGUGUCAAUACGGUUAACAUUUAUUUUAUGUUAUGGUUUUUUUUUUUUUUUGUUGAAAUUUAAGUGCAAAAGUUUUCUACAAGUUAUGUUUAUAAAUGAAGUCAACGAUGUUCAUUAUAUUAAGGAAAAUUUUUAUCAUUUCUCUGCAUUUAUGAUUUUAAGAGAAAAUGAAAUGAUAAUACUUCCAAAUCUAUGUAUCUAAAUUUGGGGGGUUUUACAGAUUCCUUCCUUCAUUUAUAAGAAAUCAAGGCAAAAAAGUCUAUCUUUAAUCAGGAAAAACAGCAAGGUAGUUUCAUCUCAAUCCUUGAAUUUUUAUUUUCGAAAAAGGGGAUUGAUAAGCUGUAAUCAAUAUAUCAAUAUCAACAUAAAUGCCAAAAGUAGAUAAAAUUUAUUUUAACACCAAUGAACUUCAUUGACAUCAUAACUUGAAAAUAAUAAUAAAAUUUUAAACAAUUUUGUGAGAUAAAAUACAUCAUCCAAAAUGAUUUAUUAACAACAAUGAGAUUUAUCAGAAGUACAAAUGAUUAAUUUAGAAUAUAAUUAGCCCAUCUUGCCUCAAGUAGUGGCAUCGCAUCACCUAACUCUCAUCAUCUGACAAAUGAAGAUGAAUAACAUGGAAUGAACGCUUAGUAAAUAAACAUCAUGCAUAUGAUUUACUUUAAAAUAAAAUAAAACCAAACAUUUCUCAACAUAUAUUCCCUUUUUCUUUCAUUUCUUUAAAAACCCUAAUAUUGAGAAUGUGAGCUUACUUUGUAUAUAGUCUAGCUAAUCAAAAUACAGUGAGCCAUGUCACCGCAUUGACAUACAACCCGUAACGAAAACAUUAUUUAGGAUACAUAUCCUUUUAAAAGAAGAUAUUCAUUCUCACCUUGACAUUAAAAAACUCUUAUUGGUAUGAUGAAUAAUCAUUAAAAAUAUUUAGACAUAAAACAUAAUGAUUGCAUAUUAAUUGUACAUAAAUACCAAUCUAGAUAGCAUAUAACUACAUAUAACAAAGUAAUAUAUCUUCAUAGACAAUUGAAAGUUUACUUACCUGAAAUCCGUAAAAGUUAGAUUUUAGAAUGACAAUUGGAGAUAUCCCCGCCCCCAAAGUUACCGUACCAAAAAAAUGCCCUAGUUCAUUACCAUUUAUUUAGAAAUUUCAACAAUAUCUUAAACAUCACUUCAGUCCAGACCGUGUUCUACUAAUUUUAUUUUAUUAAUGCAAAUAAAUUAAUAAGGCCCCUAAUUUAUAUUAUCAACUUAAAUUUAGUUCUACUAACUAAUGUAGAAUUAUGUUGUUCAACGUUGUAAUUUUAUAUAUAAUUUUACACAAAUAUACUCAUUAAGGAGGGGGAAUAUUUCAACAUGAGGUCCAGGCUGAAUUCAAAGUAAGACUAGUCAUAAGCUCAUAAGAAAAUAAAUAUAUUAUAUGUCAUAUAAUUAAAUUCGAGCUUAAUAACUUUAUAAACUCAUCAUAAUGAAAUUAAUAGGUAUCCAAGAUGCAUUCUACUUUAAGAACAUAGUUAGUCAUGAGGAAAAAUAAUUAUAUGAUUAAACAAUAAUAUAAUAACAACGAAUUUAAUGCGACUAGAUUCAAUAAUCACAUGGAACAAUUAUGCGGAAUUGCAAUUUUGGAAAGAUGAGUCCUUGGAGAGAAAUAUACCAUUAAAUGGGCAUUGGAAUUAAAUGGGUCUCAAUUGGACUUGGACUCCUAAUUGGCAAUUGAUGGGUAGAUGUAGGAAUGUCAUGUCUAGUCUAUCUUUAUGCAAGUCAAUUUGUUAUGCUUAUUAAUCAGUCAUUAUCUACAUAAUCUAGGAUAAAAACUAAUUGGUUAUGAUACAAACCUAAUUCUAAUCAAACCAUCCUAAGUUUAUCUAUAAAUACCAAUGCCAUGCACAUAUGUUUGCCACAAAACCCAUUCUUUAACUUCUGUUUCAUUCCUUAAAGUUUCAGUAGAAAUUCCUCUCUAUUUACAAAUUUCAGGUAAAAAUUAGCACAUUGGACAGAGGUGGAUGAGUGAAUGUACUGGACCAACUGAUUAUUGUCAUGAUGUACCUUAUUUGUUGAAAUUUAUUAGUUUGGAGUAACAUUAUAAUUUUUUAAAUAGUCCAAAUUUUAUUGCAUGUUAGAACUAGUUUUCAUUAAUAUUUUGAUGAAAGAUAUGAUUCGAAAAUGUUCCACAUAUUUUAUUAAAUUAAAUUUAUCUUUUGUUAAGUUCAAUUUUUAUUCGAUAUGUCAUUAUAUUAAAAUUUAUUUUUUGAGGACUUUAAGAAAUUCAUAUUUGCUAACGUAUCAGGUUGCUAGAAUUCAGGGCAUUACACGUAUUCUCCACAAAUUUGCUAUUUAAAAUAUUGUUUUAGCUAGAUAAUGGUCAUCAAAUAAGGGCUUCUUGUUUUAAUUAUUUUCAAUUUGCUUAAUAAUUUUUUUUAAAAAACUAAUAAGAAAAUAAAAAGAAAUCCUGAAAAAAAAUGUUUCAUGAUUAUAAGAUUAUAAUUGGUGUCCAUGUAACACUAAGAUCUGCUAUCCAACUCACUAUGAUUUUUGGGUCCACCUUCCACAUAAAAUUAUUUUAUUGAGCUAAUAUGUGGUAGAAAAAUAAAUUUAUUUUUAUCAAACACGAGCUUAAUAUAGUCUUCAAUAAGUUUCUUGUAUGUGAGGGUUCGAUUAUUUUCCCCAAAUUUUAUUAAAGGCUUGACAUAUAUGAACGACAACACAAUUUAAACACAAUAAUUUCUUAUUAUCCUUCAUUUAUCACUUGUUAGAUCCCAAAGGCAAGGACACAAACAUUAAAACCAAGAAUGUGGACCUAUUUUUGGUACAUCAACUUUGUGGUUUGGAUAAUUUGUGCAUGUAUAAUACUAUACCCCUGUUUGGGCUCCAUUAUUCCAAAUUUUAAUGAGGAGAAUAGUAUUUUUUGAAGAAUGUGUGGGUGAAAAUCAAGGAAAAGUUUUAAGGUAUAUGUGUAACAUUAUUAUAUUGAAGAAUGUGUGAUUGAUAAGAAAAGAGAGAAAAAUGAAUUUUAAUUUUAUGGGAGCCAAACAGGGGGUAUAUCCAUAAAUUACGUGAUAUGUACAUGAUAAAGGGUGUUCCACAUUGAUCGAUUUAGCAUGAAUUGUGUUAAUUAGAUUUGGUUAAUCAAAACAAGUAACAUAGUCUUGGGUUCGAGCUCGAUCCAUUAGCCUCACUUGAAUUGUAUGUGUGUGUGAAUCCAUUUCUCUCAAGGUAAUGUGCUAUAGCGUAGGCAAAUCCUCAUCACCACUCUCCUGCACUCACUCUCUUUUAUCCGAUUGUUGAUUUGACCAGCGCAGUACAAAUGAUCACCAUACAUUUUUUCGAUCGAUAGCCUUCGUAUCCUAAUGAUAUGUACUGGUGUAUAGAUGAUGCCACAUACUGUUGGCCACUCGAUCCGUUGGAUUUUGAGGUCAACAAAUUGGUAUCAUCUAUUAAAAUGAUACAUUAUAUUCUCACAACAUCCAUAAGGCCACCAGAAGGGAUAAUUUUUUUAGUAGUUUUUUCAACCAAAAUAUAGAGGCCAGUUACUAAAAAUGAAGAAAAAUGGCCACUGACCAAGAUAUGAAAAUUUCCUUGAAAAGGAAUAUUUUGAUGAUCGUUCUAGCUAUUAAAAUAGCUACCGAAAGAAGGUCUGAAAAUCAGUUAUCAGUCACAAAUAAGAGAAGAUGACAACAAGAAAGGUGAUCGGAGGUACAAAAAUUACAAAACAAGAGCAAGCUUACAUGAAUUUUCAAAGUUCAAAAGUGAAAAAAAGGUGGAGCACUCGCUACUUCUUUGUUUACUAUCUCACCUAUGUUAAAACUAUCGUUCUUUUGGAACAACACAUUUAUUCUUUGGCCACCGAUUUCUUAUCUUGGGCUCAUGGGUUCGUUACCUUUCAGUUAUUUGGAGAAUGAUUGUACUAAAAUCAUUAUAAAAUAAUCUAAUUGAAGAAUGUUGGAGGACAAAAAAAUAUUCUCUGGUGGAUGAGUAAAGAAAUCUUUUCCAGCACAAAUAUAUUCAGAUUUGAAAUUAUUCACUCAAUUUGCUUGACACAUUGCUCGGGCUUAAAUAUAGCAUCCAACUGCAUCCAUUGAGGCAUUUUACAUAUUAGAUAACGUAUUAUUGUCAGAAUGCGGAAGCAGAAUUAUCUAGAAAUUUAAAAAAAUAUUUAAUUCAAUAAACAAUAUCGUCUAGAUGUUCACGCGUAUGUUAUAUCAAGAAUAAAGGAUUCUAAUUUUUACCUAAAUUCGAUAAUCUAUUCUUUAAUUAAUUUUGAAUUACGAACUUCCAGCUCUUUGGAUCAUGAGCUUCCAGCUUUUUAAUUCCAAAAACUUCAUGCUUCAGACCUUCUAGUUUUCUAUGAUAUUCUCCAAAGUCAACACUACAUCAAUGGAUAGGCACUUUUAAAUUAAAUCAAGAAAAUAAUUCUUGAAUUGGACAAUUGAAUAAGAUGAGAAAAUAAUUGUUUUUUCUCUCUAAAUUUGAACACUAUGAAAUUAUGUAUUAUGAUUGUCGUACAAUCUCAUAGAAUGUCUAACUCCCAUCUAAUCUCUAUUUAUAGAGAUAGAGAAUAGCUAUAAUCCUUGUACAAUAAUAAUUCUACAUUCAAUUAAGAGUUCUAAUUAAAAUCCAAGUAGGAAUUUUAAUUAAAAUUCAAAUUAAAUUAGUUUACAUUUAAUUACAUAUAUAGCCCUAAAACUUCAAUUACAGUUAUAAUUAAGUCUACAACUUUCAUAGUAAUUACGACUAAGUAUAAAACUUUAUUAUAAUUACAAUUAAGGCUAAACCUAUUAUAAUUACCGUAAUUAAGUUUCAAUUCUUUAUAGGGCUACAAUAGGAACUUGAUCGGACAUAUAGUAUCCAAACUUCAAUAAUUAGAUCUUGUCUAGUCAAUCCUAGAUCGCCCAAUCUAUAUAUAGGCAAAACACUGAACUCCUGGAAUAUAUAAGAUCACAAAGCCAAUAAAUUUGUAAUACUUUCCUCUGACUUACCGUAUAUGUAUUUUAUCCCCGUUGAAAGUCCGAUAAUUAGGUAUGAGGAUAAACGACCAUUUUGCCCUUCUAAUAAUUCCCACUAACUCAAGUAUUAUUUUCUUCAAUGGUCAUGUGAACUAAUCACAGAUGUCGAAAUUUAGCCGUCAUUAAACACUGAAUUCAAAUUUUGAUUGUUUAAUAGAAAAUACUACCCAUUUUUUAGGUGACGGUUCCCCAGAUGAAUUCAUGUUCUCUACUCUGCUCAUUCUUAAGUUUCAAACUCAUCAAGAUAUUUGAUCAAUCAAAUUGAUUCUCACCUAUUGAUGAAUCAAAAAUCAUUAAAAUUGAAAAAUAUACAUAACACUGUCAAGGGAUUUAAAUGAAAUACACAGUAGUCAAGUGAAAUUUAAUUCUCUGCACGGUCAUGCUAUAGAAUUAAACUUGAUACGUGGUCCGUUCAAUACACUCCAAAUGUACUACUAUCACCUUUAACUAUUUCUGUGAUAAGGACAAAUCACAAACUUAAAUAGUCAAUCAGUCAACACUACAAACUUUCUGUACGAUGUGCCAACCCUUAUACAUUAAUUGUGAACAAAUCAUUUAUUAUCAAAAUAUAAGUUGUGUCACCUUGUACAUCUCAAUACAAGUACCUAACUAAUAUUAUCACAAGUGAUUAUAGGCACUUUAAUUCGCAUGUUUAAUAUAAAUAAAUGCAAUAAAUAAAUAAAAUCACAAUUUAUUUAUUAUAAAUUAUUAUUUUAUGAUAGCAAAAUAUACUAUAUGAACACACAAUCCAACGAUUAUAACCUUUAUUAUCUUGUUAGUAUUCUCCUAAUUACUUACUCUAAUCAAUUUUCCUUAGAUUCUUGGUAGAGUCACAUAUAUUAUUCUUUGUAGUUGCCCCCACAAUUUGUUAAAUAAUGCUCUUUUAUCCCAUAUUUGUAUAAAUGUAUGACAAAAUAAGCCCAUGUUUAGACUCCUUUAUUUCUAAAACUGAAUUUUUCAAAACUCAUUUUCAACCACAUUCUUCCAUAAGUAAUAUUAUUCACAAAUCCAAAAUUUUAUUAUCAUUUAACUAUGCAUUCAUUAAAAAAUUCACUAUUCAAAUUACAUUUUUUUCUUAAAAUCGUAUAAAUGGCAAAGCUGCUACAGGUGCAUUAUAGAUUAUAUUAUGAGUUACACUCUCCCAUGUGACAUGUUCAACAAUCCUAAAAUAUAUAAUCAAAGUUAUUUCUUCUUUUAUUUCUUGACAUGUUAAAAUUUGGAUCAACCUUAUUCGUUUCUAAGAAAUAGUAAAUUUUUAAAUUUGAAGAAUAAUUACAUUAACAUAAUUAUUAUUAAAAAUAUAUAUUUCAUAUUUAGCUUAGAAGAAAAUAAUUAAACGACAACUUUAUACUAACAGGAGAAGUUUAUAUAUCUUUUAAAAAAAUGAGGAUGUGAAUGUAAUUAUUGAAAAUUUCGAAGGACAUUAAUGAAACUUACAUAAAUAAAAGUGGAAAUUGAAAUGAAUGACUUUGCAUGUCAUUUCAAAUUAAUGAUUGAUAUUACCAUUGAACGUGAUAGAUUGACAUUUCAUUAACUACUCAAAAUUUGGGGAAGUCGAGCAAAUCGUUAGGAUUUUUCCAAUGCUUCAGGAUAGACACUUUGAUGCAUUAUAAGCCCCUGUUUCUCCCCCAUUAAAUCUCAUCAAAUUAAAUUAAUUUUUUCUCUCUCCUAUUUUCAACCACACAAUUUUCAAUAAAAUAAUAUUACACGUAAAUUGAAAACUUUUCAUUAUUUUACAACCAUCCAUUUUUUUUAAAAAAAAACAGCCAAAUUGGGGCUAAAAGCCUAUUCGAACUCCAUUUUUUGUCAAGUAGUGGUCUAAUGAAAAUUUGUAGUUGAAAAAGAAAUUUAAGUUUUCAUGAAAUAUUAAUUUAUCAAAGAAUAUGUGGUUAAAAUAAGAGAGAAAAAUGUAUUUUAAAAAUAAUAUAUACCAAACAAGGGCUAAGAACCUGUUGAGCUACUUUUUUUGCUCAAAAUGCUUUUUAGAAUAAUAUUUUAAUGGAAAAUGUGUGAUUGAAAAUUGAAUUUGCAAUCCGAGCUCACAAGUAAAAAGGGAGAAGCUUUGCUUCAUGGACAAUUGCUAUGCCUCCUCAGUGAAACACAGCCACACUGCAACGUGCUGAAGCGUGUAAUGUCAGGAAACAUUGAAAUGCAUUUUUCGAAGUGGUAGUCAAUUCGAAUUGGUGCUGACGCGGUACAUGUAGGUCUGAGCCGGUACAACCGAAGCAGUAAUCAUUCUGUAUUGGUACGAGGUAGUACGUACAUGUCCGAGUUGGCGCUACGACCCAAGAUAUAAAUCUUUUGGACAAGGAUCUGUCCAAAAGAUCUUUUGGAAUGAUGGAAGACACCUCGAACCGAUAGAUGAAUCCACGUGUUCCACAACUAACAAUACUCCUUCCAACUUUCUUUCUAUAAAUACCAAAGAGCCAAUCCUUUGUGAGGUAAUAUAACUUCACAAUUCAUGUUUAUAUUUACUCCUCCCCAUUUGUGAUAACGAUGUCCGGGGGUUGUUGUUACCAGAAAUCGUGGUUUUGUUUACCGUCUAUUGACUUGAUCGUCGGAGUGUAUGGGGUCACUACCAUCCUCACUCGGAAUGGCCAUAUACUUAUGACAAGUUUUUGACGUGUGCAAGGAGGAAUACAAGUGGAUUUGCUAUUUGUUGGCUGUGUGAAAGGUCCAUUUUCCGAGGUUAACGACAACUUUGCUUCUUCGUCGCUUCAUUCUGGCUACUAGCUUCUCAAGUGGGUAGCUUGGUAAGCAAGCUACCUUAGCAUUAGUAAACUCCCUAUCAAUAAUAGGCUAGAGUGAUGGGUAAGGUAGCUUGCUCUUCAAUGGAAAGGGGCAAUCACCCUUUCAGAGUCGAUCCUAUACAACUACCUUUUCGUGCAACAUGAUCAUGACCAAAGAUAUAGAAUUGCAAAGGAAGGACGAAAUGAACCAACCCACCCCUCUUGAUCGGAAAAAAAUUGAAGAAAGAAACCCUGGAUAUGCUACUGAAGCUGCUACUCGUGCUAGUUAAUCCAUAAUGAAGGUGCAAGUGCUAACAAAUCUGCCGCUAGCUCUACUAAUGAUGCUAUAGGUUACAGAUCAAUAUUACUUUAUUAAAAAGGGUGUAGUUGAAAAUAAGAUGGAAAAGUAUAUUUUGAAAAUAAUGGUGACCGAACAAAAUUGGCAAAUUGUGCAUCACUUUUGUACUUAACUAAGAACAUUAAUGCUAACUUUACAAAUGAAAUUUGAAUUACAGAUGUAACUUAUUGAAAAUAAAAUAACGCCCUCUCUUUGGAGGCCUUUAGUUUACUAUAAUUUAUUUUUCAGAUUUAUUUUAACUAUAAAUUCAUACAAUGAAAUAUUUUACACAAACUUAAAAAAUUUUUUCAGCUUUUUAAUCACGCUUUCUUCAAAAAAUAUUAUUCAAAACAUAGUUAUUUACAAUUAAAGGCCACCAAACCGAGCUAAUUAUAAUGUCCAUUUAUUACAUUAAUGUGUGUUGAAAUCAUUUAUAUUUAGAGUUUGUUUGAAACUCAUUUUAUUGGGAGAUUUGAUUUCUUAAUAAUGAUUUUUAGAAAAUGGGCGGUUAAAAUGUAAGGUAACAUCUUAAAAUUAAUAUGUAAAAUUAUUUUAGAGGGAAAAUAUAAUUACGAGAAAAAUGAAAUUUUAAAGAACAAAGCUCAAACAUAGGCUUAAAAAAUGUAUUCUAUUUAUAACGUGACUGACGAGAAGCACAUGCCACGCACCAUCACACUGUUAAAUUUUGAUAUUGUUGAAUUUUAGCCACUAAACUUUAAAAAAAAAAAUGUCUUCAAUUGCUCAUUACACUUUCAGGUGGUCGAAUUUUGGCGGCUAAACUUUGAUAUAGUCAAAUUUUGGCUACUAAAUUUUGAAAAACGUCUUCUAUUGCUCACUAUAAAUUUAGAUUCUGUUUAUCUUCCUUUAAAAUAAAACUAUUUAAUUUUUCAUACUCAUUUUUAACCACACAAUUAUAUAAUAUAAAUAUUUUACACGUAAACUCAAAAUUUUUUCCAAUGUUUUAACCACACAUUAUCCAAAAAAUCAUUAUUUAAAACUCAUUUUUCAAAAAAAAAUAAAUUAUGGCGAUCAAACAGGGGUUAAAAUUGAAUUUAAUUUAAUUUUAACAAUAAAUAUAUUGUGUAUUUCAUUGCAAUUAGUAAUCAAUUCCUUUGUGCAGCUUUGUAAAUAAAUGACAACCAAACAAAAUUAGCAAAUUGCGCACCACUUUUGUACUUAACUAAGAGCAUUAAUGUUAACAUUACAGAUGAAAUUUGAACUAUAGACAUAAUCUAUUGAAAAUAAAAUUAUGCCCCCCCCCCCCUUUAAUUUAUUUCUCACACUCAUUUUUAACUACAAAUUCAUACAAUAAAAUUUUUACACAUAAAUCCAAAUUUUUUUUUUUUUUUACUUUUUAAUCACACUUUCUUAAAUAAAACAGUAUUCAAAACAUAGUUUUUUACAAUUUCAGGUCACCAAACCAGGCUAACUAUAAUGUCUAUUUAUUACAUUAAUGUAGACUGAAAGCAUUUAUAUUUAGGGUUUGUUUGAACCUCAUUUUAGAGAAUGAUUGGUUUUACAAAUAUAAGCUUGUUUUAGAAGAAUCUGUCUAUGUAAGUAGUUUGAUAAUGUUACUUCUUUUUAGGUAUGAAAGGAGGAAUUAGAGAGCUAGCUAUAAGAGGCAAACAAUGUUGUUAUUGAGUUAAUGUCGAUUUAGUUGUCUUCUCAUGAUGCUUGAAGAAGAUUUUGCUUUUGAGAUAGGGAUAGAAAUCUUAAUAUUAAAAAUUAAGCUUCUUUGUCAGAAAGAUAUUGCCACCUUUGUUGACAGAUACUCACAUGGAGUGGGAACCUUGUGAAUGAAAAAAGCCCAAAAGAUUCAUGCUUCCCUUCCCUUAUUUUGAGGGAUUUGUCAGGGAGGGUGUCAAUUCGUCGUUAUUAGCAUAGCAGAAUUGUAAUUUUAAUGUGGGAUAUGACUCCAUAAUUUUUAGUAAACUUAUCAGAAGUUUGAGGAUUGAUUUGUACAGUUUCAAAACUUGAGGAGGACAAUUUUUGGCUCUUAUGGAUGUUAGAAGUGAUCGGUGGAUUCCAUGAUCCGAUCAUGAAAAGCAACCUCAGUCGGUUCGAUUGGAGUCCAAGCUCCUCGUUGGACAUGGUCGUGUCGUAGUUUUCCAAUAUUGAAAAGGUAGAAUUCUUUUUAUUUUAUCCGGGAUUAUUUUAGGUCUUUUUGAGGCAUGGCUUUUGAGAUGGGCCUAUCACUAUAGACAGAUCUAUUCUAGAUUAAAAUGAAGAGGACACAAUAAAGAUAGUGAGGAUGUAAACGAGUCGAAGCUCAUGGUUCGAGUACAAAUGGAUUGAGCUUUUUUUGGCCCGAGUCAAGCCGAGCCAUAGCUCGGUCGAAAAAAGGUGCUAGGCUUGGGCCUUUUCGAGUCAAGCUGAGUCAAACUGGCACUUCAUUUUUCCUAAAAUUUUAAUUACUUUUUUCAAGGCAACUACCUCUAAAGCUACCUUUUCAAAGGCUUUAUACACAAGGCACCCGUGUUAGUGUGACACGGCAUGAGACUCGAUUCCAACAAGCUGCGAUCCAAGUCGGCUCGAAAUUUUUUUGGUCCGUGCCACAUGUCAUUUGAUCCAAUGAGCCAAAUUGACAUACCUAAUAGAGAGUUACAAGUAAAAUAGAAAGAAUAUCCAAGAGAGAGAGAGAGAGAGAGAGAGAGAGAGAGAGAGAGAGAGAGAGAGAAAAAAAAUCAAGGAUUUCAAAAUUUUGUUCCAAGUACAAGAAGAUUAUCUUUUCCUCGUUGUCUUUUAAACAAGGUGAAGUAAUUCAAAUGCUCCACAUGUUUCUCUUUUCAUAUAAUGUGCAACUAAGUCAAUAGUAGGGAUGAAAUAUUAAAAUGUAGUUUUGAACCUUAAUUUUAUUUAUGAAGAUUUGACUUUAAGUUAAUAUUUGGAUAUUGUUUUUACUUUUAUUAUUAUUGCUUUAAAUCAAUUUGGCAUUGUUUCAUUGAUUUGUAAGCACUGAGUCGAGAGGUGAGUUAUUAUUUUAGACCUCACAGUAAAAAUUAAAAUUUGGGUAAAAGAUACAUAUUUACUAAGUUUGCAGUCAUUAAUUGAAUAUUUUUGUGAUUGUAUACUCUUAGUUAAGACUUACUAUGACUUAAUAAAGACAUAGCUACUUAACUUAUUGAAUAAGAUUGAUUUAAAUUCGAGAGAUGUAAAUCAAUUUUGAUUAGAAGAACUCGACAUGAUGCGCAUAAUUGAGUAUUGUUGAAAUUUGGUUAUUGAAAUUAGAGGGAUAGCUAUGAUGAACUCAUAAACCAUAACACUUCUUGUUCAUUAAUUAAAAUCAUAAAUUAUCUAUUUCUACACUUCUUUAAUUAUUUUGUAGAGUUAUAAUAUUUAUUAUCAUAAUUUAAAUUAUUUUCAAAUAUUUUGCCCUAUACAUUAAAAGAGUGACCUAAUUUCGGCACUAUUCAUAGGGUUGCAUGCCAACAGUUUUUUUCCUCCAACCAUUGAAAAACUGCUAGCUGAGUUGCUUCUACUCUUACGCAACUAUCUCAUUUUCUAUUUCUCUUAACACAGCUAUAUCACUUUCUAUUUCUCUUUGUAUUCUCAGCCUCAAAUUGAAUCUUAGUUAACUAAUAAAUAUACGUGUCUUUGAACAAAAACAAAUUAAUAAUCUGGGAGAUAAAAAAAAUUGAUAUUUUUAUUUCUUCAAAUCCUCUUUGCAGUCCACAUCACCAUCUACCACCAUUCCAAUCAACCCGAUUUAACCUAUAAAAUUAUUGUAAGGUUGAGUAUUUAAAAAUAUCCAUUAAGAUACAUGCAGUUUCCAUACACAAUUAUUACAUGAUCAAAAUUUUAAAAAAUAGUUAUCCUUAAACUCUUAAUUCUUAUCAAAAUACUUUAAUUUUAUUUAUUUAGAGAUUUUCUAAAAUGGGAAUUUCAUUAAAUAAAAGUUUUUAAAAAUAAAUAUGUAAAAUGGCGAUGAAAUCAACUUAAAACUAUUGUUUCAAUACAUAAAACAAUCAUUUAAUAUCCAACCAUUAAAAAAGAAAAAUCUAUCAAAUAAAAUAAAUUAAAAAUAUAUGCAAGUGCAUUGUUCACGUGAAUAGUGAAUAGUAAGUAUUGUUCAUAUGAUUUUUUUCUUAAAGAUGCCUACAGAUUUGAAGACAUGUGCUCAAAUACCAAGCUAUAACACCCCAAAUUUUUAUAAACAUUGGAGUGCUGCCAAAAAUUCAAUUUUCUUCAUGUUAAAUGUGAAAUGAACAUAUAUAAAAGUAAUUCAUUUAUUUUCAACCAUAAAUAUCAAUUAAAACGUGGAAUUCAAAUUUUAAAAAAUUUCAAAAAUAAUCAGUUAACUAAUUAAUAAACGUGUCUUUGAACAAAAACUAACUAACAAACUGGGAGAUAAAAAAAUUUAAUAAUCUUAUUUCUUCAAAUCUUCUUGGUAGUCCGCAUCACCAUCCCGUCAUAGUUCCAAUCGAUCCGAUUUAAUUUGUUAAAAUUAUUCUAAGAGUGAGUAUUUAAAAAUACCCAAUAAAAUACGUUCAUUUUUCAUGCACAAUUAUAUAACAAUAAAUUAUACACUUCAUACCACUCUUCUCUUAUGGAGCGUACCGGCAACCGAGUGACACAUCCAUCUCAAGUCCUCUUAAAUUUUUGUAGGAUUUCAUAUCACUUUCUAUAGAACCUGAAUGUCCAUUGAUAAUUUAUGCAUAUUUAAUUGAAUACAUAAAAGCAUAAGGAAAUAAACCACUUGCACAAAAGUAUCUUACCUUUAUUGAUUUGAAAAGUUGUAUUGGAUUGUAAAAUAAUGCACAUGAAAACCGUUUUCUUUUCCUCUCUCUUUCUUGUAUGAAUAAAAUAUAUUAUAUGGUAAUAUUGUAGGAUUCUCUCUCUAGCUUGUAGUUUUCUUUGGCCGUGUAUGUAUAAUAUCUUCAUGGUGAAAAAUUUCUCUUGAUUUAUGGGAGUAUUUAUAGGACUUAUAACCUACAAUAUCGAUUGAAUUUCAUUGCAACAAGGAGACUUGGAUAUAGUGAAUGGAACUGUAUAGAAUGGGUUUCCUAGUGAAACUUAUAAUUCUAAUUCCAAUGGAUAACAAUGAAAGUGCUUUUUAAUUCAAAUAGAAAACUAAUCAAUUUAAAAGGAAAAAAAAAAAGGUUUCUAUAUUCAUCCUAGAUACAAACACGUGGUUGCCCCCUCUAAUUUCUAUUUAAUUAAAAAAUUAAUAAAUGACAAUUUCUUUAAACUUCAAUAUCUUGAGUUUAACUUAUCCGAAUUAACUUUUUCUCGAGUCGAAUAGUUAUAAUUGAUUAUACGCUACAAAAAGAGUCCAAUAUUGAUUUACUUAUAUUUGCUCUAUCAAAAUCUAAUUAUUAGACUCAAUUAAAAUUAAAAUUUAAUUAUUUCACUUUAGUUCCUCAACUUUCAAAAUAUAAAUAUGUAGCAUAUAAAACAAAUAAAUUUUAUUCUAUAAAAUUUUCGGGGUAUUACCUUUUGCAUCGAAUUCCACCACAGAAAACCCUAGCUUGCUCCUUCUCAAAACUCACUCAUCUCUCGACCAUCAAAGAAUUUACUCACUCCAUUCCAAAACUCUUAGAUCCCCGAUGAAAUUGUAAGAAGAAGAAACUCCUUUGCUAAGGGGAGCAGUGAUGAAGGUAUAAUCAGACGUCGGAUCUCCUCCAUCUCAUAUGAAUCGACCCAGUGGUCGAAAACUCUCUUAAAACUUCAUAGCUUCCUAUAGGGCGAACUCACUCCUAUCUUAUCUUGUAUUUGCUUAAUCUUAUUAUUGUUCCAAAAUUGGUAUUAUGCUCAUGACAUCUAUUACAUAAGUAUUUUUUUACCUUUUUUUUUCAACUUUACUGUAUGAUUACAAAUAAGUUAUUAGAUAAAAUGUUCAGGCACCAAUGAUGUGAUCGAGUACGAUCACAAAUAAAAUGAUCAAUUGCAGACAACUCCAUCAGAAAUAUUUAAGAGAUUACCUAACUCAAGCAUGUAAAGCAAAAGACUUGUGAUUUUGUGUAUAUAAAGUUUGCAAGUAUUUUUUUCCGUCCCUUAAAUUACUACAAAAGCUGCCAAUUAUAGUAUUGAGGUCGACAUGGUUACCGUUGGAGUAGAACAACGUUGCCUAUUAACCAGAACUUCACAUUACUCUUUGCCAUACAUUAGUUACAUUAAUAAGGGGUUAGCCACCCUAAACCAUCUGCUGAUACUUAUUAAUGUAAAUGUUGCAUCAAUAAUUUUACAAACACUCUACAGAUUCGCUUUAAAGGCGGCAACCGCUUCAGCUUGGAGAGAGGCUUUGGAUGGGAAGAGGUUCGAUGACAAGGAAGGAUGCUUUGGCUAAAGAGCAGCUUUGUUCCCUUUCUUUAUUUUGACAUUGUUGACUGCCAGAUAUUUACAUGUAGUGCCUCACAUAGAGCUUUAGAUAGGAGCUGUAAUAGAAUCAUUUGACCAAUUGAAUUAUACCUAUUGUGCAAAGUGAUCAAAUUACCUUUUUCUGGAAAAGGACAAAGAAAUAUUCAGUCGUUGGGCCUAAUACAUAUUGAUGUGUAUAGAUCGAUGUCAAUCAUCGCUAGAGAUUGUUUCUCUUACUUCAUCACUUUUACUAAUGACCAUUCUAAAUAUAAUUAUGUAUACUUAAUGAUUCAAGCAUGAAGCACUUGAAAAGUUCAAGAAAUUUAAGGUAGAUGUAGAGAAGCAAAUUGGUAAAGACAUUUUCACACUAAGAUUUGAUCGAUGUGUCGAAUAUCUUCAAUGAGAAUUGUUAAAUUAUCUAAAGGAGAUUAAGAUAAACAACAACAUAAUGAUGUAUCUAAACAGAGGAAUCCCAUGCUAUUAGACAUGGUGUGAUCAAUUAUAAGACAUGCAAACCUUUCAAUAUCGUGUCUUAUCUAAGUCGGUUGACAAAAUUCAAUACGAGUUAAUGAAAGGCAGGAAACCCAACUUAUAUCAUAUUAAAGUUUGGGACUGCAACGUUUAUAUGAAGCACACUUAUGGAAAUAAUUUGUACUUAAUAAAAAUAUAAGAUAAUUAAAUUAAAUGUAAAUUUAUUUACAAAAUGAAGUCAAUAUUUCUAAGUGUGAUAAUACUGAAUCAAUCUCACUACCAGAAGUCGUCUCGAAUCAUUUUAUCUUUAUCAUCCGAAAAUGGAGAAGAAUAACAUAGAAUGAACCAAUGCUCAGUAAGCAAACCACAUGCAUAUGAUAUGCGUGUAAAUUACUUUAAUAAAAAAGUAUCUCAAUAUGUAUCUUAUUUUCAUUCAUUCUUUAAAAACCUUAAUAUUGAUAUCGUGAGCUCACUUGAUGCAUCACCUAGUCAAUCAGAAUGUAGUAGUGGACCAUGUUAUUUGGAACUCGAUCAAAUAUUUCGGUAGUAUCGAAAAGUGAUUAACGUUAAGUAUGAAUAUUAGUCGGGUAUGUUGGUUCCCUAUGCCUCAUUUCUCACUCACACCUUCAUAACAUAGACAUACACCUCAUAAUAAAAACAUUAGAGAUACAUAUCCUUCUAAAAACAUUCCUUCUCACACUGACAUUUAAAAACUCUUUAUUUCAUGAAAUUCCAUGAUGUUUAUGAAUGAAUUGAUAUUUAUGAAUUAUAAUUAAAAAUAUUUAUGAUAUAAAACAUAAUGAUAAAAUAUUAAUUUCAUAUAAUACCAAUUUAGAUAACACAUUUAACGAAGUAAUAUACAUAUGAAGACAAUAGGUAAUUUACUUACGUUGAGUUCUAACAAUUUAUUUUUCGAAUGACAAGUGAAGAUAUUCCAAGACACCCACGAAGUCAGCGUGCCAAAACCCUAAGUCACUUCCAUUUAUUUAUUUAUUUAUUUAUAUCCCUAAAGAGAGGAGGGGUAAAGAUUUAAACGACUCUUUAAAUUUCAAUGUGAAUCAAACUAACAUUUGGUUACAAACAAAUCAAUAUGUUGAUAAAAACAUAUAAACUAGUAAGUGAUUUAAAUCCAAAUAAAAUUUAGAAUAUGUAGCUAAUAUUAUACAUCGAAUGAAGAAUAAUGUGUCAGUUUCCUUUCUAAAUUAUAAAGGAUUGCUAAUUUGUUGAUUCCCAAGUUCAUACUAAUAGAAAGUUGAUGCCAAUGAAAAAUCAUUGUAUAAAAUCAAAAAACAAUUAAAUCCCCAUAGUUUUAGAUAGGCAAAGAAGAAUUUUUCUUUUUUUUUUUUUUAUGCAAAUCAACAAGAGUUUUCUUAUAAUUUAGAAUUUAACACACAUCUAUAUGAACCUCAUUCAUUUAACUAUUUAUUUGAGGAAAUUAGAUUGCCAAUUCUCAGUUAUCCAGGUGAAAAAAUUAAUUUAACAAAAGAAUCAAAUGGCAAAAUAACAAAGUGAUUCUUGCUCAAUUAAAGUUAUGCAUAAAGGGGCUUUAAAGGACCAUGAAAUUAUAUACAUUUAUAUAUAAGUAUAUAUGUAUCCACACAUACCCACGUAUAUGUGCAUGUGUGUGUAAAAAAUCAUAUCCUUAUUCAGUCAAUUUAAUGAAUUUCAGUGGCCCAAUAACAUGUUUAACACUAAAUUACCAUAAAAUAUUAAAAAGAUAAAAUAAUUAUACCUUCAAUUGCAAGAAUUCCCACUUUCAGAAGAUGUAGCCGAUAACAGUAGUGGUUUGAAUACUAAUUCAAUUAGAAACGUAUAUGGAAUUUACUCAAGAAUUAACUACUGGAUUUGGGUAAAGAUUCGAACUCUUUAUUCUUGAUAUAACAUACAUGUGAACAUCUAGAGGAUAUUGUUUAUUAAAUUAAAGUUUUUUUUUAAUUUCUUUUCGCUUCUGCAUUCCAACAACUAAUAUCAAAGCAAUUUAAAUUUUUUUACGUAUUUGUUAUUUCUGAAUCUUGAUUGCAUAUUCUAGUUGAGCGAUAUCUACAAAUAAUUUGUUAUGUGUUGAUUGAAUAAUUGGUUUAUUCAAACUAUGAUCCUAUUAUUUGUGGCCAGUUCUUGAUGCAAUUCGUUAUUUUGAAUAUGUAACAAUAUAGAUGGAUUUCGACACCAUCAUCUUGAUUUAAUUUUCAUUUCAAAUAGGUUCAAAAUUUUGAGUCGACCGGACAUAUGAAUUAUGUAAUUCUUAUAAUUAUUGAUUCUUAUAAAAUGAUUGAAGAUUGAAGACCUAGUAGACAUGACGAGAAAGAAAAUUCAAGAAUUUGCGACGGUUUUAAAAAAAAUUAAUUUUAUAGCGUGCAGCUUUACGAUGGCCACUAUUGCUAGACGCAAUGGGCAACAACGAGCUUCCCAAGUAGGCAACUGUCGGCUAUUAAAGUAGCUGCCCAAGCUAGUUGAUCAGCGUCUUACUUAUGUUUGGUACAAUAGAUUGGUCAACUUUGAUAUAGGUUUAGUUUUGUAUGGACUGGGUCAAAUCAAGAUAAGUCAGGUACAAAAUUAAUUAAUUUUUAAAGGUAUGGUGAUGGAUUACUAUUUUGGAUCCUUGAAAAUUCUCAAGUUGAAAAUUCAAAUUAAGUAUUGAGCUUAGGUCCAAUUAGUUUUUAAUUUAAUUUUUGGGUCGACUUUUGGGCCAUAAAUAAUUGUCAAUUUAUCACUUUAUGAAUACUUUAAAUUAUUGUUUAUAAUAUUAUCGCUCUAGAUAUCAUGAUAUGAUAAACAGGAUGCAUAUCAUCGUACACUAAUUUUUCUUUUAUUAAUUUAAUUUAGAUUAAAUUUUUUUGGAUGAAAAUUUCGUAAUAAUUAAAUUGCAUAUUAAUUUGAUUAAUGUGAAUAGUUGAUAAUUAUUUAUAUUUUUCUUGAUUAUUAAAUUUAAAGUAAAUUUAUUUGGAAGGAGAUUUUUUAAUAAUUAAACUGUAUGUUAAUUUUAUUUAUUUGAAUAGCUGAUAAUUAUUUAAAAAAUUCUUGAUUAAUUUAAUUUAGAUUAAAUUUAUCUUGAAGGAAAUUUUGUAAUAAUUAAACUAUAUAUUAAUUUGAUUAAUGUGAAAUGUGGCAAUUAUUUAUGAUUAAAAUUCAUUAAUUUAAAAUAUUGAGUGAAAUGGGCAUUUAUUUAAAUAAAAGUCUAAGGUCUCAUUUGAUCAACCCAUAAGCAAAUUAACGCACUUGCCUCGUGUCGAUAAUGCAACGAACUCCCUAUAAGAGGGCCACGUAGUUCGAAUUGUUUGGUUGGAUUUUCCUAUGAUAGGACCGUCUAAAUAAAACAUAAUUUGACAUCAUACUAUAGACGGUGAAAUUAUUUUCAUGUCCUUAGAGAUUGAGACAAAUGCUAUACAUUCAAAUCGAGAUCAUCAGCAAACCUUCUAUAGAUGCUCUUAUUUAUGAUGUUGGUGACCAAAUAAAAUGAUACUAGACUAAUAUAGAAAUUGUUAUCAGAUAUGAUUUAUCUAGUAGGAGGGUUUCAACUUGAUCAGUAAACACAGUGACAUUUCCUAUAGAGGGGUCUGCUGAAUCACAACGAUCAAAUAAUUGUUACAUUAUUGUAGUUAGAUGGAUUUACAUGUGCAUUCAUGCAUCAUAUGUUAAAUUUUUAUUUGCUACUCAAUUUUAAUAUGCAACAAAUGAUUAUUUUUAUGUGAAAUAUUACUUGACUAAUUUUUCUGUUAUUCUAAAACAAAACCAACUAAUCUAAAAAAAUUAUGUGGACUGAAAACGUAAUUUGAUAUUUCUGCUCAAUGCAGAAAAACUUAAUUUUGUGCUUCAGGGAUGUCUUGAUAGACCUACAAAGACCAUAUAAAAAGUCCGAAAAUUUGAAUAUAUUGAGUGGAAGACUGUAGACAAGAUGGCUAGCUAUUUUAUUUUGACUUCAAUGUCAAACAUGUUACAAUAAAAUGCUUGAAAGUCAGAGUAGCUUCCAUAACAUAUUCCAAACUCUUCAGGGCAUGUUUGGUCAUCAAAAUGGGAAGACAGAUAAUUAUGUUUUUGCACACUUAUUUAAUACCUAAAUAUGCUUAUUAUUGAUGAAAAAAGUGGAUAUCGACUCUAAGUCAUAAACCUCAAAUGAAAAGAGAACAAGGCAAAAUGGAGUAAAAUGGGACGAAAGGCAUACAAAAAUUGUGAAGUUGAGACCAAAAUGCGUAAGUGCAGAAAGUUGAAGGACCUUGGAUGCAAUUUAUGGAGGGAGUAAAUGAAAAAAGCCUAAAUUUGAUGACCAAAUUGCACAAGAUUAGAGCUAAGGGUCAUUUAGUGCAAAUUACUAGAGGACUUGUGUGCAAAAGAAAAAGAAAAUUGGAAUGAAAUGAUUCAUUUUGGCGUAGAGAUGGGUACAUAAAAAAUUUGGGAUCAUUUUUAUUGUUUGUUCAAAAUAUAGGGACUUAGAUGCAAAUUCUCUAGAUUUUUAAAGUUAAAAACCGGCAGCCUUAUUCUGUCUCCUUUCUUCUUCAAUUUUUCAUCUCUUUCUUUUCCUUCCUUUUCUUUUCUUUUUCUUUCUUUCAUCUUUCUUUUCUUUUCCUUUUCAUUUUCUUGGUAUUUUUGGAGCAAAUCAUAAAGCACAAGGAAAGUAUAUUCAAGGAUGUAGAGAGAUUUUGGAAAUAUCAAGUUCAGGCCUUUAACAGCUUCAAAAAUCCAACAAAAAUGGUUGUAUCUCGAAUCUUGUAUUUUCUUUAUUAAUAUCUUCUAGUUGCAAUGUAUUAUAUAAAAUAUUCCCCUUUUUAUCAUAUGUUAACAUUGGCUAAAUAUUUGUUUUGGAUUUAUGGUAGUAACUUAAAUUGGCUUGGAUUAAUUUCAAUAUUUGCUUUUUAAUGUCCACUUCAUAUUUGCAUUGCUUCUUCAAAAUAUUUAACUAAAGAUGGAUAUUUUUAAAAUUCCUUUCCAUUGUGCUUUAUCGAGUAUGAACAGUUUUCCAACACACUGAUAUUAAGAACGACAUGGAAUACAGUAUGACUUUCAUCUAAAGCAUUAGGUACAAAGGUAUCAAAACCAAAGGUUUAUAUGUUUUUGAAAACUUAGCCCCUGUUCGACGGCUUACUUUCAAAACUCAUUUUUAUUUUUUUACAUAUUCAUUUGUAAUACAUUCGCAUAAUAAAAUAUUUUACACGUAAAUUUAUAACUUUCCUUUUUUUUAACCGCACAUUCUAGAGCCCCAAAAUUUCUAGUUGUGUUGCAUAUAAUUUACUUGUCAAUUAAUAGGAAUGUCAUGUCUAGUAAAUCUAUAUGCAACUCCAUUUGCUAUGCCUAAUAGUUAAUUUGCAUUAUAUGUUUUUUCCUUAAUAGUCGAGGGAUCAAAGAGAAAAUAAAUAAAUUGUAAAUGAACUAGUAUGCAUAUUCAUUUCCUUCAUAAUUUUCGGUCAAUACAGUUUUGGGAAAAGUGAAACAGCUAUAACCAUGAUUAAUAAUAUUAAUUAUUACAAAUCCAAUUAAGGUUAUAGUUAUACAAUUUGACUAGGAUGUUGAUAUUAUUUAUCACAAAUUCAAUUAAGAUUAUUCAAUUUGACUAGAAUGCUUUGGAAAUCAAUGAUAUAAAUAUAUUAUAUUUAUCAUAAAUUAAUUUUGCUUAUCACCAUUUAAGUUUGUAGUUUAGUUAAAAUUUAAUUAUUAGUCAAUUUAGGAUAACCAUUCAUGUUUAGACAAGUCAUACGAGUAUUUUAUGUAUUGGAUAUUUAACACAAUUGAACCAAUUAAUUAGUCAUUAUCUACAUAAUCGAGGAUAAUAACUAAUUGGUUAUGAUACAAUCCUAAUCCUAAUCAAAAUACCUUAAUAUAUAAAUACCAACACCAUGCACAUAUGUUUGCCACAAAACCCAUUCUUUAACUUUUGUUUCAUUCUUUAAAAUUUCAGCAUAAAUCCCUCUCUAUUUACAAAUUUCAGGUAAAAAAUAGCACAUUGGACAGAGGUGGAUGAGAUGUGCCGAACCAAUGGAUUAUUGUCGCAACGUGUCUUAUUUGUUGAAUUUUAUUAGUAUGGAGUAACAUAAUAAUUUUUAAUUAGUCCUAGUUCAAUUUUUAUUCACUAUGUCAUUAUAUUAAAAUUUAUUUUUUGAUGAAGUUAAGAAAUUCAUAUCUAGCAAUGCAUCGAGUUGCUAGAAUUCAGGGCACUACACGUAUUCUCCACAAAUGUUACACCCCAUUUCAUACUAGUCAAAGGUUAAUAUUAUUUAUUCAAAGUCAAAUGUUUGACUGGUCAAAGUCAAAUUCAAAUAAGGACUUAAAUGAAGUAAAUCAUUUUAGUGGGAUUUGAAUUGACUAAAUUGUUUUUGGGGGGUUUAUUUUACAAAUUGACAACAUUAGAAGGUUUAAGAUGGAUAAAAUUUAAAUUUUGGGAAAUACUUAUUAAUUAUUAAAAGUUAGAUGACUUAAUAAGAUAUUAUAUGAAGUUUGGAGGACUUGAUAGCAAAAUGGUUUAAUGGUGGAUUACAAGUGGCACUUUGCAUGCCAUUUCUUCAUUUUCAUAUUACAUACAUACACACAAGAAAUCUGAGGAACGAAGUGGGGCAAAAAAAAAAAAAAAAAUCGGCAAAAAGAAGGGAAGAAAAGAGAAGAAGGGAGGGCAAAAAAAAAAGGAAAAAGAUGUUAUUGAACAAGAUGAUAAUUGGACUCAAGUACAAGGUUCAUCCUUUCUUACAUUCUAUUCCAAGAGGUAAGAAAACUCAUUGUUAUUCAAUAUUGUUAGAUUUGGAUUUGUAAUUAGUGGCCUAACUUAAAAGAUUUGGAAGAAAGAAUAGAUAAUGGAGUUAGAUAUAUGUUAAAGUAUUAUGAAAUGGGUUUGUAAAUUAAAGCCUAAAUCUUUUAUGUUUAUAGUGUAUAUGAUAUAAAAUACUUGAUUUAUGAUGUAUUACAAUGAGAUAUGGAGUUAAGGUUGGAUUUUUGUAUUUUUUUUAAUUAAUUUUCGAGCAAAAUUCAUGCAUAGCUAUAUUUUUGAAAUUCUGCCCAGAAAGUGCCAUUUCUGUCAAUGGUUUUGGUGGCAGAUUUCAAUAUACAGAAAUUGGUGCUAGAUUUCUAUAUUCUGGAAUUUUAGUGCUAUUUUUGUCAAACCUUGGAUUUCCAUAUUUUUAAAGGUUUGAAUGAAUUUAUAUGACAAAUAUUGAAGUCUACGUAUCGAACUAAAUAUGUAUAAGGUUUGUAUAGUAUAUAUAUAAAGUAGUGAUUUUAAGAAAUUAUAGUGAUUUAAUGGAUUUGAUGAUGUUUGGUGAUUUAUUAGUAAAUAAUUAAAGAGAUGAAAAGUUAAAGAAAUAGAGAGGCAAGAAUAAAUAUAGAAGUUAGGGGAACUACAUGGUAGAUUUGUAGUAGUUUAAUUGUUAGAUUUUGAUUUGAGUUAUUAUAUCGUUAUUUCAAGUAGUGGCAUGAAAGUUUGGAAAUGCCCAUCAAUUUAGUCGGAUUGCUAUCCAUACAUACAUCUGUGAGUGGAAAACUUAUAUAUUUUCAAAUAGUAAUAAGGUACUUAUACUAUUACAUUACGUGUGAUUAUGCAAAUUAUUUGUUUAACUACAUAAUUAAUAUGGAAAGAUUCUUUCACUAUGAUAUAUGUAGAAUUUAAAGUUUGGAUAUCGAUUUGUGAGUUGGAAUGUAAGACAUAUGUGAUAUUGAGAUCGACCAGAAAAGUACCCAUGAUUAUAUACUUCUUCUAGUUCACAGAGGAGUCUUGGCCGUGUUAUAUCCUACACAGAGGGGUCUUGAUCGGAUACUGGUCUUGAUCGUGUACAUAUAGUUCACAGAGGGGUCUUGAUCGUAUUCUAGAAUUGAUUACCAGAGGUCUUGAGAUUGACUUUCGUUCACGUAGGAGGCCAAAGGCCAGUGGUGAAAGUGCUUAGCCCGAGGGGCAGAUUACAUAUUUUAGUCAGAGGAAACAUUUUUGGUGGAUCACAUAUGAUAUGAUAAGAUGAUGAUAUAGAUAUCAGCUGAUGACUAUAUCAUGGAUAUGAGAUGAUAUUUACAGAGCUAUGAGAAUGUCUCAUUUUUUGGCUAUAAAUUUUAUGAGACUAUCAUGUGUAAUACUAAACGAUAUGAACUUGAUGUCUAUGUAUGAGAAAAAUGUUUAAAUGAGAAAGUAUAAUUAUUUUCGAACUCUUCAACUCACUGAGUUAUAAACUCAUAUUUUUCCACAAUAUUUCUUACAGGUAGUAUUGGUCCCCUGAUAGCUUGAGGAGCCUAGUGGUUUUAGAAUUAGAGUCAUACGACAUAUUAAGUGAUGUGAUUCAUUUUGGUAAAACAUGAAGUAAUUAUUCCGGGCCCAUUGCAUUAUAUUUUUCAUAAAUAUUUGAUUUUGGUGCAUAUUUUGUAGUAAGUCAUAAUUAGGUUUGGUGGUGGAUCUGAUAUCUAGUCAGCGUCUAUCGUCGAUGCACGUCACGUUUCUAGUCCAUUAGGGUGAUUCGGGAUGGGGCGUGUCAGAGUGGUAUCAGAUCAUGGUUUAUAAAGUUUUGAAAGUCUUUUGUAGUUCAUGCAUUGGCAUAUCAUGCAUAUUUGUAUGGUCAUAUGUCGUGGUGGCGAAAAUCACAGGCUCUCAAGCUUAAAAUGUAUGGGACCAAAAAUGAUAAAAAGAUAUUUUUAACAGAUCCAAAAAGACUAGUAUGUAAAUAUGAUAGUUGCAAUGAUCCGAAGGUUGGAAAAUGUUAUUAGUUUUGGGUUAGAAUUAUGGUAUAUGUAACAUAUUAAGAGUUGGACAGAUUUUAAUGAUUUUACAAGUUGUUUAUGUAUCAGCAUUUAAAGUGAUAGAUGGUACAACCACUUAAUUAUCAAUUUAUAUGUCGAAUUACUUGAUAUAGUUUGCAUGACAAAUAAAAGGAAAUGAGAUGCUAACAAUUAGUGAGGAAUUUUAAUUAUCUAGGGUGAUUCCAAUUACUUUGAUUAUUUAUAAGAUGUUGAUUAUAAGGGAUGUGAAAAAAAUGAUAUACUUCAUCAUGAUUACUUAUUAUGGGAUAAUUUGUUACUCAAGAAAUAGAAUUGAAUGGAUAUGUGCAUUCAUGUUUUGGAAUUUAUUGAGUUUGGAAAAUUAACAUAUGAAAUCUUGAUAAUAUAUUGAUGUAUGAAAUGUUCACGGGAUAAAUAUGAGGGUUAUUAUUUAGUAAUGCUAAGGAAAAAUUGACAAAAAUUAAAUGUUUUAUGUCCUGCGAUAUGACGAUAAAUAAUAAGGUUACAUGAUCAUAACAUGAUAUAGUGAAUAACAAGUAAAUGAAUGUUACGGUUGUCCUAUAACGAAAUAAUGAGAUGAUGUAUUUGGAUUAUUAAGUUAAUUGGUUUUGCCAUGACCAUUUGUUGGAUUAUUAUGUUAUCUUAUAUACAAUUUGGAAACUAUGAGCCAAAUUUUGAAGUUAAGGUGAAUUUAAUGAAGUUUUAGUGAUGUAAAUUUUGAGUUAUUUUCAAUUGUAUUUUUAGAUUUCAUGAAUAAAAUAUUUUAUUCUUCUCGAAAUUUACACGUUAUGGAACAUAUGCAUAAUAUGUUGGAUAGCUUAAAGUCUAAGACGAUCAUCAUGUAAAUUUUAUUAAAUUAUGGAAAGGUAUCUUUAGGUUAUAGUCUUAAUUGAAGGUCUUUGUGCGAUAUACAAGAAAGCUUAUGCAUUGGUGAUAGGUUGAUGGCCUCUUUAUGGAAUAAGAGUAUAGAAUUAUCAUGGAUUAAUUGUUAUAAUUGUCUCUUCAUAUAAAGAAAGAGCACCAAAAUUUGUGUAAAUUUAAGGAGGUAAAAAGUGUUGCUAUCAGAUUAAAUUCUAAGGAAACAUUUACUCUUGUAUCAAAAGUUGAUGAGGAUUUGAUUUAUGAUAAUGGAUUGUGUUAAGGUUUAGAAUGUGUUUUGAAGUAAAAUGAUGAAUUAUGGAUUAUACAAUAGAUUAUUGAAGAGGCAUGAUUAAAACAUGAUUUAUAGUUGAUUAUAUUGGAGUUGAGUUUAAGAAUUGUGGUGUUAUCACAUGGCAGGAGAGAACAAUACUUAUCGCUUACAGGAGUUUAAGGUAUAUUUUUAUUCAAAAGAGCUAAACUUGAAGUUGUGUAUAUAUUAUUAUUGGGUGAUAUAGAUUAAAGGAAAAGAAUACCAUAUUGAGCUAUUUCAACUAUUGUGGGUAUAAUUGAAAUUUUAGAAAAUCAUGAACAAUUGAAAUUUUGUAAAUAUUGUCAAUUUAGAAUGGGAGUGGUUACCCUUAAAUUUUUUUUUUUCAUUUGGGGUUUCCAAAUACAUAGAAUGGAGACAAAAUGGUAUUUAGAUCAUUGAUGAUAAAUCGACAAAAGUUACAGGAUUAUUUUUAAAUAAUAUAGUCAGUUCAUGAGAUACAUUACUAAACUAUAUAUGGAUAAGAUAGUGAUUUAUAUGGAGUUCAAGUAUCUAUCUUUCGCUGAUAUAGGGAGUUACAGAACUAAAGUACAUUGUGCAAUUUCUUUUAAUAGAAUGCCAGAGAAUAUAAGUAUGAGUUUAGAAAAUAUGUUGUCAACGCAUGGGUUGCUAUUUAAUGGGAACCGAGAUACCUAGUUAUUGAGACAAAAGUUGGAAAAUAAGUUAUUAAGGUGAAUUGGAGAAAUCAUUCAAGAUUAGGCAUUAUGGUAGAUUAAAUGUGUGGGCUACAUAUUUAUUGGUUUGAAUCCUAGCCGAAUGAAUUUCGAGGACGAAAUUCUUUGAGGGAGGUAAGAUUGUUACACCCCAUUUCAUACUAGUCAAAGGUCAAUAUCAUUUAUUCAAAGUCAAAUAUUUGACUGGUAAAGUCAAAGUCAAAUAAGAACUUAAAUGAAGUAAAACAUUUUAGUGGGAUUUGGAUUGACUAAAUUAUUUUUGGGGGGUUUAUUUUACAAAUUGACAACAUUUGAAGGUUUAAGAUGGAUAAAAUUUAAAUUUGGGGAAAUGCUUAUUAGUUAAUAAAAGUUAGAUGACUUAAUAAUACAUCAUAUGAAGUUUGGAGGACUUGAUAGCAAAAGGGUUUAGUGGUGGAUUACAAGUGACACUUUGCAUGCCAUUUCUUCAUUUUCAUAUUACUAGUCGCUGUCACGUGCUUUGCACGAAUUUUGUAUUUAUCGUAUUUUUAUUAGCGUAUGAAUUUUAGUUUUUGGAAAUUUUUGAAGUAAUAUCUAGAAAUAUUUUCAUGAUAUAAGAAAAGGAUUGCAAAUUAUUUUUACAAUUGUAACAGCAUUGUGUUAUCUUGAAAAAAUAUGCUUAUAUAUUUUAUGAUUGAAUAAGAAAUAUACGAGGUUAUAAAAACUAUUUUACAUGUAUUCUUUGAUAGUGUUGAUAUGAUUGAGUUGAAUGUGAAGAUUAUAUUUCUAAAUUUUGUGUAAUUCACUAUUGAAAAAUUGAAGAUUGAGCACAAAAUUAUAAGUCGACUUGCAUAUUCAUAUGCGUUUUAUAUUUUGUCAUUCAUAUAUUUUAAUAUUUAUUUUAUACUUAUAUUGAAAAAAUAAAAAUUUCAAAUUUUUUUCUAACAUUCGGUUUGGUAAGUGAAUGUAUGGUGUACUGCAUUCUCGGUAUUUGUAAGUAUAAAAAUCGGUAUAUAUGGUAAGCUACAAAUACGAUAGGUAGCAUGUACGGUAAACUGUAAAUAUGGUAGACAACAUAUACGGUAUUGAAAUUUAUUGUAGUGGACGAAACCGUAUUCAUUCAUACCAUAUAUGCACUUUACAUAUCAUAUAUGCAACAUACUGUAUUUACAGCAUACCGUAUUUGCAUUAUAUCGUAUUUACACAUAUUGUCUUUAGAUAUCAUAUUUGGUAGAUAUUGAUUUUUGUACAUACCUAUAUGCACUUUACAUACCGUAUUUAUGCAUACCGUAUUUGCAGCUUACCGUAUAUGCAAUAAACUAUAUUUACAGCAUACCGUAUUUGCAUCAUACCGUAUUUAUAGCAUACCGUAUAUAUAGCAUACCGUAUUUGCAUAUAUUGUCUUUAGAUACCGUAUUUGACAGAUAUUGAUUUUUGUAAUUCAAUAUUGUUUUCUUUUUUAUAAUUGUAUUUUCGGAAAUUUAAAAAAAAAGGGUGAUUAUGAAAUUGUCAAUUUUUAAAUGUGUUUUUUUGUUGAAGAUAAAAUUUUUUUUCAAUGCUAUUUGUAUGUGUGUGUGUGUGUGUAUCGUAAAUUUAUUAGCCUUCUUCCAUUGAAACUUAAUUACAAGAAUCCACCAAAGCUAAAUGUCUACAUUAACUUUUCUAGUAGAUUUGGGAAUUAUUGAAGAAAUCUUAACUAUAUUCUUGACUUUCAAAUGCCAUCCUUUGAAACAUUCUGAUCUCUGUAGAUUAUUUCCUUAUAGUAAAAAUUCCACUUUGGCCAAAGUAUUAUUCCGUUGUUCAAAUUUGUUAACUCAUCCCCAUGUAUCACAUUGUAUGUUAAACCAAAAUCUCAUUCUAGCAACCAGGAUAAAUCACCCCAUCUUGUAGAGGUUGAUUGACUUACUAUAAUUUAUGACGAGUUGUCAUAACUCAAACUCAACCUAACUUAACUGUAAUCAAGUUAUAAAGUAAAAAAGGAAUGGGUAAGAAUGGACUCGCCUUCCACACCAAUUUCAAAAUAGAGUUUAUUGUAAAAGAAAAUAAAAGAAAAAAAUUAGGAUCUUCUCCAAACUCUACGGAGAGUUUGGCUUCCACCAUUUUCAAAAUGAGUUUAUGGUGAAAAAAAAUUAUGAUGUUUUCCAAAUUCUCCGGAGAGUUUGACAGUUUGGACAAACUCUCUAUUGUAAAUAAUAAUAAUAAUAAAUAAAUAAAUAAAUAAAUGCUUUGCACGAAUUUUGUAUUUAUCAUAGCUUUAUUAGCGUAUGAGUUUUAGCUUCUAGGAAAGUUUUUGAAGAAAUAUCUAGCAUUAUUUCCAUGAUAUAAAGAAAAUUGUUGCAAAAUAUUUUUACAGUUGCAACAGUAAAAAAAUAUGCUUAAGGUUAUACAAAGUAAAUGUGAAUUUUUCCUUCCAGACAAAAAUUGUAUGCUACUUGAAUAUAUAAUAAUUCACAUCAUUUCUCUCGUAUACAUCAUUAAACAAAUAGCUGCAUUUAUGCUUUGACACGAUAAAUGUGCUAGAGUUGACAUAAUACAUAAUAAGUAAAUGUUGAGUCAGAAAAAUGAAUUUUGAAUGGUACAUUCAUAAAUUAUGCUUGGUGAGUGUGUAUUAGCAUUUCUUAGCCAUAUCUGGACCUAGUCUACAGUUAUACAUGUGUCCAUCAAGGCAAUGAAUUAAUGGCAUUGGCACAUAGGAAGGUAAAUAAAUUUUUCCCAAUACCUGUUUUUUCUAUAGAAAUGGAACAGCAUCUAAUGCUUGAACAUAAAGCAAUUUAUAACAAACACACACACACACAAAAAAAAAAUAGUAUAGGAUCCACCUCUCACAAUCCGAAUACUCCUCUUGCAACUCCAUGAUUUUGACUCAACAAUCCGAAUACUCCCCCUACAGUAGAUAUUGUCCAGGAAGUUGAAAUUGUUGUGCGGAGUGUUCCAUUGUUAUCUAUAGAAUUUUAAAAAAAAAAUCAUUAAUUACAAUUAAUGCAUUUAGUCUAAUUACUAAUUUAAAAAAAUAAAUAAAAUGUGAGACGUGUGGUGCGGAAGCAUGCGAAAACUCAGUUGCGAGCAGAGUUUUCGCACCUCACGUUGCACUUUUUUUUAAUUAGUAAUUAGACUAAAUGCAAUAGUAAUAAUUAAUGAUUUUUUUAAAAAAUUCUAUAGAUAACAACAAAUCUUUUGUUUGGUUGGUGAAAAAAUAAAUGAAAUAGUAAUGAUUUAAAAAACCAAUUAUUGCUUGCUUGGAAGUUUUUGUUUCAUAUGGGUGGUAAAGUCAAGAUAUUCACGUGAAACUUCUGAAAAGUUGUUUCACGUGAAUAAAAGAGAAAAAUAAAAUAAAAAGAAAGGUCAUUCUACUGAAGUUCAGUUUUCUUUCAGCAAAACUUUUAGUAGUAUUCUUGCAGUUGGAUUUUUCAUCUUUCAUCCCAAAAUCUCAGGAAAACAAAUUACAAGGUAAUGUUUAGUUUUCAGGAUUUUUUAUUAUUUUUGUUGUAGUUAAUUUGUUUUGCUCCUAAUGUGAAUGUGAAAAAUUUUAUUUUCUACAGAUUUUUGUUGUGUUAAUAUGGUCUAACUGAAUUUUGAUUGCUAAUUUUUUUGAGUUUAUACUGUCUUCUUUUAUUUUAAAACAUCAAUGUUUUGUUUUGUUAAGUAUGUUAGGUUGAAUAAAGCUUGAUUCUUUAGAUUUCCCAGUAGAAAAGUUUUGUAUCUUUUACCCGUAUGAAUAUAAGCUCAAAACCUUCAUGAAUUCAAAUUUUCUGGGAAUUUGGGCUAUGAUGACAACUUGCUUGUAUUUAUUGAUUGCAAGAGUCGAGGGAUAUAACACUUAUUGAUAAUUUCUGGUUUCUUUGUAAAAUGGAGCAAAGAUAUAAUUAACUUUAGAUUUGAUACAACUAAAACUAUGUUAUCUUGAUUUACAUUAUUUAUUGUUAAAAGAUGCUUCACUUAAUAUAAAACCAAAAAUAAUUUGAAUAUUUUGUUUAGAUAAUCUUAUUAGAGCACUUUUGAUAUAUUUGCUUAUAGUUUAAUUGAUUUCUCUUUAAAAUCAACCAAUCCCUCCAAAUCUCAUGUGAUUAUCUACAACUAUAUAUGUUGAGGUAAAUUGUUUUAUAGCAGUAAAUAUUUAUCUAUUAAUUAUUUAUGUGGAUAAAGUGGAAAAUAUUUGUGUAAGACAUGUUUUAAUUUUUAUUUGUAAUCACAAUUUCUCCAAAUAUUAGUUUGUAAAUAAGUUUUGUUAUUUCAUACAGAUGUCUCUAGAUUAUGUCUUGUCUCAAGACCAAUGGUUCUGUGCUACUGUUUGUCAAUAUCCAAAUCAUCAAUACGUUAGAGAUUUGAUAAAAUUGUUACAAAUAGACGAACGAGCAUUAUUAAUGUACAAUAAUUUCCAUGGAUUUCUAUAUGGAUUUAUGUAUAGAGACAAAGAGCAACAAUUUAGUAGCAAGCUGAUACAUGAAUUCAUAAUGAGAAUUGUCAAUUCCGGUAAAAAUAUUGAAGUGUGGGUAAGAUUUGAUGACCAUCUUGCCCAUUUUGGAAUGCAAGAAUUCUGCUUAAUCACUGGACUACCUUGCCACGAACCAUCUAUCAAUCUUGACUUUAGUAAUCCUUGGCUUAGAAACCAGUAUUUUAAUGGUGUGAAAAGGAUUUCUAUGAGAAUGCUCCAUGAUGCCUUCAAUUCAUGUAAAGAUUGAGAAGAUAAAUUCAAAUUUGGAUUCGCUAUGUUGAUAAAGUGUGUUCUCAAACCAACUGAAAGACAUAUUGAUUACAGAAUGCUGGGUAUGGUUGGGCAGUUUGACGAUCUUCUUUUGUAUCCAUGGGGCCGGAAGGCAUAUUUUGUUUUGUUGAAUUCAUUGCAACAAUCACACUUUGGAAGAAUACUAAGAAUGCAAAAGGCUAAGCAAAGGGAGUGUAAAUAUUCGCUACAUGGAUAUCCUUUUGCUUUUUAGGAAUUUGUUUUUUACUAAAUUUUUAUGUUUUGUUUAGUUUAAUGUUGUAUAUAUUUAAUAUUUAUCUUCAAUUUCAUUUUUCAGUUUUGUAUAUACGAAGCAUUUCCCAAGAUUGGAAAGAAAUUUGAACGAAGGAGAUACAAGACAUUACAAAUUUCAAGAAUGCACAAAUGGAAGCCGAGGCAAAUAUUGACAGACAAAAUUGUAAAACAAUAUUUGUCUACACACGAGGUAUGGUAAUUAUAUGAAAAUUUAUACAUUUAAUUAUUCUACUAUACUAUAGUAUAGAAUUCUAAUAUUUUAUUACGUUUAUAGAUUCGAGUCAUUGCGGUAUUGCAACCAACAAAAGAAGAAUUGCAAACAUUAUGGUACACAACUCUAUCGUUACCGUUGGACAAUAAACACACUAUAUUAGACGGUAUUGCCGGUGGAGAGCUUGGCAACAUUGUACCACAAAUUCCACAUAACAAGCAAACAAUUAAUGCUGAUGAUGCUGGUACUUCUAGAACACACCCUUUAGUUGGAGUGGAGCCAAAUUAUACUUCUGCUGUUGACUGUAAUUAUGUCACAAAAGAACAGAUGGAAGAAAUGUUCACUAUAUAUAGACAAUAUGUAUCUGGUUUGUAUGAUGAUUUGAAGGCACACAUGAUGGAAGAAUCAAGAAAACAAUAUGAUGAAUAUCUUGAAAACCAGAAGGGAAUGUUUGAAGAACAGUAAAAAUGGCAUAAACAUUAAUAUGAACAGCUACACUCAACUUAUCAAUCAAGUAUAUAAUCUACAUAUAUGGAUAGUCAAGCUUUCUGCCAGGAUUUUUUUGGUCGACAGAUGGCUGAACAAUCAAGAAGACAAGAAAGUAAUUACCAAGCAAUUGCUGACAAUCAGAAAGAAUUUUUUCAGCAACAACAAAAAUGGCAGGAAGAUCACCAUCAGGAAAUGCAAUCUCACAUGCAAUCUUACGUGGACAACAUUUUAACUUCGAUGAGAUCUUACUUUGAAGAACGAAACAACAACAUGCUGAAUGGAAUGGGUGAUAUGGAAGCUAUUGUUGGUUGUUUACAAGAAGAUAUUCCUGGCUCCAGCAGUAAAAUUCGUGGCAAGAAAGUAACAUCUGAACAAACUCCUCAAAUUGAUAUGUCCACGAAAGAGAUGUAUAAUAGGAAGAUAAAAUCUUCAGAUUUUCCUCUCGAAGACUAUUCUAUGGAGAGAUAUUUAUCAGUUCAUCAAUGGGUGGUGGUGAAUAAAUUGGGGUAAAAAGCCUAACUCUAACUUAUUAGUUAUAUUGUAUUUAUUUCACACUGAUAUAAACUAUGAUCUACAGUAGAUAUUCGGAUCUUGGAGGCAAUAUGUAUGGAAGAGACACACUAUACAAUAUACUUGAAGACUAAGAUAUUAGCAUUACGGUUAUUGAAGCUCACAAAUUAUAAUUAUUUUCAAUUUACAUUUGACAUAUAAUUUAUAUUUAUUUAUUGUAUUAGACUAUAGAGAUGGAGUUAAAGUUAUUGAAGCGAUUGAUUAAAGAAAGUUGUACAUUCCUCUCUAAACAACAUGGAAUUUUGGACUUCAAUUUUGAAGCUGAAUGCGAUCACCAAUUGAUGUGACAAAGAACUUUAAAAGAAGGAAGUUCUAGUGUAGAUCAUCGUCAGAUAGAUUUCACUGUAUUAAAGAAUUACAUAAGUGGCAAUUUGCCAUAGCACAGUCAUCCAUUGAUAGCAUACAACUAUUUAUUAAUUCCAUGUUCGUAUCCAGGCGAUUUUAAUUGUUAUCUUCUUAUUGUUAAUUUCCGUUAGUAAAAAUUUCAGAUAUAUGGUUGCAGUAAUGACGUCCACACACCAACAGAAAUUAGGAAACAAGUACAUACAGUAUAUGAAAUAUUUCAAAAAUUAUUGACAAAUUCUGAAUUUUGUUCCAGUAGACCUGAUUUAAGAAAGCACAGAAACAAUCAGCUUAAAUUGGAGAUUAUGUCUCACUUGCCUUGCGCAAAUAAUGGGUAAGUACUUAAGGCAUUUAAAUUGUUUAUUAUUUACUACUAUAUUUAAUUUUUUUUAAUUUUGAUUUUUAUAUUCAUUAUUAGUUCAGUCUAACAAAAAAAAUUGUAUGUAGACCACAAACUAUAGACUUUUUCUCCUCAAAUACAUAGAAUGCUUUCUUCUAAAAUAUCCAUUAGAGACAAUUGAUUUGGAGAGAAUGAGACUAUACAGAUGGAAAAUUGUGUUUGUUACAAUGAAUAUUUUUUAGAUCACCGUACGUCGUGAUUGUAAUUGUAAUUGUGAUGUAAAGGAUAAUUUAAAUCCACAUCCUCAAUGUUGAGAAUGAUUGCUAUGUAAUAAGUAAGUUUUUAUCAAUUUGAAAUUAUUUUUCCUUCUUGUUUUUAAUUCAUAUAUAUAUAUAUAUAUAUAUAUAUAUAUAUAUAUAUAUAUAUAUAAUAGAAAAAAAGAAUAAUAAGAAUAAUUAUAUGGUGAGAAAUUAUGUUCUUUGAUUAGUAUUUUGUGGGUGUAGACAUAUAUUGGGUUGAUGAAUUGUCAUUAAACUCUUAUUUUUGUUGCUAGGAAAAUUGGAAAUUUCAUAUUUUAGUCUUUGGAAUUUUUUCGACUAAUCGAAAGUAAAAGAAAGACAAAAAAUAGAAAUGCUUUAAAAGCCUUUGUUCACAUUUGUGAAAUUACCUGUUUUGCUAUUCAACCAUACAAUAGAGUUGAAGCAUAAAUUAUGUAGGUAUUAGCCUACAUACAUCAUUUGUAAACAAGAAUGUACUUGGCAAUUUUGAAAUAAAAUUAUACUAACGAAGAAAACAAAAGUCAAGACUAAUUCCAGAAGAAAAAUAGAAAUGCCUUAGGAAAUAGAAACGUCUUCAUUAGUGUUGUUGCCAUUUUUCAUUACUGUUGUUGACAUUUAUGAAAUUACUACUUUGCUAUCCAACCAUACAAAAGAAAUUAUGUAAAUAUCAGUUUACAGACAUCAUUUGUCAACAACAACAUGCUUGGCACUUUACUAAGGAGGAAAAGAAAAGCCAAGAAUAAUCCUAAUCAAAAAUUGCACUUGUCAACAACAACAUGCUUGUGCAUUUGUAAAUAAGAGCUUCUCUGCUGCUUCCCAAUUGCACUUGCAUUAAGUAAGCCUGUGGCAUCUGACAAUUGCACAUAUGCUUGAGCCCUAAAAUGUAUUUGGUAUACACUCAGAAAAGAUCAAGACAAUUAAAGAAAGUAUGUAUAUCCAUAUUAUAUCCAUGUAUUGAAUUUUCUUUGACCCUAGUAAAUGUAGUUAAUAAGGUGAAAGAAUCUCAAGACAUUUAGAACAAAAUUAGUAAACGUGGAUAGUGGCGAUCGUGGGUAGAGAUGCAGGAAUAGGAAAAAAGAAUAAUAAAAUAAAAUCUAUUUCUUCUACAUACCAUUUCGUCAUCUAUUUUACUUCGAUGAAAGGUGUAUUUAUGAAGAAAGUAGUACGGACUUUUGUGGACAAUUUCAAACUUGCAUAUAUGUGCAAAUUAUCACAUAUAUAUGCUGUAUUAUAUGCUGAUAUGAUGUAAUGUAAAACAUACCAGCAACUAAACAAAUAACACAUACCAAAGAAAGACGUAACUCUAAGAUGUGUUGCAAAGAUGAUUGGUUUUUCUCAAUAUUUUCUGCUAUUACUACACAUUCUCUAUCAACAAAGGAAUCCCAAAGUGUAGGCAUCAUUAUUUUGAAAUUUUUGUCCAGAAGCAAUACUUCUUGUACCCGUGUUUGGUUGCCAUCUUUUGAUUGAAUCAUUCGUUUAGGAGUCAUAUCAAUUGCAACCGCAAGUAUAUCUAAAAAUAUAAAUUUUAAAAUGACUCUCUGCUUAUUUUUCUAAAUAUAAUAACUAAUAAAUAAUUCAAUAAUUCAAGAUAACAUAUCAUGGAAUAACAAAAAAUAUACAUUUCUUACUUAUAUCAGCAUUCGUAUCCAUAUAUUCUUCUGCUUCAUGAAAAGCUGUCAGCUGAUAUGUUGAAAACAGAAAUUCCAGAUUAUCUUUAUUUAGUUCAACAAGACGAGUUCGUCCAGUUAUAGUCCAAUGAUAAGAUCCUAUCGAAUAUUUGUAGUUUCCCGUAUUAUUUUUCACAUAAGCUUUUGAAAUGGCCCAAAACAAGUUGAUCCUCAAAAGCACUAAUAUUGGAAUCAUGUAAGGUAGCUUGGAUAAUAUUUCCCUAGAAAAUGAAAAUGAAAAUGAAAAACGAUGAGAAAUUUCUUUGUUAUCUGAUUAUAUAUGAAUGAGAAGUCUUAAUAGUUUUUGUUUUGAAGUUGAAGCCAACUUUUAUAACUAACAAUAAGAAGAGUUACCUGAGUAUCCAUCAACACCAGAUGUUGAUAUCUUCCAUUACCUUGUUUAGAAGGUUUUGGUGAUUGUUUUUGGACAACAAUGACCUUGGCUUUCCACUUCUCGUUGUUUGAGACAAUUUCUGGUAUGAAUUUGUAUUCUUCUUCUUCUAUUUCAUCUAAAUCUAAAAUAAAUAAUAUGUCAGAUGUAGUCGGAGUAGAGCAAAAGAUUUAUGAGGAUGGUAAUCUCAGAAGGGAAAUGAAAUGGUUUAAAUAGAUAUAGUAUAAUUUGUCAAAGUUUAAAAAAAAUUCGAUAAAAUCAGUAAAGUAUGGCCAAGUAAAUCAGUUGAUUGAUUAACCUGAAAUUUUUAUCAAGUAUAUUAUAUAAAAGUACAUUCUAGAGUAUAAUGUAUGGGAAUGGAUUAGUCUGUGUAUGAUGAAAUGUAUAAGUAUAUAAAUAGAGAGUAAUGUAAAAAAAUGAAUUAGUUUGGUACAGCAAAAUCUGUAAGGUAUGGGAUAGCAAAAAAGAUAUAGAUAUAUAUACCAGUAUGGUGAAGGCAUGGCAAGCAACUCACGAUAGUAAACAAUUAAUAAUAAUUAAUUAUUUAGUAAACAAUAAUUUCAAUCAAAAAACAAAAGGGGAAAAAAUUUUGCUCUGCAACAAUAUGGAGACUUUGCACUAUUUGGAACAUUAAAAAGGAAAAAAGAAAAAAAAAUCACUCUUGUGUGCAAGGGAAAUGAAAUGGUUUAAAGUUUAAAAAAAAGAAGAUAAAAUUGGUGAUGUAUGGCAAGUUAUAUGUAAGUAUAUUCUAGAGUAUAAUGUAUUGGAAUGGAUUAGUCUAAAUGAAAUUUGCAAAUAUAUAACUACAUAGUAAUGUAUGGGAAUAGAUUAGUUUACCACCAGUAGUAUUGUAUGUAUACCUGUGUAAAAUUCAGAGGAAGAGGUAUGACAAGUAUCUCAAGACAUAAAUAAUUAAUAAUAAAUAAUAAUUUCAAUCCAAAAGAAAAUAAAAGGAAAAAAAUUUAAAAGAAAAGGGAAAAAAAAUUUGCUCCGCACUGUACGGAGUAUUUCCGUCCCUUUUGUUUUGAUUUAAAUUUUUAUUUAUUUCCUUCCCUUUUGUUUUGAUUUAAAUUUUUAAUUGUUCAAUAAUUGUUUUACUGAGUAAUCAAAUAAUUUGAAUGAUAUAUUAGCCUUUUUUUUGUAGUCUUAAUCAUAGCAAAUUUCCUCCGCACUUAACCUUAGCAAAGUUGCUCUGCACAGUGUGGAGCAUUCUAACUAGUGCUCCGCACUGUGCAAAGCAUUUGCCUUUUUUUUUUUUGCGAUUUAAAUUAUUAAUUAUUUACUUUGUCAGUAAACAAACAAUUAAUUGCCAUAUUAGACCAUAUCAAACCAAUUGGACAUAUUUAUUGUAUAACUAAACUAUUCUUUUGUUAAUUACAUAAAAUUAUACUUUUAUUUCUUUUUAAUCUCAUUAGUCACUUUUUUUUUUUAAUUUCAAUCCACCAUUUAGCACUUUACAUCUUAGUAAUAAAAUUCAUUUUUAACUAAAUCUAGCAGACGUAUCUAAAAAAUAAUCCCGGGAAGAGUGUUUUGUCUGAACUAUUUUGUCCAUUUUUUACUUUGUCUAUUUCUAUAUUCCUACCCCGUGAAAUUGCUGUCAAAUCUUCUCUCAAAAAAGGACAAGUAUUGUUUAAUUUAAAUAGCUUCUCAUACCAUUUAUUCAUACCUAACCAAUUUACAUAUCUUUACCUACCAAGCUUUCCUCAAAAAAAUCAGGUUUAAUCUAGUGUUUCUUUCUUGAUUCUUUUACUACAAUUGCUUCAAAAUAAAUUGGUAGUUUUAAAUGAUAUAUAAUUUUCAAUCUUUAAUUGUGUUAAAAAUCAUACAUACUGCAGUUUAUCAACAAAAAAACGGAUGUGCCACAUAGGUUCUUCAAAAUUAUCGAUGUUUCUCUAAAUCAUAAAUCAGUUUGGCAAGUUAUAUAAUAAUAUCUUCUUUCAUUUUAUAUUUGUAUGAAUAUUUUAUUUACUGCCUAUAUUUUUUUCAUAAAUGUAGAUGCUUCCUACAUCUUUUGUCAAUUGCUGAAGACACGAAUUAAGUGAUAGAGUACGAUUAACUUCGUAUGAUGGUAUAAUUGUAACAAUACAGUUACAAACAAUUGAUGGAAAAAUAUAUUUGACUAAUGGAUGGGAGCAAUUUUUUUACCAUCAUAACUUAUAGGAUGGUUUUGUUGUAGUAGUUGAAUAUAAUGGAAAUUCAACGUUCAAUAUGAGGAUAUUUGAUCAUUUUAGAUUAGAUGUUACAUAUGGCUCUGAUGUUGGAGACGACGAGGCUUUACAUCUGAAUAAUCUUGCAUUCGAAGUAACACUGAUGCUCAAUCAGAACAAUGAUUGAGAAAUUGUAGGCUAUCUUUAAUAUAUCAUUCUAUAUUUACCUUUUUCACAUUAUUUUAGUCUUAACAUCAGCAUCCAUAUUUUUUCAAAAUUUAUACCAGGAAUAUGUGCGGAAUGUUUGGCUCCAUGACUCUCUACAUCACUUCUGGGAUAUCACUGCAAAUUCAAGACCAAACAGUGUGAUACGCCGUCUUACUGUAUGUUGGGGCAAUUUUUUGGCAAAAAAGGAACUACAAAUCGGAGAUACAUGCGUAUGUGAAUUAUUAAAUAGCGAGUCUCCAAUGUUCAUGGUUUACGAAAAAAAAAAAAAAAACCACAACGAUGGAACUCUAACUCGUCUAUGAAACUUUUCACACCAAUAAUGUUUAAUAUUUAUGUUUAUCCAUUUAACUUUUUCGUUAAUUAUCUUAAAUUAUGGCAUAAAGAUUUUCAUAGAAAUUACAUUUUUUCCUUUCUUUACAAUUCAAAAAUACUACAAUGUCUCUAACUAAAACAUAACAUUCUCUUAUAUAUAUAUUUACACUAAUACGUUGUAUGAUGGAUUCACCUUCAAGAUGAUGUUUUCAAGUAGAAUGAACCUAUGUGUUUUGUAAUAAUAUCACUUAUGGUAGGAAUAUAUUUACAUAAGAAUAUAAUUAUGGUAAAAUGAUUAAAUCAAGUUAAAAAAACUUACACAAGUGGUUUCCAGAAAUGGUUCCCUCCAUCUCUAACUAAACUUCUAAAUAUCAGCUUUACCAAUUGUAUUCAUAUUAACCAUGCAACAUUUGACAGCUACACAGCCUAAUAUGAAUAACAAAUGACCAUUAAUAAACAGAAAAAAGUAAGACAAUUCAAAAAGUUAUGUGUGAUUAAUACUUGUAUUCAGAAAAUACAAAGCAUAACGACUAAUUAAUAAAUUCUUGGAAAGAAUAACUUCAAAAAUCCUUUUUGCAAAGAUACAAUUUUGCAAAAUCAAUAUUUUAUCAUGACAGUAAGAAGUCAAAAGUCCAGAUUUGUUAUUAAUUUUGUGUUUGUAAUAACAAAUAUAAUCAAUAAAGAAUUAUAACAAACAAUUAAGAAUAUACCUUAGAAAUCAUCAUCAGAUGAAGUGAACUAAAUUCAAGAUUUCAUGAUAGACAAUAUUUUGGGUACAACAAGUAUGUGAUUUGUUUUUGACAAAAGGUUUAAUCAGAACUUUUAUAUUUUCUCUUGUUCUAGCUCGGGAAAUGUAAUAUACAAUUGGCCAUGGGAAAAUACAAGUUCUGGAAGAUAUAAGCCAACAAAAUCUAGAGUUUGACCUUGAGAUUUGUUAAUGGUCAUUACAAAACACGGACGAAUUGGAAAUUGAGUUCUUUUAAAUGGUACAAACUAUUUAUCACCUUCAAGAGGAAUGAAUGGAAUUCUAGGUAAAAAUACUUACUUUUCACAAUAUUCUCCUAUCCCAAUUUUAGCCAAGAUAACAUUUUGCUUAAAGUCACGACAAAUAAGUCUAGUCCCAUUGCAUAAACUUUCUGCAGGAUUAAUAUUUCGGAGCAUUAUAACUGGACAAUUUUUUUUCAGUAUGAGUUCAUGUGGUGGUAUACCAUUUGGAGUUAGACUAUUCAAAAAAUCUUCAUCAAUAAAUCCUUCACUUUUAUCAAUCACUUCAUCUAAAACUAAAAUACGUAACUUUCUCUCCCGGAAUUUCUUUAAGCAACAUAUUGUUUAUUAGAUCUACAUAUUUAUUUUGGGGUUAAAAUAAUUCUAUUCAUCAUAAUAUGUAAGUUGUCUCCAUAUGUCUGGAAAUUGGGAAACACAAUGUCAAUUAAUUCCUUCAAUGAUUUAAAUUCAUCUUCAAAAUUGAUGGUAAUAUCUUCAGGAAGUGUAAUCAUUUGGCAUGAAUGUUUUCUCUGUAUUCCAUUCCCAAUCUUCAGCAAAUAUUCACAGAAUGAUCUAAUUUAGCUCUCAUAUUUUUGAUUAAUGCUCGCUAUGUAAAAGAAUGCCAUAAAUGCGAAAAAAACUAAACUUGCCUUCAUUAUAUCGUCUUUUGUUUCUCUUUGUGCUACUGGUAAAACUUGUCGAAAAUUUCUUCCACACACAAUAACUUUUCCACCAAAUGGUAAUUGACAUUCAGUAAUGUCUCUUAACAUUUUAUCUAAAGCCUCAAAAGCAUAUUUAUGAACCAUUGGUAUUUCAUCCCAGAUUAUUAGUCUAGCCAAUGCUAAAAGUUUACCAAGCGCAGACUGUUUACUCACCGAACAACACAUAUCACAACUUAUUUCAAGCGAAAUUUUGAAUCUUGAAUGUCCUGUUCUACCAACCGGUAAUAGAGAUGCAGCUACACCUGAUGAUGCCGUUGCUAGUGCGAUAAGAUUUUGAGAUUGUACACCAAAAAGUAAUGCCUUGUACAAAUAUCAUUUAAAACACAAUCCAAAAUAAUAUCAUAGGUAUUUUGUUUCUCUUUAUUUAAACUCUUACUAUAAUGUAUGUCUGAUUACAAAUUAAUAUUGGUUGUUUCUUCGGCAAUCAUGGUUUCAAAGAUAUCAUCAUCAUUCACAGUUAAAUCAAAAUCUACCAAGGAAAAAUCAAUUAUAUUCUUACCAACACCUUCUAAGAAAGAAUUUAUGCAGUGUAAAGCUUUCAUCUCAGCACUUUGUUGUGUGAAACCUUUAUGUAAAUAAUCUUCUACCAUGAAAUCCUUAAAUUUAUCCCAUAAAUUCCUUGGAUUUGUAGGCCAAGAUAAACUCAAUAAAUUGGCAAAUAGUCGCCAUAGUGAUAUGGGCAUUUGGUAAGCAACUGCCUCAAAUAAACACAUCUCAGAAUAGCUAUUUCCACUAAAAAAACCAUGGGAAAGUACUGCUUCACAAUAAGUAGAUAAAACAAUACCAUUGACUGUUUUUAAAUCUUCAAAAAAUUUUGGCCCUCUAAUAUGAUUUAGCAAAACUCUUAAACAAUACCUUUUACCUUUAGAUGGAUUAGCACUGACUAUUCUACCAAUGACAUUUUUUCUUUUUCUGGGACUCCAAAUUCUCAUGGAUGUAUCCCAUACAAAAUAGGUUGGAAAUUCUUUAUACAGUAGAGUUUUUGCCUUUUCAUUUGAAAUAUUCAUUCUAAAGAAUUUCGUAAACAUUGUUCGGUGAACAAAAUCUUUAUUUAUAACCUUUGAUAAAUCAUCUGUCUCCUUGUAUAUAACCGUUUGAGCAUCUUUAUUAUGUAACUGUAAAGAGAUUACUGUAGGAGAUAUAUCGAAUAAUUCAAAACUAAAUAUCCUCCAUAUAGCUUCAGGUGGAGAUAUCCAUCUAACUGUUUGGUAGUUUGAAAUCUCAUCAACGAAUUGUUCGUUUGUUUCUUUAUUUAAACUAAAAUGAAUGCAAUCAUGUCCCUUAUAUACAUACAUGUAUAGAUAUUUAACAGUUUUAAUAGAAUAGAAGAACAUACUUCCACUUUAAUGUGACAAUCAUAUUUAACUAAAAUGUAAGGAUUAUACGCUAUAACCCAUCUAUUAUCCAACAUACACCCUCUUACUUUAACACUUACACCAUCAUUGCGACGCUUGUAAAGUGGGUAGGAAUCAUUACCGAAAGAAUUAUUUUCAACGUAAUCUCUUGGAUAUUUAUUUUUACACACAAAAUUAUUUUCCAUACAAACAUUCUUAGGAUUCAAAUUCCCAAAAGGACCAUAAAUCAUAUGUUUUACAAUAGUAGCAUGCAGGUAAGGGUAUUUUUCUUUGUCCGGUAUUUUCGAUGAGACAAUUUCAUCGACUUGUACAGAGUUCCAGAUCUUAGAGUUUUGUUUAAAUAUAAGGAGAAAAUGAGCAUGAAGUAAUCAUCUUUUCUGGAAUUCAAUCGCAUAAACAUGUGCAGCAAUAGAACCCAACAACUUCCUCUUAACCAAAUCUGUCUUCAGUUCCUCAAACUUGGCACAAAAUAUUCAUACUAACAAAUCUGGCCUAUUAUGUAUUUCAUCACUGUGUUUCAAUUCACAUUGUAUUUUAGGCCAAUUUGGAUUAAAUGUCAUUGUCAAAACACAUCAGGUUUACCAUAUCUCUGAACUAAAGACAUUGCAUCUAUAUAUCUUUUAGUCAUGUUCCUAGGACCCCCAACAAAACCAGAAGGCAACACUAAUGAUCUACCAAUUUUAUAACCUCUAUUCUCAUCAUUUUAUACACUAUCUACAAUUCUCUUAUAUAGUUCAGCUCUUAUAACCUUUUGGUUAUUACGAAAGUAGUCUAAUCUUACUGUUUCAAUUUUCACAUACAUAUCCACAACAUAUUGCUGUAAAAGUCUGCCAGCAUGUAAAAGAAUACAAUUAUUUACAAACCUAAUUUGAAGCUUGUAACAAUAAUAUUCCCGACAUGAUACAGUUAUUCAUUUUUUCUUUGUCUUCAAAACUGCAAGAAAGAAAAGAAUAUAUCGACAAAAACUUCAUUCACUAAAUUCAAUUAAUAACAUAAAUAAAUUAGUUUAAAAAAUAGAAAUUACUAAAGUCGUUUACCAUAAUCUUCUACUUCCAAUAAUUGAUCCGCGGAAUGGAGAUGGUUAACUUCUAUUAAAUUCUGACAAACUAGAGCUUGUGAAACACUUACAUUCACAUUUUCAAUACCUUCAUACCAUCCAGGUUCUCCAUACGGGAAAAGUAGUGGAUAUUGGAGAGGAUCAUAACAACCAUAAUAGUAUUGAACUUUAUAUGCAUUACCUGAAUGUCCAUAAAUUAAUAAAUCCCGACCUGCAGUAUUUGUAGAUGGGUCAUCAUCAACCCAAACUACAGCCACUUGUUAUGAUGUUGGCAAGUUAUAUAUUCUUUGAUCAACACCAGAAUUAGACUUCAAUAAAAUACAGCAUGAUUCUAAAUCACUAACUUCACUUAAUGAUCGGAAAAACUUUGAAUAGAGAUUUUUCUUUAGAACAUCUAUCAACUUUCUUAAUGUCAAAUCAUGCUCAUACCUUCUGAAGUAUAAAUAACAUUUGACGAUGACGGAGGAAUAAAACUUAAAGAUUGUAAGACGCCUAUGUAGGAGAACGGUGUAGCGAAUGAAUACUAUGGGAAUGGGAAUUGUGUUGGCAUGGAGUACUAAAAAAAAUGACAUUGGUAUAUGCAUCGAGUAAUGUUGUUCGCGUGCUGAGUGUCAACUCCGCCAUCUUGCACAUCAUUAUGCAUCACACUUGGUCAUUUUCCUUUUGUUGAUGCUGAAAAUCCCUGGAUGUGCCCCCAACAAAUUAGUAUUUGUAUAUAAUAGUUUGUUGCUAUCUAUAGUUUUUUACUUAAAUGUACCUUCAUUGUGGUUGAACUCGACUCCAACGGAAUUUUUAUACACUGUUUCCUGGGUGCCCCCUUUUCGUUCCAUGAUUUUGGAUCUCGCACCUCACGCUUGUAUUAUUUUGUGAAGUAGUACACUAUUCAACUGCUUGACUAGUUUGAUGCGCGAGGGCAUUGUGUAAUGCCCAGACCUGCAUGGAUCGAAACGUCACUAGAUUAACUUACUUUAGCCGUAAAUUUGUUUAACUCGUUUUUACUAGAAGGUAUAAAGAAUAAUUUUUUUCUUAUAAUUUAAUACUAAAAGAAAACAAUUUCAAAAAAAUCGAAUUCAUUCAUACCGUAUAUGCACUUCACAUGUUAGAUUAACGCAUACUGCAUAUGCACUUUACAUGUUGGAUUAACACAUACCGUAUAUGCAACAUACCGUAUUUUUAACAUGCAGUAUUUGCAUCAUACUGUAUUUACAGCAUACUAUAUUUGUAUCAUACCGUAUUUACAUCAUACCGUAUAUGCAUGUAACCACUAUUGACAUGAAAUUUUGCAACACUUUAAAAGUAAUAUUGUUGUUUCAAUUUUUUAUCUCAAAAGGUAAUUAUCAAAAUAAAUUUGUUUGCGUAGCUAUCGACCUCGAAAUUUCAUCAAAUUUUAAUCUAAAGUAGGAAAUUUCUUAUAAUAUGACAUAGUCAAAAGUUAGCUUCCAUCAGCAUCAUAUGAGGUAUUAAUUUUUUUUUAAAAACCCAGCAGCGACUUAGAUGAUAGAUAAACCGUUGCAGUUCACUUAAAAUGACAUUUAAAAUUUCACAAAUAUCAAAACCACAUGAUUUCAAAUUUAUUCAGUAGCUAAUCCAUGAGACUAUCAAAUCCAAUUGGUUUCAUCCAAAAAUUCCAUGUAACAGUCAAGUUAUGAAUUUUUGAAGUCAAGGCAAAAGCUGGAAAAACGGUGACUCUAUCUAAUGCAAUUUACUUUAUGCAACAUAUAAAAUUCCACCGGCAUCCGGUUGACAUGAUUCCAAGUUUAUUCAAUAGUUAACUUUUUAGGCUAUCCAAGCUAUUGGUUUUGUAUAGAAAUGCCAAGUAACGAAAGACUUAUGAAUUUUUAAAGACCCUAGAAUCUGAAUUUUUUUUAAAGAGAUAGCAAAACUUUAAAUCGCUAACAUAUUUUUUGUAAAUGGUGAUUUGCAAAUUUAUUCCUAUAACACAUACAAAGAAUGUUCAUAGAAUAUAUCCACACAUGACAUCCAAAGGAAUCUAAUUUAAAGAAAACGUAAACAUUUUAUAAUUAACUAAAGAUAUUAAAUCACUGGCUUCUCUAUGACAUGUCGCAUCAUCAUUUAUCAUUAUCCACGCCCCAAGGAAAAUUCAUUCAACCUAUAGGAAGAGAAUUAAACCAUGAGUUUGAAACUCAAUAGAUAUCAUUGGUGCAUUUUGUUGUCAAAUUAAAAAUUUCGAACUAUAGAUUCAUACCAUCACACAUAGAUGGAUUUUCGACAAAAUCCAAUUACUAUAGUGUUAUCAUAACACGUAGAGCCGGAUAAUGAUCAUUCAAACUAUUGUAGUGCCAAAGCACCGUACCCAAAGAUACCAUUUCAUUCAAAUAUUUAUUGAAAAUAAUAAUUUGAAACGAAGAACUUGCACCUCUACAUACCUUGAAUUUUCUUGGAUAUCAAAGAACAAAAUGUGUAGAAAGCCUUUCUUCUUCUCACCCUUAUUAUUCCCUUAGCUUAAAUUGGCAUAAAACAUAUUUUUUUGAGAGAAAAUAAGAGGAAAUUCGGAUUUGAGGAGGGGUGUAGUAAAAAGUGACAUUUCACUUCUUGUAAUAUUUCUUUUUAAUGAAAAACUAAAUGGGGAGAGUUGUAUUAUCGUUAAGUUUGUUAAAUUGGAUCUUUAAAUAAGAAUUUGAAGAGUUUUUAGACCUAAAAAAAGUAAUUCAUAAAAGUUUUAUAAAAACAUCUACAUGGUGAUUCGAACUUGGGUUGCCUAUACGAAAUACCAUGUAGAUGGCUAUUGUGACAACCCAGUUAUUCAUUAAAUUUUUGUAAUCAAAUUUACUUAGAUUUAAUCUUUUAAAUUGUUGGGCUUUUAAUUAACUUAUGGCUUGAGCUUUCAAAAUCUUAAAUAGGUUGAGCUUCCAUAGCUCGUUUCUUGAAUGAGCUAGUCUCGUGGUGCUAGAUCAUCACAACAUAAUAGCCUAGUUUCAUUUUAUUUCUCGGGUUUCUACACAUUGCUUCCAAUACUCGACCUUCUUGAUGUCAUCAGUUCUUCACAUUGUACUUUUAUCCAGUCCAUAAUCGUAUGUGCUCGCCCUUCAUAAUCGAUAGCAUAGUUUGUAACCUGCGCGAAUGCAUGACAAUGUCACCGUAUCUCAAUUGUCCAAGUGAACUAACCAAACCGUCGUAGUUCACUAACACCCUUGCAUGUGCUCUACUAACAUUUCUCCUCCACCUUCGGAGUAUGUACCUUUUUAUAAGUAAGGUGACAUCACUAUGAAUCAAGAUUGUGAUCGCAUGACGGCAAACUAUUUUGUGUAAUUCGAACAAAUGGCAAUUGUAUACAACUUCACAAUUAUCUCUCUCAAAAAGAGACAAAGACUUUUUUUCUUUCUACAGCCCUCGUACAUAAUAUCCUCCCGUACUUCAUAAGUCGUCCCUGUGGGCCCCUUUGAAGUAGAUAUGAGGUCAUAAUACACCUUCCCCAUGAACUUAUUCUGAGCAUCCUUGAAUUUAGAAAUGGUAUAAACUGAUUGCAACUGUUGAUCCAUCUCAUAUUGUGUUACACAAAGUACCAUCUGUGAAAAUGGCUUAAAAUCAGCAUGGAAUUCCUUCUGAACCUUAUUCCGCAUUGUGCAUUCAACAAAAUGCUUCAAGGUUGUCUUUGAAUGCACAUAGCCAUCGAAGAAUGCAUCAUGCUCUCUCUUCUUUGUUUUGUUGACAUAACUACCUAGAAAGUGGUCGUAAAAAAACAUGGCACCCAACAACCUCUGUUCUCAAGGAGUCUAGAUAACCAAUCUUAUCAUGCAGAUGGUACGUAUUAAUCAUUGCAGCCCAUCCCUCUUCGAAUUCUUACACGAAUUGCGAAUCAUAAACCAAUCAGUGUAUAGUACUAAAUACUCCAGACUUAUCCUUGUGGUAUCCAAAUUUUCUAGGAAACUUUUUCAAGAUGUGCCACAAGCACCAUCUAUGCUUUGUAUUGGAAAAAGCAAUUUGAGUUGCAUUUUGGAUGGCCCUGCAUUGGUUAGUAAUAAUUCUUCGAGGGACGAUGCUAUGCAUACAUUGAAGCCAUGUACUGAACAACCACACAAAAGUAUUUGCGUCUUCAUUCGAUCACCAAGCAGUGUUCAUUGUCCGUGAUGAUUGACACUAACAAAUGGGAUGAAAGGCAUAUCAAACUUGUUUGUGAGGUAAGUCGUAUCAAAUGUAGUGAUGUCGCCAAACUCCUUAUAUGCUUGCCUACAAUGAUUAUUUGCCCAAAAUACAUUUUUCAGCUAUGACUUGUCAUCUAAAUCCAUGCUAAAGUAAAAACCUGAAUACUGUGCUUGCAUUUUCGCAAAGUAUGAUUGUAUGGCAGUGGCAUCUCCCUCUCCAAGUCUUUAUCGCCUCACUUGUUCAAUAUAAUUUCAAUAAUCUUUUUCCACGCAACUCUUUUUCUCAUAACCACAUGCUUUUACAACUCCAGUAUUGUAGCUUUUAUGCAACGAAAUUCUCGUCAAAUCAUUAACUUGAAGUUUGCAUUUCACAUGUACAUUCAAUUCUCGAUUGCAUCGAUAUAACUUGGACUACGAAGGACUAGUUUCGUUAUUAUCUUGAGGUGGAUCGUCUUAAUCCUCCAGACUCCAUAUAUAUCUGAAGAUGUUGAUAUUCUUCCUUUACAACUCAUCUAAAUUGUUGGUUGCGGCUUCAAAGAACCGCUAGUAUUACUAAUUCUUCGGCCUUCACGGUUACAAGUCAACGUCACAUAUCUCAUCUCUCCAUCAUUCCCCUUUUUUGAAUUUCUUUUUUUCACUAGAAAACCGAUAGCAUAAUCAUAUUUUUGUAAAAGUCAAACAUUUAUGUCACAUCCUUAAACUCCAUACCUACUGCGGGCACAAUCACUCCAUCUCCCACUAAGGUUACACCUUUCACUAUGUUAACAAAGUCUGUGAUGUUCUCGUCAUUGGAUUAUGCCAUAACAUCAACAUGCUAAUUUUGCACUUCGUCCAUAAUUCCAACAAUACUGCAAUAACAUACGUGAACAUAUUUAGAAAUCCAUAAUAACACAAGGAUAUAAUUGCAGGAAAAUAAAUAAAUUUUUUAUUUUGUUUCUCCCGAUUCCUUCCCCGCAAUCUAACAUCCUCUUUACUGGGAAAAGAAUCGAAGUUGCUUUUAGUCAAUUAAUUAUUUUUUUACAUCUUUUACCUAUCCCUAACAACAGACAGGACCAUCGUAAAUUUGAAUAUCAUUUUGCAAACACAAUCAAUUCUAAUAGCCGCAACCCGUCUCCUCCAAAACUGAAAUACCCAAUAUACAAGUUUUAGUUUUAAUCAUUCCUCUUUAUUUUCCCCGAUUUUAACAUAUUGAAAACAUAAAAAAAUUAUUUUAUUCUAUGAAUGACAUCUUCUCAUUUUAGGAGAUGGAUAAGGGUACCUUGGAGUUGAUGGCAAAAAGAUGAGCACCGAGGUCGGAAUUUCAUGAACUUGGUCGGAGGAGCAGCUACACUGAGGUUGGAAUUUAUAGAAGCUUGGUCGAAAGAAAAGCUAACAUGGUCAAAGAAGAAGUUGGUCGGAAUUUCAGAAUGUGGUCGGAGGAGCAACUGCCGGGCGAUUUUACUUCGGGACGUUGAGCUGUUGGGGAUUUGAGGGAAAAGUAAUAUACAAUAAUUGAAAGUAAUAUGACUUCCACUUUUUAGACCAGCAUGCAAGCCCAUUUCCCUCCAAUUUUCCCACCAACCUUUAUUCAUUUUUUUUAUUUGUUGGUUGCCACGUCAAUAAAUUUUAAAUUCCUGUUAAUACCCUGUUCCAAUCCCCUCUCCGCCUAGCAUUAUUGUGCUUUUAAAACCAAGUUAGAAAUUGAUAUACUUGAUGACGGCUUCAAGCAGAGGGAGUACGGAAAAAAGAUGAUGGAAAAUAACCCAAAUCCAAGGUACAUAAUUAUCCUCAUUGAUUUACAUUUUUCUCCUAAAAACGUUAUUUAUUGUUUAAAAUCAAGGGGAACUCUACACUACUAGCAUCAUGGGGAUAUGUACAAUUGAAUUUAACUAAACUAGAUGGUGCAGUAAAUAAACUUUAUUUCUCUUUUUUAAUAUUGUCCACUUGGAAGCACGUUCAUUCUGUUACUUUUUUUCAACUUUUAAUUAAAAGAUUAUACUUAUAUCAUAGUAGUGCUUGAAUUGCUGUCAAAAUGAGCAAUUAAUGUGUUCUAUUUGAUUAAUAAAAAUUAAUAUUAAAACUUCUUAUUUACUUAUAAAUAACUUUUUAAGUUUAACCAAACAUGUAAUACUUGUGUUUAACUGACCUUAAAUUUACUCUCUUAAAAGAGAGAAUCCACCGUUUACUGUUUAUUUAUGAAGCUUUUGUUUGUUUUCCAUUUUAUCCCUUCAAUAAAUAUCCUAGCUUUUACCUUGAGAAAAAGAUAAAGGGUAAUAUAGAUUUUUCCCACAUAGCCACACUUGUUGACUCUUCUUAUGCUUCUAUAUUCCUCUUAAAAGAAAUGGGUAGCUUCCCAAAUGCGUUUUCUCUCUCUUUUUCUCACUGUACAUUUGGCCAAUCUUCCAUUCAUUUCCAACAAAGAAACCCUACCAGUCCUCUCUCCAUAUUUUCCCUUUUUCUUCCUAAACAGUGAAAGGCAUGUGUGUGUGUGAGACAGCAAGUAAUCUGGAUUUUGGUGGGUCUCAAUUUUCUUGGAUACUCCAAGUCAUUUUCUCUCUUGGUUCUCUUGUCUUAUCGUUUCUUUAUGCAUUUUUUCCCUUUCAUUUAGAUUUCACUAUUGAUGUGUUUGUCGUUUACUCGACAUAUUUUGAUGGUUGAAUAGUAUAGAGAAAUUAUUUUUUGAUUCGUUUAGUUCUUUUGUUUAUGUAUCCACCGAGGAGGUCACUUCACGUGGUUUCAACAUGGAUUCAAUGGACGGCAAUAGCUGCCGAAGGUGAAAGCAUUUCUGGGAGUGGUGAGCGACAUGGCGGCAUUGUUGCUUCUCCAUGUUAUUGUUCAAGAUCAUGACAAUCUUUUUCUAGCCUUCAAGGUCAAAAUUCUUAUAUACAAGCUCAAAAAGGAGAAAACUUGCACCGAUAUUAUACCUUUUUUUGCUUUUAUAUGUUGCGGCUUGUUAAAUGUAUACACUGGCUUUUUUGGAGAUCUUUUUUGCGGGAUAAGGAAAAGAUCUUCGCUUUAUGAACCCAAUAAUGAAGAGAAAAUUCAGUGAACUAUUUAUUUUCUUUGACCUUAUGGGAAUUCUUUUUACAUUUCCUCGAAUGGGAUUAUGAUGUUUUAGGUUAAAUUUAGUUUAUCUAAGAAAUGAUUGGCUUUUAUGCCUUUUGUCAUGGGUUUUUUUUAAAUUUUACUAUGAUUUUGUGUUAAUCUUAUUUAAUUGAUUAUGGGAAUGAUAAAUUUAGGGUUCUUUUUUGUGAUUAUUUUGUAGUGAUUUACCAAGUUUUGUUUUCUUUGUUUUUCUUUGCAUUACUCUAUUAGAAGAAGGUUUUUAGUGCAAUAGAUUUGACUGGUUCCGGGAUUCAUUCAUUUGACACAUAUAGCUUUACAUGUCUUUCCCAAUAUGUAAAGUAAGUUAUUGACUUUUUCGAAAAGCUUGCAGAUAGAUAGAGGGUUAUACAUGUAAGUGUUAUGUCCUAGAUCCAAUCGAUUUAGGUUGUAAACGCUUUUAAUAUGUUUAAUGCAUUUGAUUUUGGCGAGAUCUAUUAUUUAUUUAAAUUAAUUUUGUGAUAGAUAAUAUUAAAUAAUAGAAUCCGAAGAUCCAAUUUUUAGGUAAUCUGUUAAUCACAAGGAGUUGUGAUUGAUACAAAUUACAUAUAAUUGGAUCUUGAAUAAACCAUGGUCGUAAGUAAUAACGAGAUACGGAUAUCGUUAAUACAGUUAGACCAUCACGUGUGACAUUUCUUACUUGUGAAGUAAGUAGCUGAUCUCACGAGCUAAAGUGUGGUGACACUUAAAUGAACACGUGGAUGUUUUGUUAUAGAACAAAACAUUGGAGACCCGCUAAGAGAUUCCACAUGGAUAACUAUUUGAGUGUCAGUGGUUAAUCUCUAACGUUCAGCAGUGGAAUUGGUCCUUUGACUUGAGGUCGUCAUGGUACCUUAUAUGAAGACAGUCAUACUUUGGCGGUAUUGGAUGUUGCUCUAAAAAGGGCCGCUAAUACGACAUCGUUCGGGUACGUCAAGAAUCGUAUGAAGGUUGUGAUUGAUCAAUAAAGAAUUCGUCACUCUUAGAUAGUAGGAGAUUAUGAUUUGCGUUUCAUUCAAUUAAGUCGAUGAUGAAAUCCUUGGCCAAGGUGUACUCAUAAGUCGAAAAGGAGUUUUUGAUUUAUAUUGAUUUAAUAGUGGAGUAAAAGAUAUGAUCGAUGAUCGAGAUUGACACAAUUCCAUAUCUCGUAAUUGAUCGGAUCAUAUUGACGAAGGGAUAAUAGUUUCACGGUAAACGAACAAAUUUGGUUUUGUUAUACCACGUGACAUUUCCCGUCACAUGUAUUACCCUGACACAUUGCUAGAUGUCAAUCAUGGACGACGAGUGUGAAUUGACGAUAAAUUAAAAGUGUGUUUCAAUUUAUCAAUUUUGAUUAGAUCAAAAUAAUAUUUCACGACGUUAGGCAUCGUGGUCGGGAACCUAAUGGGUCGCACACAAAAGAGAAUUGGAAGAUUGCGAAUUGCUAAUUGGUUAAUUUAAUAAUCGUUGGAUAAAUUAAUUAAUUGAAUUUGUUAUUUAUAUUCCCGAAUUAAUUAAUUGGAUUAAUUAAUUCACAGACCGGGUUUAAUUAAUUGGAUUAAUUAAAUAUUGGAUCGGAUCGGGCCCGGUUCGUUUGGGUUUAUAUAUAUACAUAACUAGGGUUUGAGGUCCAUAAGGUUUUCAUUAUUCUUGCUGGCACAAGAGAAAAAUCCUAGCAGUUGCAGUCUAUUCUCUGUGUGGAUUUCAUUGGAGGCUGGACAAUUGGAUAGCUGUGGGAGGCAGAUUCAAGCUGCUGGAAAGGAAUAACGCGAAGGAGUUUGCAAAUUAAAAGAAAAGGUAUAUUUCUUAUCACAGUUUUUAUCUAAAUACAAAGAUGAAUCCUGAAUGGAAAUUGAAUUUUGUUAAAUUUCGUUGUGCAUAUUUAAGUAAAUUCCCAACAGUGGUAUCAGAGCCAACUUUGUAUUUGUUAGGAACUGUUUAACGUGUUGAUUAAAUUAAAUGUUAGUUUAAUCAUGUUCAUUCCUAAAUCUAUCAAAUAUAGUUUUAAUUUUUUCUCUUUUUGGAUCUGUUCUUGAAAAACAAAAAAUUUUGGGUCGAGGUGGGCGGAGCGCCGCCGCCGCGUAGCUGCGGCGAGCGCGGAUGGCAGGCGCGGCACUCCUGCGGCGCGGCACUCCUGCAACGCGAGGGCGCUAUUGGAGCAGCGGCAUCGCGCUGCAACGGGCAGUGCGAGGCGCUGCUGGUUGUUUCGGUGGCGCCACCCCUGGAAGGAAAAAAAAUUGGUUUAGAGUUUGGUGGAGACGGGGGCCUCUGUUGAAAAUAAUGUAAUUAGGGGCCCCUGAUUGCAAUUACGAAAAUGGGAGUAAAUCUACAAUUUUAAAAUCAGGGACCUAUUCUAUAAAUUUUGAGUUUGGAAGGGUCUGCUGUUAAUUUCCCAUUUGGGUAAAAUUUGUAAAUUUUUAAAAGGUUUUGAUUUUGAAUUUUGAAUUGUUUUAAAAAUGAGUUUUAGAUUGGGUUUGACCCAUACCCUAAUUUUGACCCAGAAUUUAAAAUUUAUUUAAAAUUUGACGACUUUUAUAUUUUUGUUAAAAUUACAUUUUAACUUAAAUAUUUAAUUUGACCCUUAAUUGAAUUUUUAUUUUGUUUGGGAAUUUUGUCCUAAAUUAAAAUAUUAAUUCAAUUUUAUUAGAGUUGGACUCUAAUAUUACAUUAAUUAAAAUUUGUUUUGAAUUAGCACCACUUCCCAAUGCAAAUUAGAACUUAGAGUAUGACUCUAAUUUAAUAAUUAAUUAAAAUUCGAUUUUGAUUAAAUUACUUCGCCCGAUAGUUAUGGAAAUAGAGUUGGACUCUAAUUCGGGAUUUAGUUAAAACUUGAUUUUAAUUAAAUAGGCCCGUCAAUUAAAUUAAUUAAUUAAUGUGAUUAAUUAAUAAUUUAAUUAUCUCGAUCCCAAAAUUUUGAUUUAAUUUUGACAACUAUAAUUGCUAGAUUUAUGAGACAUUGCAUAUAAUUAGAUAUUAUACAUAGGAAACAUUUAUGUGAUGAAUGUUUAUGGAUGAUUAUGGACUCGACCAUAUGGAUGUGUUGAAUGGUUGAUUUACUUCCUAUUGUUGUUGUGGGCUUGCGAGCUCCUUAUUAUAUUGGACCUGCGAGUCCGUUAUUAUUGUUAUUAUUAUGGGCCGGCGAGUCCGAUUUCUUUUAGGCCUACGUGCCAACUAGUAUAGGAUACAUGUUGCAAGUUCGGCUAAUUGGAGGCACAAGAAGAGGUGGACACCAUGGAGAUGGUGUACUAGUAUUGGUCCAAUACUGUACCCCUUAGGAAUUGACCAACUAGUAUUCCUUUUGGCUCCGAAAAACUAGAUAGAACAAGUUCAUAAUCAUCCAUAUUAUUACUUAUAUAUAUAUAUGUAUUUAUUCGCAUAGUAGAUGUAUGUUUAAAUAUAUGUAUAUAUAUAAUUACUUGAUGAGACCAUUGCACAUUAAAUCCCUCAUUAAAAAUAUUAAGUUAGUAUUAUUUGCCUUCCAUCAUUAUAGUGAAAAACGAUAAUCCUAAAUCGACCUUAGCUUGUUGAGUACACUCAAGACUGGUCUAUUAGGGAUAUGUUUGACGCUAUGAAUAUUUGAUAUUUCUGAAUGAUGGGUUUGUCUUAACUAAAAUUUAUCUUUUGUUGAGUACACUCAAGGAGAUAAAUUUUAGAGGCAUGUUAAGCUAACACAUAAGAUGUGUGAAGACAAAAGAGUUGUCAGCUUAAUGAUCUGGGAGUUGUAUGGAGAUACAAUUAAUAAUAAUAUCUAGCCAAAUGUUUUAUUAGGAUUUGUUAAGUACACUCAAGAUCUCGAUACAACGAAUGGGAUCCCAGCCCACUGUGAAUCAAGUGUGGAUUCAAAUAAUUUAUGUAUGAGGGUCAUGAAUUUAUUUUAAACAGUGGGAGCACGUUUAAUUAAAGUCCAUAUUGAAUUUAUGCACAUGCAUUAUAAUACAUAUUAAUUAUAUGUUCUUUCAUCAUUUACAGUUUUUGAAUCAUGAGUAAUCAUAUGAAUUUGAGAGGCAUAUUGGAUGCCAACAAACUGAUCGGACCAAAUUUUCUCGAUUGGCACCGCAAUUUGAGAAUCGUUCUCAAGCAUGAGAAAAUUGGAUAUGUCCUUGAGCAGUCCUUUCCAGUGGUGCCUACUGAAAAUUCCACUCAGGAAGAGGUGGUUGCUUACAACAAACACAGUGAUGAUGAUAACACUGCAGCAUGUGUGAUGCUUGCAGCUAUGUCUCCUGAGUUGCAGAAGCAACAUGAGGGUAUGGAUGCUUACACGAUGAUUUUUCAUCUCAAGGAGUUGUAUGAUGAACAAUCUCGUGUGGAGAGGUAUUAGACCUCUAAACAACUAUACCGGUGCAAAAUGGCAGAGGGAUCAUCAGUCAGUGCUCACAUGCUAAAGAUGAUUGGUUUUAUUGAAAAAUUGAGUUCACUGGGUUCUAUCAUGGAUCAUGAACUAAGUAUUGACUUGAUUCUACAAUCUCUGCCAGAUAGUUAUUCACAAUUCAUCAUGAACUUUAACAUGAAUAAGAUCGAAUGCACACUCCCUGAGUUGCUUAAUAUGCUUAAAACUGUGGAGCCCAAUGUCAAGGCUAGCACUGGGCAUGUCUUAGCUAUUCAUUCCUCCAAGGGAAUUAAGAGGAAAAUUAAAGGAAGUUUUAAGAAAACAUCCAAAAAGGCUAAGGGCAAUAACAAAGCAGUCAAAGUAGGCAAGGACAAUACCAAAUCUGAUGACCCAUGCUCUCACUUUGGAGUGAAAGGUCAUUGGAAGAGGAACUGCAAGGCUUACCUCGCAAGCUUUAAAGGAAAGAAGUCUUCUGAAGCUUCUACUUCAGAUACUUUUGUUAUCGAGGUUAAUAUGUCUACUUCAUUAGCUUCUUGGGUAUUAGAUACCGGAUGUGGAUCUCAUAUUUGUAUAAAUAUGCAAGGACUAAAGAGAAGUAGAGCACUGCAGAAAAUAGAAGUUGACCUGCGCGUGGGAAAUGGAGCAAGAGUUGCUGCAUUAGCUAUAGGGACAUACUUCUUACCACUGCCUUCAGGCUUAGUAUUAGAAUUAGAAAAUUGCUAUUUUGUUCCCGCCAUUACUAAAAACAUUAUUUCUAUUUCGUGUUUAGACAUGAGUGGUUUUUCAAUUAAUGUUAAGAACAAUCGUUGUUCGUUUUAUAAAGAUGAGAUCUUUUAUGGUUGUGGUGUGUUGCAGAAUAGAAUUUAUAUUUUUGAUACUGAGUCGUCUAUUAUGAAUAUAGAAAAUAAAAGGCAUAAAAAUGAUAAUCUAAAUAAUACAUACCUUUGGCAUUGCAGAUUGGGUCAUAUUAACGACAAACGCAUUUUCAAGUUACAUAAAGAUUGAUACCUAGGGUCAACUGAUUUUGAAUCAUUUGACAGAUGCGAGUCGUGCCUAUUAGGCAAAAUGACCAAGUUCCCUUUUACUGGAAAAUGAGAAAGAACCAUAGAACUGCUGGGACUAAUACAUACUGAUAUAUAUGGACCCAUGUCAAUAACUGCCGGAGGUGGUUUCUCUUACUUCAUCACAUUCACUGAUGAUCAUUCUAGAUAUGAUUAUGUGUAUCUGAUGAAAUUCAAGCAUGAAGCACUUGCAAAGUUCAAGGAAUUCAAACUUGAAGUAGAGAAACAAACUGGUAAAAAUAUACUCACGCUGAGAUCAAAUUGAGGUGGAGAAUAUUUAAAGGGAGAAUUUUUAGAUUAUCUUAAAGAGAAUGGGAUUCUCUCGUGGACUCCACCAUAUACACCGCAACAUAAUGGUGUAUCUGAACGGAGGAAUCGCACUUUGUUAGACAUGGUGCGAUCUAUGAUGAGCCAUGCAAACAUUCCAAAAUCAUUUUGGGGUCAUGCACUAAUUGCUGCGUGCUACACACUUAAUUGUGUCCCAUCUAAAUCGGUCGACAAAACUCCAUACGAGCUACGGAGAGGAAAAAGACCAAACUUAUCUCAUAUGAAAGUUUGGGGGCUGUGACGCUUAUGUAAAGCGAAAUGAAUCAGAUAAGCUUGAGGCUAAAUCUAACAAAUGUGUAUUUGUGGGAUAUCCAAAAGAGACAAUUGGAUAUCAAUUUUAUAAUCCUGUUGAGAAGAAGGUGUUCAUCUCAAGGCAUGCCAUAUUCCUAGAGAAAGAGUUUAUUCUAGGAGAGAGUAGUGGGAGCAAAGUAGAACUUGAAGAAGUUCAAGAAUCCACAGGUACUGUUGACCAAUUAGAUGAACUUGAGUCUGAUCCUACACCUGUUGAUGGACAGACUCUUGAUCAGGAUGUAGAGAACCCUGAGGACACUCCAGCUCAGCGUAAAUCAAGUAGGAUCAUUAGACCUCCUAGAAGGUACGAAUUCACGAUUACUAAUCAAGUAUUAUUAAUUGAGGAUGAUGAACCUACAAACUACAAAUCACGCAGAAGCAAAGUCAAGUGUUGAUUCGAAGAGAUGGCAAGAUGCCAUGGAAUUUGAAAUGUUCUCAAUGUAUGAGAACAAGGUUUGGACCUUGGUCGACCUUCCAGGUGGGAUAAAACCGAUAGGUUGUAAAUGGGUUUACAAGAAAAAGGUCGAUAUGGAUGGAAACGUCCACACAUACAAAGCAAGGCUAGUAGCGAAGGGUUACACACAAAGACAAGGUAUUGACUUUGAUGAAACUUUUUCCCUGUAGCCAUGCUAAAGUCCAUUCGAAUUUUGCUUGCAAUAGCUGCAUACCAUGACUAUGAGAUAUGACAAAUGGAUGUCAAAACUGUUUUCCUUAAUGGAAACCUGCAAGAGGAGGUGUACAUGACACAGCCUGAAGGUUUUGAAUUCAAAGGAGCCAACAAAGUAUGUAAGCUAAAUCGAUCCAUUUAUGGAUUAAAGCAAGUCUCUAGGAGCUGGAAUCUUCGUUUUGAUGAAACAAUCAAAAGGUUUGAUUUUAUCAAAAAUGAAGAUGAACCGUGUGUUUAUAAGAAAACAAGUGGGAGCGCGGUCGUAUUCCUGAUAUUAUAAGUCGAUGACAUAUUAUUAAUGGGAAACAACAUCCCAAUACUUCAAUCGGUAAAAUUAUGGUUGUCAAAGAAUUUCUCCAUGGAAGAUAUGGGGAGAAGCAGUGUAUAUCUUGGGAAUCAAGAUCUAUAGAGAUAAAUCUAAAAGAUUACUAGGCUUAUCCCAAUCUUCGUACAUAGAUAAAAUCUUGAGAAGAUUUAAUAUGGAAGAGUCUAAAAGAGGAUUAUGUCCCAUGUCACAUGGGAUUUACCUCUCAAGAGAUAUGUGUCCUAAAAUACAUGAUGAAAGGAGUUGCAUGGACAAGAUUCCUUAUGCUUCGACGAUAGGAUCUAUCAUGUAUGCGAUGCUAUGUACAAGACCAGAUGUUUCGUAUGCUCUAAGUGUUACGAGCAGGUUUCAAGCAAACCCUGGUGAGAAACACUGGAUAGCGGUUAAGAACAUUCUUAAGUACUUGAGAAGGACUAAAGAUGUGUUCUUGAUCUAUGGAGGAAAUGAAUUGAGAAUUCAUGGGUAUAAUGAUGCUAGUUUUCAAACUGACAAAGAUGAUAGCAAGUCUCAGUCAGGAUAUAUGUUUACUCUCAACAAUGGAGCGGUUAGUUGGAAAAGUUCCAAACAGAAAACAACCGCUGAUUCAACAACAAAAGCUGAGUACAUAGCUGCUUCUGAAGCAUCAAAGGAAGCCAUGUGGAUCAAGAAGUUCAUUAAUGAACUUGGAGUCGUUCCUAGCAUUGUUGAUCCCAUACCUUUGUAUUGUGAUAACAAUGGAGCCAUCGCGCAAACGAAGGAACCGAGGUCUCAUCAACGAUCCAAACAUGUGCUAAGGCGAUAUCAUCUCAUCAGGGAGAUUAUACAAAGGAAUGACAUAAUGAUAGAGCGAGUUCCCACAGAUGAUAAUAUUGCAGAUCUACUGACAAAGCCAUUGUCACAACAGAAACAUGAUCGUCAUGUGGAUGCUUAUGGUAUUAGAUACGUGAGUAAUUGGAUCUAGUGCAAGUGGGAGUUUGUAAGUGUUAUGCCCUACAUCCAAUCGAUUUAGGUUGUAAACGCUUUUAAUAUGUUUAAUACAUUUGAUUUUGGCGAGAUCUAUUAUUUAUUUAAAUUAAUUUUGUGAUAAAUAAUAUUAAAUAAUAGAAUCCGAAGAUCCAAUUUUUAGGUAAUCUGUUAAUCACAAGGAGUUGUGAUUGUGAGAUACAAAUUACAUAUAAUUGGAUCUUGAAUAAACCAUGGUCGUAAGUAAUAACGAGAUACGGAUAUCGUUAAUACAGUUAGACCAUCACGUGUGACAUUUCUUACUUGUGAAGUAAGUAGCUGAUCUCACGAGCUAAAGUGUGGUGACACUUAAAUGAACACGUGGAUGUUUUGUUAUAGAACAAAACAUUGGAGACCCGCUAAGAGAUUCCACAUGGAUAACUAUUUGAGUGUCAGUGGUUAAUCUCUAACGUUCAGUAGUGGAAUUGGUCCUUUGACUUGAGGUCGUCAUGGUACCUUAUAUGAGGACAGUCAUACUUUGGCGGUGUUGGAUGUUGCUCUGAAAAGGGCCACUAAUACGACAUCGUUCGGGUGCGUCAAGAAUCGUAUGAAGGUUGUGAUUGAUCAAUAAAGAAUUCGUCACUCUUAGAUAGUAGAAGAUUAUGAUCUGCGUUUCAUUCAAUUAAGUCGAUGAUGAAAUCCUUGGCCAAGGUGUACUCAUAAGUCGAAAAGGAGUUUUCGAUUUAUAUUGACUUAAUAGUGGAGUGAAAGAUAUGAUCGAUGAUCGAGAUUGACAUAAUUCCAUAUCUCGUAAUUGAUCGGAUCAUAUUGACGAAGGGAUAAUAGUUUCAUGAUAAACGAACGAAUUUGGUUUUGUCAUACCACGUGACAUUUCCCAUCACAUGUAUUGCCCUGACAUAUUGCUAGAUGUCAAUCAGGGACGGCGAGUGUGAAUUGACGAUAAAUUAAAAGGGCGUUUUAAUUUAUCAAUUUUGAUUAGAUCAAAAUAAUAUUUUACGACGUUAGGCAUCGUGGUCGGAAACCUAAUGGGUCGCACACAAAAGAGAAUUGGAAGAUUACAAAUUGCCAAUUGGUUAAUUUAACAAUCGUUGGAUAAAUUAAUUAAUUGGAUUUGUUAUUUAUAUUCCCGAAUUAAUUAAUUGGAUUAAUUAAUUCACGGACCGGGUUUAAUUAAUUGGAUUAAUUAAAUAUUAGACCGGACCGGGCCGGGUCCGUUUGGGUUUAUAUAUAUACAUAAUUAGGGUUUGAGAUCCAUAAGGUUUUCAUUAUUCUUGCUAGCACAAGAGAAAAAUCCUAGCAGUUACAGUCUAUUCUCUGUGUGGAUUUCAUUGGAGGCUAGACAAUUGGACAGCUGUGGGAGGCAGAUUCAAGCUGCUGGAAAGGAAUAACGCGAAGGAGUUUACAAAUUAAAAGAAAAGGUAUAUUUCUUAUCACUGUUUUUAUCUAAAUACAAAGCUGAAUCCUGAAUGAAAAUUGAAAUUUGUUAAAUUCCGCUGUGCAUGUUUAAGUAAAUUCCCAACAGUACAUUCAGACCAUCUCUUUUCAUUUUUUUUUUUCCAUCUACAUUUAUAUUUCAGACUGCCAUUUUUUUCCUAUGGCUGGGAAGGGAUACUAUUAGAAAAAAGUAGAAUGACUAAUAUUAUACACAAAAUUGUUGGUUUCCCAUGUUUCAGUAAAGCAUUUUCGUAAGAUGCUCUCCCAAUCUUUUAUAUAGUAAACUAACAAAUUUGAUAUUUUUCAACAAAUUGCCUUUUUUAAUAAGCAUCUGCUGCUAAACCGUAUUAAAGCGACUGCACACUUCUCUAAAGGAUAUUUAUCAAACUUUUUUCCACUCUGCCAUAGUUAAGGUUGGUAAGCUUCACAUAUUUUCUCAUAAUUAGUUAUUUGUCUCUAAGGGCCUUGCUUUUGCUGUUGAUUAACUGUGUAUGUGCUAUUUAAGACUUCCUUUCUAUAGCUACAAACCUGGACUUUUGAGCAUAUUGGGCUGAUUGGAUGGGGCUCAGUCGUAUAUUAUUUUUGUUGAUGAUUCUACAAAAAAAUUAUUUUAUUGAAUUUACUUCUUGUAUGCUCAUCUUUUUUUCCCUCAUAGAUUUGUCUUAUGCAUUCUUUGGUGUGUUAUGAUUAGCAAGUGAAUUAGGCAUGUUUGAUUCAAUUCUGAAACUUCUUAAUUAGAGUACCCUAUCUUGUGGUGGUUGCUGUUUUCUAUGCUAACUGUUUCCGAUAUUUCCAUACAUUAAUGUUAGGUUACCGGGAAAGUUUGGAAAGAAAUAAGAGGCAUAUUAUAUCUUACGUGAUUCUACACCAAACCAUCUAUUUUGCUUUUCCAAAAAAGAUUUGAAAAAUGAUAUUCUUUAAUGGAAUAUUUGUGGAAUUAUGUUGAGCCAAUCCUGUCAUAAUUGUGGUCUAGAACACUUGGUCUCCUACUUGCAAAUGAUGUAUUGGAAAUGUAGAUAUUUUCCUUCUUUCCCUAUAUUUGUCUUCUUAUGACAUUGGUGCAAGUACAAGUUGGUAGUUCUCCAGUGCAUAAGACAAAAAGGAAGUUAGGUGGUAAGGGUGGUUUUGGUCAAGGUCAAGUUUAUGUCUGUUGAAGGAUAAAUUGUGGCACUGAAAAAACAGUAUCAGAUGCGAUUGAGGUAUAUUUUUGCAUUCUAUCAUGGCAUUUUUAGAUAUCUGCAACAUCAUAUCAUUUUUUAGAUAUCUGCAACUGCAUAUCAUUUUCAAAAUUUAUGUGAAAUUUUGUUUUGUUUUGUUUUAUAGGUUGCACUAAAGUUUGAGCACUGAAAUAGUAAGGGCUGCGACUAUGGUACUCCAUAUGAGUAGCACUGUAGCAGUGUACAAGUAAGCGCCAUGCGUAUAAUUGAGGAUCUUCUCACUUUCUUCGUGUUCAAAACUUCCAUAACUUUGUUAAUGUUUUAGUUAGUUUUUUGACCAUUUUUCAUUCAAAUUUGGUGACUUUUCACUUGUUUCUUGCACCAUUUCAUGAGAACUUGCCAAUGCCUAUAAAUAGGUAAUCCAAGUGCAAGAAAAUUCAAUUGAGUUCCAUUGAAAUUUAUCCCCAAAUUAUACUUCCAAUAUUGAGAAAAUUUAUCACAUAAUCCUUCCAUUUUUCACUUGUUUAUUGUGAAGAAACAUCUUUGCUUUUUGGUGUUCUUCUUGUUAGGGCUUGUUUAAUCAUACGAACUAUUUGCCGAAAAUCCUUAAAAAGCAUUGGAAAUGAGACAAAUAACGUUUGAGGACAGGGAGAUUAAUUUCGUGUUCAAGCCUACAUUGAUAUACUUUUAUAAUUUUCUUCUCCAUUGUCAUUAUUUUUUCCAACAAUCUCAAACGUUAUUUGUUACUAUUAUUACAAUGGAGACGGAAUCUACACUUGCUACUAUCAAAAUGAUGAAUCAAGACCUGGUACACUUGAACAGAUUCGAUGGUGCAAAUUUCACAAGAUGGCAAGACAAACUUAAAUUUCUAUUAACGGCCUUGAAGAUCUUCAAUGUGCUUGAUCCAAAAUUGGAGCCCAUUCCCGAUGUAACUGACAAGGAUAUCGAAGAAAUUCACAUAGAAAGGAAGAAACGGGAAGCGGACGAAUUGAUAUGUCGUGGUCGUAUCCUAAUUGCAUUAUCCGAUCGCCUCUAUGAUCUCUACACCAACACUACAUUGGCAAAAGAAAUCCGGUACGUGCUAGAAAGCAAAUACAAAGCCGAGGAGGAAGGUACCAAAAAGUUCUUAAUAUCUAAGUAUUUUGAUUUCAAAUUUUUGGAUAAUAUACCGUUAUUGCCUCGAGUACAUGAGUUACAAAUAAUUGUAAACAAACUGAAAGCGGUGAAAAUCGAACUUCCCGAAACUUUCCAAGUGGGAGCAAUUAUUGCUAAACUUCCUGGUUCUUGGAAAGGAUAUAGGAAGAAGAUUCUUCACAAUUCCGAAGACUUUGGAUAUAUGCCUUUCGAUUUCGAGUAGCUUUGCACCUCAAGUUCUAGUAACUAGGGAGGGAGACUUAACAGAGAUGAUCAAGGAAAGUUUAAAAACAAAGCCAAAAGACCUUGCUAUGUUUGUGGAAAAUCAGGACACUGUGCCAAGGAUUGUAGACGUAGGAAACAACAAAAGAAGGAAGGACAAGUGAACUCCAUUGAUGAGACUAUCGCCACGGUGAGCGAAAUCAAUACAAUCUGAGGCAAAGUUCUGGGCUGGCGGUAUGAUACAUGCGCUACAAUUUAUGUAUGUUAUGAUAAGUCUCUCUUCAAAACCUAUCAUGACAUUGAAGACAAUCAAGAGAUAAAAAUAGGAAAUGAAGGAAGAUCAAAAGUGAUUGGCAAAGGAAAAGUGACACUCAUUUUCUCUUCGAGAAAGAAGAUCACUUUGACAAAUGUUUAGCAUGUACCGAAAAUUAAUAGAAACUUAGCAAGUGGUGUACUCUUGGGAUAAUCUGAAAUUAAAUCUGUUUUUGAAUUUGGAAAGCUUGUAUUAACCCAUAAUGGGUACUUUGUUGAAAAGGGCUAUUCCACCGAAGGAAUGGUCAAACUAUGUACUAUUGACGAUAAUUCAAAUAAAAUUAAAUCUUUUGCGUAUGUUACUGAUUCAUUUAAUUCAUGGCAUGGUAGAUUAGCACAUAUAGGAGUUAAUACUAUGAAAAGAAUGAUUAAAUGUGGAUUAAUACAAUGUGAAAUUGACAACUUGGAAAAAUGUGAAACAUGUGUUAAAUAAAAAAUGAUUAAGAAGCCAUUUCAUAGCGUAGUAAGAACAACAAGAUUAUUUGAACUUGUUCAUUCCGACAUAUGUGAAUUGAAUGGAAUAUUAACUAGAGGCGGUAAUAGAUAUUUUAUUAUUUUUAUUGAUGAUUGUUAUAGAUAUACCUAUGUGUACUUAUUAAAACAUAAGGAUGAAGCCUUUAGUGUCUUUAAAACUUAUAAGAUUGAAGUUGAAAAUCAAUUAGGAAAAAAAUUAAAGACUUUAAGAAAUGAUUGAGGUGUGGAAUAUUUUUCUAAUGAAUUUAACAUGCUUUGUGAAUAAAAUAGAAUAUUACAUCAAGCUUCUGUACCUAGAACACCAGAACAAAAUGGAUUAGCAGAAAGAAAGAAUAGAACUCUUUUAGAAAUGAUAUAUGCAAUAUUGUUGAAUUUUGAAUUACCCUUUAACCUAUGGGGUGAAGCCUUACUUAGUGCUUGCCAUAUAACAAAUAGAAUUCCUAUGAAAAAGAAUAAAAUUUCUCCAUAUGAAAUUUGGAAAAAUAGAAAACCAAUAUUUGAAAGUGUGGGGAUGCCUUGCCUAUUGUAAGAAUAUGGAUACUAAGAGAACCAAGUUAGGUCCUUGAGGUAUCAAAUGUGCUUUUGUGGGAUAUGCUCUCAACAACAAAGCCUAUAGAUACUUAAAUCUAGAAACAGAUGUUAUAAUAGAAUCAAGAGAUGUGGAAUUCUUCGAAGAUAUAAUGGUGGCCAGAAAAUCUGAAAAUAAUAGUAAGGAUAUUUCAAUCUUUAGAAGCUCACCAGAAGAGACAUUCAUAAAAGAUGUUGAAAUUGAACCUCGAAGAAAUAAAAGAACUAGAAAAGAAAAGAACUUAGGAUCAGAUAAAAUAGAUCCCCAACUUAUUUCUUUUUACUUAGUAGAAGGAGAUAGGAAGGAUGUUGUAAGAACAAUUCCCUUUGUUCUUCAAGUGGAAAGUGAUCCUAAGACUUAUAAGGAAGCGGUGCAAUCUAGAGAUUGUAUUUUCUGGAAAGAAGCCAUAAAGAACGAAAUGGAUUCUAUUAUUUCAACUAACACUUGGGAAAUAGUUGACUUGCUAGCAAGAUCUAAGGCUAUUGGUUGCAAGUGGGUAUUUAGGAAGAAAUACAAUUCCGAUGGAUCUCUUAAUACCUAAAAGGCUAGAUUAGUGGCUAAAGGGUAUCAUCAAAGAGAAGGAAUUGAUUACUUUGACACAUAUGCACCCGUAGCUAAGGUAACGUCGAUCAGGAUCUUAUUUGCAUUAGCAUCUAUUUAUGAUCUACAUGUUCAUCAAAUGGACGUCAAGACGACAAUCCUAAAUGGAGAUCUCGAAGAAGAGGUCUAUAUGAAACAACUAGAAGGGUUCGCUCUACCGGGAAAUGAACAUAAAGUGUGCAAAUUAAUUAAAUCCUUAUAUGGACUAAAGCAAGCUCCCAAAAAGUGGCAUGGGAAAUUUGACUCUAAAAUAAUGUCAAAUGGAUUUAAUCACAAUUCAGUAGACUGGAUCAAAGAAACAAAAUUGUUUAUAUCCUCUACUUUCAAAAUGAAGGAUUUUGGAGAAGUUGAUACUAUCCUUGGUAUUAAAGUUAAAAGAGAUAGUGGGGCGUUUUACAUUAAGCUAAUUACACUAUGUUGAUAGUGUGAUAAACAAAUUCAAACAUUUUAAUUUUAAGGAGGCUAACACUCUUAUAGCUCCAAAUAUUAAAUUGAUAAAAAAAAUGAAGGUAGAGCAAUUGCAAAAAUAGAAUACGCAAGUGCAAUUAGAAGUCUUAUGUACGCAUCACAAUGUACAAGACCUGAUGUAGCAUUUGUUGUAAGUAAACUAAGUAGGUUUACUAGCAAUCCAAGUUCAGAACAUUGGAAGAUAUCGGUAGGGUUCUUGGUUACCUAAAGAAAAACAAAAAUCUUGGGCUACAAUAUACGAAAUUUCCUAAAAUCUUGGAAGGAUGUACCGACGCAAGUUGGAUAUCAAGUGCGAGAGAGAAUAAAUCUACUUUGGUUGGAUAUUCACUUUUGGAGGUGGUGCAGUUUCUUGGAAGUCUAAGAAACAAACUUGUAUUACUCAUUCAACUAUCGAAUCGGAGUUUGUAGCAUUGGCCGAAACUGGGAAAAAAGCUGAGUGGCCAAGAGAUUUAUUAUAUGAAAUACCUUUAUAUAUAAAGGAUAUUUCUUCUUGUGUGAUAGUCAAGCCACUCUAGCUCGAGCGUAUAACGAAGUAUAUAAUGGAAAGUCUAGACACAUGAGUCUAAGACACGAGUACGUAAGGAAAUUAAUCAAACAUGGAGUAGUUUCUCUUACAUUUGCUAAGUCUAGUGAGAACUUAGUCGAUCCAUUUAUGAAACCUCUCACAAAAAAGUUAGUGAGAUCAACAUCAAGUAAAAUGGGAUAAAACUCCUCAAAUAAUUGCAACCUCACCAAAAUAUACUAAACUAGUAUAUACAUAGGUUCAAGAGGUAAUAACAAGUUAUUCGAUAAGUGGAUGGAUUCAACACUAUUAAAUAUAUCUAAUACUAUCUUUGGAAAAUAGUGUUGGUUAUUACUGUUAGAGGGAUGAGAUAAAAUAAACUCUUAAUGAAGUUCAGUAUGGAGUACAAGUAUCUGUAAAAGUAACAAAGAUAGUAGAAGAACUUUACCUAUGUGAAUUUCGAGGUGGUACCACUUCAUUAGAGAGUUGGAGUUUUCCCUCUUUAAAAGUUCAAUGAAAUAGGAUUAGUGCAAUGCCAUAUUAGCACUAAGCGAGUUAGAAGAAUAGUGAAAAGCUUAACACUUGUGUGUGUGAUUUCAUCGGUAUUGCCACAAAGAAUAAUUGGUUUAAGGCACAUUAGCCCCUUGAAAUUCUGAUGAUACUUUAUGAAAUUUACAAUAUGAAUAGAUUCAAAUCGAAAGAUAUCUACUUCUUAUGCAUAAAUGUUGAUAUUUGAUUAUGUGAUUAAAAUAGAUUUUGAACAAGUGGGGGAUUGUUGGAAAUUUUUUUGUUUGUUGUUCAAAAUAAAAGGGGGGGGGGGGCUUAACCAUGCGACUGUAUGAAUUAAGCCCAUGCGGUCGCAUGAGGCACUCCCAAGAAUGGGAGGGCCGGAGAGGCUAUAACCAUGCGAUCGCAUGGCUAUAGCCCAUGCGGUCACAUGGUUACAAAAAACUAACCGUUAGGUUAGUUUUUUGACCCUUUUUCAUUCAAAUUUGGUGACUUGUCACCUGUUUCUCACACCAUUUCGUGGAAACUUGCCAAGACCCAUAAAUAGGUGAUCCAAGUGAAAGAAAAUUCAAUUGAGUUCCAUUGAAAUUUAUCCCCAAAUUAUACUAAAAAUAUUGAGAAAAUUUAUCACAUAAUCCUUCCAUUUUCACUUGUUCAUUGUGAAGAACAUCUUUGCUUUUUGGUGUUCUUCUUGUCAAGGUUUGUUUAAUCCUACAAACUAUUUUCCAAAAAUCCUUAAAAAGCAUUGGAAAUGAGGCAAAUAACGUUUGAGGACAGUGAGAUUAAUUUCAUUUUCAAGCUUACAUUGAUAUACUUUUAUAAUUUUCUUCUCCAUUGCCAUUAUUUUUUCCAAAAUUUGUAUCAUUAUAUUUAUGAAGAUAUUUCUGGUCAAGGACAUGCUUGCACCCAGUCUCUGGGAUGUUGGGAAUUCUUUAGGCCAGUUGUUAGAUAUAGCAUUUCCCUCUCUCUCUUUCUCGUUCACAUGCACCCACAUACUAUCUUUGGGGCGCAACUUUCUAAAUUAUCCUUUUUGUUGUAUUUUACUUUUCUCUUAUAAUGGUGAGCAAUAAAAUAGGAUGUCUCCCAGUAUGGUGGCUUGUGUUGCUACGGAGGUUAAUUUCUUGAAAAGCUUCACAUGAAGGGGCAAAUCAUUUUGAAUUGUGCUAUGUGUACACAAAGCAUUACACCCCCUCACAUGGAGGGGGCCCACGAAUAUUAGCCUCUAUGCCCACGUACUGGGUGUAAUCUAUUGUGUACACCUUAUGGUGUACACAUAGAAUAAUCCAAUCAUUUUCAUCUCGGAUUUCUCUAUCAUAUUCUUUUGUUUUUCUACAAAGAUGUCAUUAAUCUUUGGAAUCUUCUUGCCUCCUUUUUUUUUUAAUUAUUAUCCUUACUUCACUCUGUAAAAGAAUAUUAACUUUGUAGAAUGGCUAGUAGAAAAUGUUAGAAAAAUUGCUAAAAACCAUUAGUUAACCCAAUGAUAAUAUCAUGUACAUGUAAUUUUGUUUGCUUCUUUUAUAAAGUUUAUCAACCCCACCAUAAUGAAAUUCUAACAAUGUGUACUAUAUUCAAAAAGUGAUCUAUCUUUGACACUAAUAGUAUAAGAUUUUAUUGGAACAAUGAAUCUUAACGGCACACAUCUUUCUUCAAUCCUUAACAUUAAACAUGCUAAUAUUACCCUUAAAAAUAAAAUAGCCCGUGUAUUUCAUGGGCAGAAGACUAGUACUUAAAAAGAAGCCAAAAAUUAUCUUCUUUUUGGCUUUUCUUAUGAGCACGAUAUUUCAUACCAUCAAUAAAAGUUAAAAAGAAGCCACCUUUUAACUUUUUUAGCGUUUAAGUUGAAUCGAGCAUGCUCAAAACCUGAAAAAAGAAAAUGUGAUUAAAGGUGACGUUUCUAGUUUAAAUUAGAGUUUUUAAAUACAAAGAUGAAUUUCAUACAGAAAGUCAUUUUUUUAGAAAGAUACUAAUCCUCUAUUUCAUUCAGCUAAAAAUAUGAUUAAAAUUUAAAUCAAAAUCAAUAAUUAAUUUUAAUAACACAUUUCAUGAGAUCCAUAACCUUUUAACAAUAUAUUUCAUUACCAAAAAUUUGAUUUUUAUUUUAAUCAAAUAGGCUAAAUCUAUAGUUAAAUAUUCUAAUGCUUGCCCUCUAUCCUCGAAUUAGACAUUCUUGUUAAGAUUAUGACCUUUUGAAAAAUGAAUAUGUUAUAAAAAAUUGGGUAACAUGAAAAUAUUCACUGCCAUAGAUUUAUCGACGAAUCACAAGGGAGAGGGUUGAAUAAGAAUUAGACACUCAUGUGGAGGGUAUGACCUUCUAGAAAAAUGAAUAUACAUUUAAGUUAGGGAACAAGAAACUCUUCACAAUUAUUGACUUGUCGAAGGAAAGAUUAAGCUCGUGUUUAAUACUCAUUAAUUUAUUUUUUGAUUUGUUAUAGGUUCACUUUCAAUCGCACAUUCAAACAAUAAAAUAUUCUACAAAUAUAUUAAAAAAAAUUCCUUACUUUUUAACCACACAUUCUAUUAAAAAUACUAUUCAAAACUCAUUUUUCCCUAAUUAAUCAGAAUCAAACAUGCUCUAAAUAAUACUAGACACUGUAUAUAAUUACUUGUUUAAUAUCAAUCAUGUUCAAUACUUCAUGCAUGCUUAAUAAAGAGUAUAAUGAAGAUUUUAGCAUUCUAUGUGUUAACAAUGUUGAGUAGCAUCUAAUGCUUCUUACCAAAUGUAUUAUAAUUGGAUUAUGUCUAGUCGGCUCUAGAAAAUCCAAACUAAUUAUUAGUUUUUUACUUUUCCACUAAAUGCAAAAGACCGAACUCUUGAAAUAUAUAUGAUCACAGAAGUCAAUAAAUCUAUAACAAUUUCCUCUGAACUAUCGUAUAUAUAUUUUAUCCCCUUCUGAGUUUCGAUAAUUAGAUACAAGUAAAAAUGACCUUUUUGUCCUUCUAAUAAUUCUCACUAACUCAAAUAUCAUGUUCUUCAACGGUCCUAUGAACUAAUCACAAAUAUCGAAGUUUAGUCAUCACGAAACAUUGAUCUCAUAUUUUAACUGUUCAAAAGAAAAUUUUAAGUAGUCACUCUACCCAUUUUUCAAGAUGACAGUUCCCGACAUGAAUCAUGUUCUCUACUCCUCUCAUUCUCAAAUUUCCAACUCAUCGAGAUAUUUUACCAAUCAAAUUGAUCUCAUACAUUGAUGAAUAAAAAACUAUUAAGAUCAUGAAAAGAUAUGCAUAACCAUGCCAAGGGAUUUAGAUGCAGUACACAGUAAUCAAGUAGAAUUUAAUUCUCAGCACAAUCAUGUUAUAGAAUUAAACUCGACACAUGGUCCGUUUAAUACACUCCAAGUGUACUAGCGUUACCUUUAACUAUUUUUGUGAUAAAGACAAAUCACAAACCUAAAUAGUAAAUCGAUCAACACUAAAACCUUUCAGUAUAAGGUACCAACCCUUAUACAUUGAUUGUGAACAAAUUAUUUAUGAUCAAAAUAUAAGUUGUGUUACACAAUACUUCUCAACAGAAGUACCCAACUUAUAUUAUCAAAAGUGAUUAUGGGCACUUUAAUUCGCAUGCUCAAUGUAAAUAAAUGUAAUAAAUAAAUAAAACCAUAAUUUAUUUGUUAUAAAUUAUUAUUUUAUUAUAACAAUAUAAAAUAUAUGGAUACACAACCCUACAAUUAUAACCUUUGUUAUCUUGUUAGUAUUCUCCUAAUUAUUUACUUCAGACAAUUUUCUUUAGAUUCUUGUUGAAUUCACAUAUAUUAUUCUUUGUAGGUGCCCUACGAUUCGUUGCAUAUUGCUCUUUUAUCCCAUAUUUAUAUAAAUGUAUGACAAAAUUAGCCCAUGUGUGGAUUCCAUUAUUUCUAAAAUAUAUUUUUUCAAAAUUCAUUUUCAACCAUAUUUUUCCAUAAAAUAAUAUUAUACGCAAACCUAAAAUUUUUCUUAUCUUUUAAUUACUUAUUUUUUAAAAAAUCACUAUUCAAAGUACAUUUUUUUUUCCGAAAACCCUAUAAAUGGCAAAGCUAUUGCAGGUAUAUUGUAGAUUACAUUAUGAGUCACACUCUCCCAUGUGACAUGAUCUGCCCCAUAAUUUUACCUCCACUUUUUUCAUCAAUGCACAUAUUCCACAUAGGAGAAAUGUCAUGCAAGCAUUAUUCUUAAUAAUUUAUAGGAGAGUUUGUUAAUAGACUAAUAAAUUAAAACUCUACAAAAAUAAUUUUGAACCGUUCUUGCAUAUCAGUGAUACCCUAACGUAACAAUCCUAAAAUUUCAUCAAUAUUAGAAAGUUUAGAUUUAUUAUAAUAAUACAAAAAAAUAUAAUAAAGAACUACAAGAAUAUGAAUCAAAGUUAUCUCUUCUUUAUUUUUCUCCACAUGUUAAAAUUUGGAUCAACCUUUUUAAAUUUGAAGAAUAAUUACAUUAAUAUAAUUAUUAUUAAAAAUAUACAUUUCAUAUUUAGCAUAGAAGAAAAUAAUUAAAUGACAAAUGUAUUCUAACAUGAGAAGUUUAGAUAACUUUUAAAAAACGAGGAUGAGGAUGUAAUUAUCGAAAAUUUCAAAGGACAUUAAUGAAACUUAUGUAAAUAAAAGUGGAAAUUGAAAUGAAUGACUUUGCAUGUCAUUUCAAAUGAAUGAUUGAUAUUUCCCUUGAACGUGAUUGAUUGACAUUUUAAUUACCAUUUAAAAUUGUGGGAAGUCUAGCAAACUCUUAGGAUUUUUCAAUGCUUCAAGAUAGACACUUUGAUGCAUAUUAAGCCCUUGUUUGCGCCCCAUUCUAGGGGGAAAAUGAAUUUCUAAAUAAUGUGUUGAUGUGAAAUGUGUGGUUAAAAUGAUGUCAAAAUACUGUUUGAAAACAUAUUUUUGUGGAAAGAAUGUGGCUUAAACAGGGGAUAAAAGCCUAUUUGAACAUCAUUUUUGUCAAAAAUAUAUUUUAAAAUAGUGGUUUGAUGAAAAUUUGUAGUUGAAAAAAAAAAUUAGUUUACAUGUAAUAUUAAUUUAUCAAAGAAUAUGUGGUUAAGAAUAAGAGAGAAUAUUGUAUUUUAGAAUUAAUAUAUACCAAACAAGGGCUAAGAACCUACUUGAGCUUCUAAUUUAUUUUUUUUCCCUCCCCUAAUGCAUUUCAAAAUAGUAGUUUAAUUGAAAAUUGGAAAAAAAAAAAAACUUUGAAUUUGCGAGCUGAGUAUUAUGACUAAAAGAUGAGAAGCUUUGCUUUGUAGAGAGCUGUUAUGCUCCUCAGUGGAACACGUCCACACUCAACACGUCGAAGCACAUAAUGUCAAGAAACAUCGAAGCAUAUUUUUUGAAGCGGUGGUUAUUUCGAAGUGGUGCUGACGUGGUACGUGCAGGUUCAAGCCGAUACAACCAAAGCGAUAAUCGUUCUGAAGUGGUACAAGAUGGUAUGUACAGGUCCUACCCUGCGCUACGACCCAAGAUACAAAUAUUUUGGGCAAGGAUCUGUCCAAGACAUAUUUUGGAAUGAUAGAUGUAACAUCUCUAUGACAUGUGUCAACUCCAAGUCAGAAACAUUAAAUGUCGCCCCACCUAGGAAAUGAUUGAUGAGCACCUAUGAGUAGAUGCCUCAAAUCGAUAGAUAAAUCCACGUGUUCUACAUCUAACGACACUCCUUCCAACUUUCUCUCUAUAAAUACAAAGAGUCAAACCUUUGCAAGGUAGUAUAACUUCACAAUUCAAGUUUAUAUUUACUCCUCCCCAUUUGUAAUAAAAAAAGGUUAGGGGGUUGUCGUUAUCGGAACCCGUGGUGCUGUUUACAGUCGACUGAGUUGAUCGUUGGAAUGUAUGUGGCUGCUAUCACACUCUUUGCGAAUGGCCAUAUACUUUUGACAAGUUUCGGCCAUGUGUAGGGAGGAAAAUACACAUGGAGUUGCUUUUUGUUGGUUGCAUGGAAGGUCCAUUUUUCGAGGUUAGCAACAGUUUUAUCUUCUCGUCACUUCUUUCUAGCUACUAGCUUCUCAAGUGGGUGGCUUCGUAAGCAAGCUACCUUAGCAUGGAUAAAAUCCCUAUCAGUAACAGGCCAGAAUAGCGGGGAAGGUUGCUUGCUCUUCAAUGGAAAUGGAGAAUUGUCCUUUUAUACUCGAUCCUAUACAACUACAUUUUGCGCAAAAUGAUCAAAACAAAGAUAGAGAAUUGCAAAGAAAGGACGAAAUGAACCAACCCACAUGUCUUAAUCGAAAAAUAUUGAAGAAAGAAACCUUGGAUCAGCUACUGAAGCCCCUACUUGUACUAGUUAAUCCAUAAUGAAGGUGCAAGUGCUAAAGAAUAUAUCGCUAGCUCUACUAAUGAUGCUAUAGGUUACGGAUCAAUAUUAUUUUAUUAAAAAAUGUAUAAUUGAAAAUAAGAGAGAAAAAUAUAUUUGAAAAUAAUGGGGACCAAACAAAAUUGAGAAAUUGUGCAUCCACUUUUGUACUUAACUAAGAGCAUUAAUGUUAACGUUACAAAUGAAAUUUGAAUUACAGAAGUAAUCUAUUGAAAAUACAAUUAUGCCCUAUUUGGAGGCCUUUAAUUUACUUUUAUUUUUUGGAUUUAUUUUUAACUAUAAAUUCAUACAAUAAAAUAUUUUACACAAAACCUUUUUCAAUUUUUUAAUUACAUUUCGCUAAAAAAUACUAUUGAAAACAUAGUUAUUUACAGUUAAAGGCCACCAAACCGGGUUGAUUAUAAUGUCUAUUUAUUACAUUAAUGUAGACUGAAAUCUUUUAUAUUUAGGGUUUUUUUGAAACUCAUUUUAUUGGGAGAUUUGAUUUUGUAAUAAUGAUUUUUAGAAAAUGUGUUGUUAAUAUCUAAGGAAAAUUUUAAAAUUAAUAUGUGAAAUUAUUUUAGAGGGAGAAUAUAAGUACGAAAAAAAUGACUUUUUAAAGGACAAAGCUCAAACAUAGGCUCAAAGAAUUCAUUCUAUUUAUAAUGUGGUUGACGAGAUGCACAUGUGGUGCACUGUCACACUGUUAAACUUUGAGAUAGUCGAAUUUUAGUCACAAAAUGUAAAAAAAAAAAAAAAAUGUCUUCUAUUGUUCAUUAUACUUUGAGGUGAUCAAAUUUUGACCACUAAACUUUGAUAUAAUAUAACUUUGGUCACUAAAUUUUUAGAAACGUUUUCUAUUGCUCACUAUAAAUUUAAAUUUAAUUAAUUUCCUAUUUAUCUCCCUUUAAAAUAAAACUUUUUAAUUUUCAUACUCAUUUUUAACCAGACAUUUAUACAAUAAAAUAUUUUACACGUAAACUCAAAAAGAUUUCCAACGUUUUAACCACAUAUUAUCCAAAAAAUCACCAUUUAAAACUCUUCUUUUAAAAAAAAAUGACCAUCAAACAGGGGCAGAAAUUCUAAUUUAAUUUAAUUUUAACAAUAAAUAUAUUGUGUAUUUAAUUAUAAUUAGUAAUCCGUUUCUUUGUACAGCUUUGUGAAUAAUGGAAACCAAACAAAAUUAGCAAAUUGUGCACCAUUUUCGUACUUAACUAAGAGAAUUAAUGUUAAUAAAACAGAUGAAAUUUGAAUUAUAGACGUAAUCUAUUGGAUAUAAAAUUAUGCCCCACCUUUAAUUUAUUUCUCACUCAUUUUAACUACAAUUUCAUACAAUAAAAUAUUUUACACAUAAGUUUAAAUUUUUUUUCUACAUUUUAAUCGCACUUUCUUAAAAAAAAUACUAUUUAAAACAUAGUUUUUUACAAUUAAAGGUCACCAAAUGGGGCUAACUAUAAUGUCUAUUUAUUACAUUAAUGUAGAACGAAAACAUUUAUAUUUAAGGCUUGUUUGAACUUCAUUUUAGAGAAUGUUUGAGAUUUAUACGUAAAAUUAUUUUAUAGGGAGAAUAAGAUUACAAGAAAAAUGAAUUUUUAAAGAAUGAAGAUCACAUAUAGGCUUAAAAAAGAGUGUCUUUGUUAAUAAAUAAACAAAAACAAAAUAUAAAACAUGAGUACCCAAACACGUAUGUCCAUACCGAACAAGAAUUAAUAAUGAAAUAUUUUCUCAAUCAAGUCAAGAACAUAAGUAAAAAUUUUAUUAUUAUUAUUAUUUUUUUUUUUAAGAAUGUGACUAAAAAGUGGGAAAGAAAAAGUCAUGGAAAAUGUGCAAAUUUCAUUAUUAAAAAAAAAUCAUAGUUGAAAAUAAAUUCAAAAAUAUAAAUGAUCGAGAAUUUUCACCAAAUAUGAAAUAAUUGAAUACGAAACUUUAUAAAUCAGGCACUGUCUAAUCAACAUUAUUUGAAAAUAUAUAUAUAAAUAUAUAUUCUUAAACAGUGGUGUCACAUCAUUUCAAUCACACAUUUUUCAAUAAAAUAAUAUUACACUCAAAUUCAAUUUUUUUAUUUACUUUUUAACCACAAAAAUUUCAUUAAUACACUAUUUAAAAAUAUAUAUAUAUUUUUUUUUUCAAAACAACCUGGUUCAAACAAGGGUCAAAAACCCGCGUUAAAAAUUAAAUACUGAGAUUUUAAUAAAAAUUGACAAGAUGUUUGAUUAAUAAAAGAAAAAACGUGAAAUUCUCAGAGUAAAGGUCUGCUAUCAUCAAUGGAGCCCAAAUCGCAAAAGAGAAGAAGGAAAUCAAAAGAUAUGCUCGAAAAAAUCGGCACUAAUGUUUUCAAAUGAUGAAGAAGCUGAAAUUUCUCAGAGAGAUAGCAAAGAAUCUGUUGAGGAGGGCUCCAGUUCCCACUCGAAAAGCAAAGAGGAAGGAAAGACGACCCAAGAAGCUGCUUCAAAACAACAAAAUGGCUCUUCUUCUGAUGUUGAAAGUCUCCAGCAAAAUGAAUUGAUUGAGAAGCAGUCCCAUUUUUUCUUCGGUCAGAUAUUCACUGACGAGGACGUUAUUACGUUGCUUCAAGGUCAAAUAGAUUUUAAGUCUGAGCAUGGGGAUGAAAGUAAGACCGAGUUUCAUUUGUUUGUUAAGGACAAGCUUCAUAUGGAGUUUACUAAGCUUCAAGUCACUGAAAAACUUCGGAGACUUAAAACAAAAGUUUCUUGGAAAUUUCAAUAGGAAGAAACAGGCUCCUUUGGAAUUCUCUAAUGCAUAUGAAUAUACUGUUUUCAAGCUUUCGGAAAAACUUUGGGGAAAUGAGGGUCAAAGUCUUUAAAGCAGCAAAUAGUGCUCUCGGAAGAAAAAGAACAAAAUGUGGAAAAAGAAAUCUUAGAGGAUGAAGUGGACGUGGAAUCAAAUUACCCAUUAUUGCCUCAGUCUUUCCAAAUGAAUAUUGGAGGAAUCAUCUCUUCGGAUAUGCUCAAGACGAUUUGGGCGAUGAUGGGAAGUGAUAAGGCACGACACUUUGAGGCAGAAUGGAGAAAUCUUAUGAUACAGGAGCUUGAGCUGCACCUUAAAGAGACUGAGCUGGUUCUGAAAGUUCUCAAGGGUUUUCAUUUGUUCUGUCACUAGGCUAUGUAGAUUUGAAUAUUUGCUAAUCAGUUAUAGUUUCAUGUAUUUUGUUUCUAAAUGUCGAUUAGGCUAAGAAAAACAUGAGUGACUUUGUUCAUAUAUUUUGGUCUGACACGCUUUUAUUCUGUUGGAGAAUUUGGUUUCAUGGAAUAGAGUGUAAAGAAAUUUUUUUAAUUCAGGGACUUGCUUUUAUUAUUUUGUUUCUUGACACAUGAAAACGUGAAUCUGGUAAACGUUAACUUCAAGUGUGGCUUUGUUGCUUGCCAAAGUUAAGCCUAGGCAUUCAACUAUUUUCUCUCACUAUAGUUCCCACUUUGACCGUUUUGGUGAAAUUGACAAAUUGAUAGUCUUUCUUCAGGAAGAAAUUUCUAAAUUUCUUGAAUUUCAGGUAAAAGAUGAGAACUUGAAUUUUUCUGGUGGAAAAUUUGAAUUGAAAGUCGAGGAAUCAAGAAAUGGGUUCCAUUUUUUCAGGUUUCUAUUGUAACAAUUGGGUGAAGAAUGUAGGUUUAUUGAAUAUCUUACUGUCAUUCCCCUUAACGUUAUUUUCAAUUGACAAAGAAUUAUUGUUUGGACUACUCUGGCUUUCUGUGUGGUAGUUGUUCAUUGUACACGAUCUUUCUAAAUGUCAAUUAAUUUAAUAAUUGCUAGCACAUAGUUAGAAAGUCUUGGUAAUUUUCUUUGUUAUUAUGCAGUUUGCUUUGAUGAUUUAGAAAGAAUCAUGUGGUUGGAAAUCUUUUAAUAUGAGUAAGUUAUUUUCUCUGAGCUAUUAGCUUCUUGUUUGAGCAGUUGCAUUCUUGUUGUUAUACAGAAAUAGUUAGAAUUGACUUAGCUGCAGAAGAGAAUGAUAUGCAUUAUGUAGUUGUUCAGCAUUGAUAUCCCUAGUCUUUUGUUGAUUAUAACCUUCCAUCUUAGGAGUUAAAGAUGAUUCUACGUAUUUCUUGUCCCAAUAGUCCAAUUUAUUACUCCAUUUCUCGUCUUCAAUGCACUUUUGUGGUGAUUGUCCCACAUAGUUUCACGUCACUUGUAAGGAAUAAAUCGUUUAAAGUUUGUUCUCAUGUCAAAUGAUUAACAAAGAAAACAUUCUUGAUAUCUAACUCCGGUUAUUGUCCCUUUAAUAGAUAUUGCCCCAAGCAAAAGUAGCACUUUCAAAUAUUACAAAAUCGAUUAUUGUCCUUUUAAUAGAGAUUGCCCCAAGCAAAAGUAGCACUUUCAAAUAUUACAAAAUUGACAAUUGGCUUAUGAGAAUUACUUGUAAUGCAGAUAUUUUGGCUGUCACUGGAAAUGUUUUCAAGAAUGAGGAUUUUUGUUUUAGAAAAUUUUCUCAAUGUGGCUGUUGACUAUAAAAGCAUUGCGGUAAUCUUCGUUUGUUGUUUUUGGAUUAUACUUGUAAUCUUAAUCUGGGAAAGUCAACAAAUAUUGUGUUGUGUUUUGCAAAUUUAAGCUUGUUUUAGAAGAAUCUGUCUAUAUUUAGUAGUUUGAUAAUGUUACUUUUUUAUAUUUGAAAGGAGAAAUUAGAGAGCUAGCUGUAAGAGGCAAACAUUGCUGUUAUUUAGUUAAUGUAGAUUUAGUUGUCUUCUCAUGAUGCUUGAGAAAGAUUUUGCUUUUGAGAUAUCGAUCGAAAUCUUAAUAUUAAGAAUUAUGCUCCUUUGCCUGAAAGAAAUUGUCACCUUUGUUGACAAAUACUCGCAUGAAGUGGGAACCAUGUGAAUAAAAAAAAGCCCAAAAAAUACUUGCUUCCCUCCCCCUAUUGUGAGGGAGACGUCAGGGAGGGUGUCAAUUCCUUCCUAGCAGCAUAGCUGAAUUGUAAUAUUAAUGUGGGAUAUGAGACUAUAAUUUUUAGUAAACUUAUCAGAAGUAUGAUGACUGGUUUGUAUAGUUUCAAAACUUGAGGACAAUUUUGGGAUAUUAUGGAUGUUCAGGGAUCAACGUAUAAGGUUUUGGAAGUUGUGAGACCGAUAUUGAAGAUAUGUAUAAAAACCCAAAAUCAUAUGAAAAACUUAAAAUAGGUACCAAAUUGUAAAAAUUAGAGAGUGGAUGGGGGGAGGACCGCUAUUUGCAAACCAUAGCUCAACCAAGGUUAGAAGUGAUCAAUGGAUUCCAUGAUCCGAUCAUGGUAAUCAACCACAAUCAGCGUGAUUGGAGCCCAAGCUCCUUGUUGGACGUGGUUGUGUCACAGUUUUCCUACAUUGAAAAGUUUGGAUUCUUUUUGUUUUAUUCGGGGUUAUUUUAGGUUCUUUUUGAGUCAUGACUUUUGAGAUGGGCCUAUCGCUAAAGACAGAUAUAUUCUAGAUAAAAACAAAGAGGACACAAUAAAGAGUGGGGAUGUAAACGAGUCGAAGUUCACGGUUUGAGCAUCGCUCGGGUAAAAAUAGGUCGAGCUUUUUUUGCUUGAGUCAAACCGAGUCAAAGUUGAGCCAGCUCUUUUUUUUCCCCAAAAUUUUAAUUACAUUUUUUUAAGGCAACUGCCUUUAAAGCGACCUUUUCAAAGGCUCUAUACACGGAUUGGCUUGUGUUAGUAUGACAAGUCGGCUCGAGCUCAGGCUAACACUUGAAAAUGAGGCUCGGUUCGAACGAUCCCCAACGAGUAGUGAGCUGAAUCCGCUCAGAAAUUUUUGGGCCGAGUCACAUGUCAUUCGAGCCGAUGAGUUAAAUUGACAUCCCUAAUGGAGAGUCAGAAGUAAAACAGACAGAAUAUACAAGAGAGAAGAAAAGAAAAAGCUAGGAUUUCAAGAUUGUGUUCUUACUACAAGAGCGGCGAAGUACUUCAAAUGCUCCAUAUGUUCUCUUUUCCUAUAAUAUGCAACUAAAUCAAUAGUUUGGAUGAAAUAUUAUAUUAUAGUUUUGAACUUUAAUUUUAUUUAUUAUGCUUUGAUCUCAAGUUAAUAUUUGUGUAUUAUUUUUACUUUUAUUAUUCAUGCUUUAAAACAAUUUGGUAUUGUUUCAUUGAUUUGUAAGCAGGAAGGAUUCGAGAGGUGAGUUAUUAUUUUAGACCUCAUAGUAAAAAUUGAAAUUUGUGUAAAAGAUAUAUCUUCACUAAGUUUGCAGUCAUUAAUUGAAUAUUUUUGUGACUGUAUACUCUUAAUUAAGACUUAUCAUGAUUUAAAAAAGAUAUAGUGAGUUAACUUAGUUGAAUAAGAUUGAUUUAAAUUCGAGAGAUGUAAAUAAAUUUUGAUUAGAAGAACUUGACAUGAUACACAUAAUUGAGUAUUGUUGAAAUUUGGUAACUGAAAUUAGAGGGAUAACUAUGAUGAACUCGUAAACCAUAACACUUGUUCAUUAAUUAAAAUCCUAAAUUAUCUAUUUUUGCACUUCUUCAAUUAUUUUGUAGAGUUAUAAUAUUUAUUAUCAUAAUUUAAAUUAUUUUCAAAUAUAUUGCGCUAUACAUUGAAAAAUUACUUGAUUUUGGCACUGUUCAUAGGGUUGCGUGCAAACAUUUUUUUAAUCCGACCAUUGAAAACCCGUUGGCUGAUUUGCUUCUACUCUCAUGCAAAUAUCUAACUUUCCAUUUCUUUUAACACAGCUAUAUCACUCUCUAUUUCUCUUUGUAUUCUCGGCCACAAAUUGAAUCUCAUUUCUUCUUUUCCUUUUUGUUUAACACUCCAGAUUUUUAUAAACAUUAGAGUGUUAUCAAAAAUUCAACUUUCUUCACAUUAAAUGUGGAACCGACACAUAUAAAAAUAAUUCUGUUAUUUUCAACCAUAAAUAUCAAUUAAAAUGUGGAAUUCGAGUUUUAAAAUUUAACUAAUUAUUAAACAUGUCUUUGAACAAAAACAAACUAAUAAUUUGGGAGAUAAAAAAACUUAAUAUUUUUAUUCUUUCAAAUCCUCUUGACAGUCUGCAUCACCAUCUUGCCAUAGUUCCAAUCAACCCGAUUUAACUUGUAAACUUAUUAUAGGAGUGAGUAUUUUAAAAUACCUAGUAAGAUACGUGCAGUUUUCAUACGCAAGUAUAUAACAAUAAAUUAUACACUUCAUUUCACUCUUCUCUUAUAAAAUAUAUUGGUUACCAAGAGACACAUCCAUCUUAAAUCCUCUUAAAUUUCAGUAGGAUCAUAUCUCUUUCUGCAGAACCCGAAGGUCCACUUACAAUUCAUACAUAUUUAAUUAAAUACACAAAAGUAUAAGAAAACAAACUAUUUGCUCAAAAAUAUCUUACCUUGAUAGAUUUGAAAAGUUGUAAUGGAUUGUAAUUAAUGCACGUGACACCGUAUUCUUUUCCUCUCUCUAUCUUGUAUGAAUAAAAUAUAUUAUAUAGUGAUAUUGUAGGAUUCUCUCUCUAGCUUUUGGAUUUCGUUGGCCUUGUAUAUAUAAUAUAUUAGUGGUGAAAAAUUCUCGACCCAUGGGAGUAUUUAUAGGACUUAUAACCUAGUAUAUCAACUGAAUUUCAUUGCAACAAGGAGACGUGAAUAUAGUGAAUGGGUCUGUAUAGAAUUGGUUUCCUAGUGAAACUUAUAAUUCUAAUCUCAAUGCAUAACAAUGAAAUGAGCUUUACAAUUCAAAUACAAAUCUAAUCAAUUAAAAAAAAAGGUUUUUUUCUAAUAAUCAUCCUAGAUAGACAUGGCUACGCCCAUCCAAAUUAUAUUUAAUUAAAAAAAUUAAUAAACGACAAUUUGUUUAAACUUCAAUAUCUUGAAUCUAACUUAACCUAAUUAACUUUUUCUCAAGUCGAAUAGUUCUAAUUAAUUAUAAACUAUAAAAAAAAGUCCAAUAUUAAUAUACUUAUCUUCGCUCUAUCAAAAUCUAAUUAUUAGGUCCAAAUAAAAUUAAAACUUAACUAUUUCAUUUUAGUCCUUUAACUUUCAAAAUAUAAAUAUGUAGCAUAUAGAAUUUUAUUCUAUAAAAUUUCCAGGGCAUUACAAUCUCCCAUACAUAAAAGAAUUUGGUCCUCAAAAUUACCUCAGUUAGUUGAAAAGUUUCGGACACUUGACCUUGACAUACUUAUAGUAUUUUAUAACAGAAAGCAAGAUUACUCAUAAUCAUACUAAAAGAAUGACAUUUCAUUUUAUACCUUGGAUCUAUUGGAGAGUGAUCAAAUAGUGAGCGCCACGUGUUAAGGAUUCUUCACAUUAUUACAUGAUCAAAAUUUUACAAAAACAUUAUCCUUAAACUCCUAAUUCUUAUCAAAAUGCUUUGAUCUUAUUUAUUUAAAAAAAUUCUAAAAUAGGAAUUUCAUUAAAUAAAAGUUUCUAGAGAUAAACACGUAAAAUCGUGUUGAAAUCAACUUAAAACUAAUAUUUCCAUAUAUUAAACAAUCAUUUAAUAUCUAACCUUUAGAAAAGUAAAAUCUGUAAUUUUUUUAAUAUAUGAAAGUGCAUUGUUCACGUGAUUUUUUUUAAAGAUGUCUACAAGAAGGUAGAUCUAUGCAGAUACCAUAUUGUAAUACUCCAAAUUUUAAUAAACAUUAGAAUCUUAUCAAAAAUUCAAUUUUCUUCGUGUUAAAUGUGGAACCGACACAUAUAAAAAUAAUUUCUUUAUUUUCAAUUGUAAAUAUCAAUUAAAAUGUGGAAUUUGAGUUUUUAAAAAUAUUUAAACACAAUUAGUUAACUAAUUGAUAAAUGUAUCUUUGACCAAAAACUAACCAAUAAAUUGGGAGAUAAAAAAAUUAAUAUUUAUAUUUCUUCAAAUCUUCUUAGCAGUCCGUAUCACCAUUCUCCUACAAUUCCAAUCAACUCAAUUUAAUCUGCAAAAUUAUUGUAAGAGUGAGUAUUUAAAAAUACCCAAUAAGAUACGUGGAGUUUUCACACACAAUUAUAUAACAAUAAAUUAUAUACUUCAUACCAAUCUUCUCUUAUGGCGUAUAUUGAUGAUCAAGCGACACACCUAUCUUAGGUUCUCUUAAAUUUUCGGAGGAUUUCAGCUCUCUUUCUACAAAAUUCAAAGGUCUACUGGCAAUUCAAAAAUAUUUAAUUGAAUAUAUAAAAUCGUAAGGAAAUAAACCACUUGUACAAAAAUAUUUUACUUUGAUAGAUUUGAAAAGUUGUUACGGUUUGUAAAAUAAUGCACGUGAAAAUCGCUUUCUUUUGCUCUCUGUCUUGCAUGAAUAAAAUAUAUUAUAUGGUGAUAUUGUAGGAUUCUCUUUAGCUUUUGGAUUUCUUUGGCCCUGUAUGUAUAAUAUCUUUGUGGUGAAAAUUCUCUCGACUCAUGGGAGUAUUUAUAGGACUUAUAACCUAGUAUAUCAAUUGAAUUUCAUUGCAACAACGAGAUGUGGAUACAGUGAAUAGGUCUGUGUAGAAUUGGUUUCCUAGUGAAACUUAUAAUUCUAAUCCCAAUGGAUAACAAUGAAAUUAGCUUUUUAAUAAUCAAUUUUAAAAAAAGUUAUCUAAUCCCAAAGGAUAACAAUCGAAUAGUUCUAAUUAUAACCUACAAAAAGAGUCUAUAUUGACAUGCUUAUCUUCGCUCUAUCAAAAUCUAAUUAUUAGGCCCAAAUAAAAUUAAAAUUUAACUAUUUCACUUUAGUCCCUCAACUUUCAAAAUAUAAAUAUAUAACAUAUAGAUCAAAUAAAUUUUAUUAUAUAAAAUUUUUGGGGCAUUACAUUUUGCAUCGAACUCCACCACAGAAAACCCUAGCUUGCUCCUUCUCAAACUCACUCAUCUCUUCACCAUCGAAGAAGCUUACCCUCACCCCUUUCAAAAACUCUUAGAUCCCUGAUGAAACCGUAUGAAGAAAAACUCCUCUACUAAGGGGAGCAGCGUUGAAGGUACAAUCAGACGUCGAAUCUCCUCCAUCUUAUAUUAAUCAACCUAGUGGUCGAAAACCCUCUCGAGACUUCAUAGCUUCCUAUAGGGCGUCGCUCCUAUGUUAUCUUGUGUUUGCUUUAUUUUAUUGUUCCAAAACUGGUGUUAAGAUAAGUUGUUUUUUACAUUUUUUAUUUCAAUUUUACUGUAAAGUGGGAGAUUUUGCCCGUUUGAUUUCGAACUUUCCUUCAAAUUUCCAAAAAAAGGUAAAACAAAUCGACAGCAAUAGGAGACUGGCGAGCUGAGGUUUGUUAGUUUCUUGGUUGCUUCAUUUUAGGGUUAUUUGUUUCUUCAAUUUAUGUUAGUUGUUCUUUAAUAAAUAACUUCUUCGUCUGUUGAUUUGUAGUCAUUACGAUCUCUGAAUCUUGUGUAUUUUGAACUUAUUAUUUGUUCCCUUAUUUAUCUGUUUACAAUUUUAUAUUUCUUGCUUGUGGAUUCAGGUCGUAGUACUAUGCGGCUCAACUUCUCUAGAAUUUUUCGAAGCAAUGGAAAAAUUUGACACUAAAAUAGGACACUGGUUACUUGAUGUAUAUUCAUUUCGUAUUAUAUUUUCUGCAUAUGCUUCAACAUAAGGGUUUCUUUUAUUUGAAGUUAUUAUAAAUUUGUCGCCUCCCUAGAAAUUAAAGUAGGACUCUAUUAUAUUUGAAACUUCUUUUGUUCCUUGUUGUUCUAUGUAGAAAUAAUUAUAAUUUGUAAUUGAUGUCAGAAUUGUGUUCGUGUGAUCUUUGUUUGGUAAGUUUUUUUUAAUAACUUUGUUGCUUAUCUUUGGCACAAUGAAGAAAGAAUCUUAAUAAAUUCAAAGAAGAGUCAUCUUUUACCCAAUAUCGAAGAGUUUGAACCAAGAUUUCUAGAUGGAUGGGAUGGAGUAUUAGUAUAUCUAACACAAAAUUUAAAUGUGAAAAAUUGCCCUCUAAAAAAGGAAAUAUUGAAAGAAUUAAUCGUAAAUUAUGAGAUUUUACUAUCGUUUUUCCCCUUCUAGAGAAAGUGUUAGUCGCAGGAAUUUCCACAAUAAAUGCUAUCCCCUCUUAUAUGAAUUGAGCUUGCAAAUUCCUUUUGCGCCCCAAAAACUGAUUUUGGUUAGAAUAAUUAGCAGAAAUAAGAAAAUGAUUUGUUGAUACGUUCAAGUAAUUAAGUGUUUUACAAUUAGUACAACAGAUUUAUUGUCAUAACCUGGAUUUUCCAACAAAAUCAAUCUAUUAAAUCCCUAAUCAUGAGCAAAUUCAUAAAUAUACUCCUAAAAGAUCAGUGGGUAUAAGAAGUCGUAUUGUUGAGAUCUAUGUAGCAGGAAAGAAGAAAUUGCAAUCGUCGAAAAUACCAUCAAACUGAGUAUGAUUGUAUGUGUGAUAACAUCUACUAUACCUGUAAUAUCAACAAACCUAAUUAUUGCAAUUACUCAGGAUACCCCAAGGUAAAAGAGCUCCUGACCAAUUAGAAACAAAAAUAAAUAGAAACAUUCUUGAAUGAGGCCAGGGAUGAAUCGAAAAAGAAAUCAUUAUUUUUAUCAAAUCAAAAUAAUAAUUUACAUCAUUAAGUAUCGUGAUAGGGAACCUAAUGGGUCAUACACAAAAAGAGAACUAGAAGAAUGAUAUUUACUAAUUAAUUAAUAGACAAAUGUUGCACAAUUAAAUAAUUAGGCUGCUUAUUAAUGGGAUGAAGUAAAUUUAUUAGAUUAAUUAAUUUAUGAACUAAGUUUAAUUAAUUAGAUUAAUUAAAUAUUGGUCUAGGUUAGAUUUAAGAGAUGGGUCAAGUUCACUUGAACUUCUAUUAAUAGGUUGCUAAAGUUCGAGAAAUCAUAAUACAUUAAUUAUAUUACUAGCACAAAAAAGAUAAACUCUGAUUCUCUCAUUCUUGUUUUCUAGUGUGAAUUAUCAUUGGAGGUUAAAAAAUUGGAUAGUUGUGGUGUAGAGAAGCUAAUUGCAGAUCAAGGUCAGCAAAAGAGUUUGCAAAAAAAUUUUAAACAUAUAAUUCUUAUCACAAAUUCAAUCUACACACAAAGCAGAUACUUGGUAUGAAUUGAAAUUGUUUUAAAUUUCGUUGUGCAUUUAUAAGUAAAUUUUUAACACUGAUAUCAGAGCUUACUUUGUGCUUGUUAUACACAAUUUUGCAUGUUGGAAAAACCAAAAGUUGAUUGUUUAUAUUUUUUUGAAUCUAAACAAUUCAGAAAAAAUAUUUUCAUAUUUAAAAAUCUAUUUUGAAAGAAAUUUAAUUUUUGGUAGAAAAAUUGGAUAGGGGAAAACUUACAAAGCGCGCUAUAGAGCUUCUCAUAGCAAUAGUAAACGUCGUUGUGUUAAAUUGCAAAAACCCACCUACAAUUAUUGAAUUAAGGACAAAUUGCAAUUUUAAAAGUAAAGGACCUAUUACGCAAUUUAUAAACUUGGAAGACCUAUUUAUAAUUUUAAAACCAGGGGCUAGUUUGAAAUUUUCAAAAUGAUUGCAUAUUCUAAUUUUGAAAAGAUUUUUAAAUUUAGUUUAUGAAAGGGUGUUACCCCAAAUUUUAAUUUUGAACGGUUUAAAAUUAUAUUUAAAAUUGACGAACCUUUUAAAUUAUCAUUAAAAUUGAAUUUUAAUUUAAAUAUUAAAAUUUAACCCUAAAUUGAAUUUUAUUUUAUUUAGGAGUUCUAUUCUAAAUUAAAAUAUUAAUUCAAUUGAAAUUAUAAUUGAACUCUAAUUUCAUAUAAAAUUAGUGUUUAAAUAUAAUUAAAUUCUUUCAUCCUAAAUUUUUUCUUGAAACUAGAGUUAAAUUCUAAUUUGAUAUUUAAUUAAAAUUUGAUUUUAAUUAAAUUUACCUCUUUCAAAGCUUUGGAAUUAAAGUUUGGACUCUGAUUUGAUUUAGUUAGAAAUUGAUUUUAAUUAAGUUGACCCGCCCUAUAAAUUUGGAAUUUGUGUUGAACUCUAAUUUGCUAUCUAAAUGAUUUUAAUUAAACAAAUAUCUCCUAAAAUUUUGAAAUUAGAGUUAGACUCUAAUUUGACAUCUUAAUUAAAUAAACUCUCUAAUUAAAUUAAUUGAUUAAUUAAUUGUUUCAAUCAUUUUGUCUAAAUUAGUUUAGACGAUCUUAAUUGAUAAACAUGUGAAACAUAUUUAUAUAAAAUAUUAUAUUAUGUAGGAAUGCAUUUAUACAAUGAAUAUAUAUUUAGUGGGUGAUUAUGGAUUCGAUCGUGUGAAUGUGUUGAAUUGUUUGUUUUAGUUCUUGUUAUUUGGGCAUACGAAUUCUUAUUUAUUUUGGAUUGCAAGGUCAUUGUCAUUAUUAUGGUACGCAUGUCUAAUUAUUUAGGAAUGCGUGCCAACUAGUAUAUGUUACAGGUUGUAGUUGGACUAAUUGGAAAUGCAAGAAGGGAAGGAGACCAUGGAGAUGGAGCAUUGUAUGAGUUAAUGCUAUAUCCUUUAGGAGCUGACCAACUAAUCUUUCUUAUUGCUCAAAAAGACUAGAUAGAAUAAGUCAAAUUUUAUUUGUAUUCCAUCAUUAUAGUAAAAAAAGAGAGUUCCUCAUCAAUCCCAGCUUGUUGAGUACAAUCAAAGCUGAUUUAUUAGAAAUAUGUUUGAUACUAUGAAAUAUUAUAUAUUUUUGAAUGAUGAAUUUGACUUAACUAAAAUUUAUCUUCUGUUGAGUACACCUAAGAAGAAAAAAUUUAGAGACACAUUAAACUAACACAUAGAUGUGUGAAGACAAUGAGUUGUUAGUUUAAUAAGAGCUGUAAAAGGUACAACAGAUAAUAGUAUCUCUAAAAUGUUUUAUUAAGGCUUGUUGAGUAUAUUUAAGGUCUUAAUAUGACGAAUGGGAUCCUAGUUCAUCAAGAAUAAGGUACAAAUUCCAUGAAUUUAUGUGAAAGGGUCAUAAAAUUUAAUUAAACAGUGGGAGUAUAAUUAAUUUAAUAUAAGUUCAUAUUAAAUUAAUUGUUACAUUGUUUGACAUAUAGUGAAUCUUUUAUUUUCGUCAUUUACAGGUUGCAUUAUGAGUAACCAUAUGAAUCUGAGAUGCAUAUUGGAUGGCAAUGAAUUUAUCAGGCCAAAAUUUUCUCAAUCGACACCGCAAUUUUAGAAUUGUUCUCAAUCAUAAGUAAAUUGGUUAUGUCCUUUAGUGGGCCUUUCGAAAGCUACCCACUAAGAACUCAACUGAGGAAAAUAUGGCUUCUAUAAUAAACACAAUUAUGAUGAUAAUACUGCAACAUGUGUUAUACUUGGAGCUAUGUCACCUAAGUUACGAAAGCAACGUGAGGGUAUGGAUGCUAAUAGUAUGAUUGUUCAUCUUAAUGAGUUGUGUGACAAACAACCACAUCUGGAAAUAUAUGAGAUUUUCAAGCAACUAUACUGGUGCAUAAUGGCAGAGGGUCUUUAGUCAGUGCGCAUAUGCUAGAGAUGAUUGGCUACAUUGAGAAGUUAGCUCAAUUGGGUUUGAUAAUGGAUCAUGAAUUGAGUAUUAGCUUAGUUCUACAAUCUCUAUCAGAGAGUUAUUCACAAUUUAUAAGUUGUUGAAUAUGCUUAAGACUGUAGAACCCAAUAUCAAGGAUGGUGUUGGGCAAGUCUUGUCCAUUAAUUCCCUCAACGGUACUAAGAGAAAGACUAAUGUAAGCUUUAGGAAAGCAACAAAGACGGCUAAGAUAAAUAAAGAGGCAGUCAAAGUGAAGAAGGGUAAUACCAAAUCCGAUGACCCUAUUAUCACUGUGUUGUAAAAGGUUAUUGGACGAGGAACUGUAAGUCUUACAUAGCAACCUUUAAGGGGAAAAAAUCUUUAAAGCUUCCACUUCAGGUAUUUUGUAAUCGAGAUUAAUAUAUCUACUUCAUUAGUUCUUUGUGGUAUUAAAUACUGGAUGUGGAUCUCAUAUUUGUAUAAAUAUGCAAGGACUAAAGAGAAAGAUUACUGCAAAUGAAGUUGACCUACGAGUAGAAAAUGGAGCAAGAGUUGCCAUAUUAACUGUAUAAACAUAUUUAUUACCAUUGCCUUCGGACUUAGUAUUAGAAUUAGAGAAUUAUUAUUUUGUUCGUGACAUUACCAAAAACAUUAUUUCUAUUUCAUGUUUGGACGAGCGAUUUUUUAAUUAAUCUUAAGGACAAUGAUUGUUCUUUUUAUCGAGAGGAGCUAUUUUAUAGUUAUGGUACGUUACAAAAUGACAGUUUACAUUCUUGAUACUGAACUAUCUAUUAUAAACAUAGAAAAUAAAAGACAUAAAAAUAAUAACGUAAAUAACACCUGUUAUUAGCAUUGUAGAUUGGGUCAUAUAAAUAAAAAUGCAUUGUCAAAUUAUGUUGAGAUGGAUAUUUGGGGUCAACUGGUUUUGAAUCUGUUGAUCUACGAGCGACACGAGCAGGAGGCAAAUGCUUGGUAGGUCAACAGCCCAGUGAACCGGGCAGGACACUCAAAGAAAAGGGGGUACACUAAGCAAGUAUUAGAAAUUGGCCUCGCGGAGCUUUGUUAAAAGCAAGGACCACUAUGGGAGGUCAAACCAAGGACCUAUGGAAUUACAAUGACAACGUGGGCAACAAAUGUUGAAUCCACUUAUAUCCACACAAGCAAUUUUUGGCACAUUCUAAUUGAAGAUACGAUUGGAGACUUAUGACGAUAAUGGACGUGGGAGAUGCUCUAUGACACGAGACAAAAAUGUCCGGACACCAACAACGUGAUCAAUUAUGAUCACAAAUAAAAUGAUCAAUUGCAUACAACUCCAUCGAAAAAUAUAUAAGAGAUUACCAAACUCAAGCAUGUAAAUUAGAAGACUUGUGAUUUUGUGUGUAUAAAGUUAUUUUUUUUCAUCCCUUAAAGUACUACCAUUGGAUUAGAACCAUGUUGCCGCAACCCAUUAACCAGAGCUUCACAUUACUCACUGCCAUACAUUAAUUAUAUUAAUAAAGGGUCAGCCACCCUACACCCUAUGCUGAUACUUAUUAAUGCAAAUGUUACAUCAAUUAUUUCUACAAACUCUGUAGAUCUUCUUUAAAGGCAACAAGCGCUUCGGCUUGAAGAGAGAGCUUUGGAUGGGCAGUAUUUCAACCAGUAGGAAGGGUGCUCUAGCUAAAGAUCAACUUUUUUCCCUUGCUUUAUUUUGACCUUGUUGAUUGCCAGAUGUUUGCAUGUAGUGCCUCCACAUGGAGCUUUAGAUACGAGGCGUAACAGAAUCAUUUAACAAAUUGAAUUAUACCUGUUGGGCAAGAUGAUCAAAUUUCAUUUUUCAUUUUUUUUUUUGAAAAGGGAUAAAGAACUAUACAGUUAGUAGGCCUAAUACAUAUUGAUGUAUCUACCCAUGUACUUCAUCACUUUUACUUAUGAACAUUCUAAAUAUAGUUAUCCUUAAUGAAUUCAAGCAUGAAGCAUUUGAAAAGUUUAAGAAAUUUAAGCUAGAAGUAGGGAAGUAAGUAGGUAAAGAUAUUCAUACACUAAGAUCUGAUCGAUGUAUAAAAUAUCUUAAAUGAGAAUAAGUUUUCUCACAACGAACUACGUCACAUACACAACAACAUAAUGGUAUAUUUGAACAAAGGAACUCCACACUAUUAGAUAUAUUGUGAUCAAUUAUAAGACAUGCAAACCUGUCGGUUGACAAAAUUCAAUACGAGUUAUUGAAAGGUCCAACUUAUAUCAUAUUAAAGAUUGGGACUGUGACAUUUAUAUAAAGCGCACUUAUGUAAAGAAUAUGUACUUAAUAAAAAUAUAAGAUAGUUAAAUUAAAUGUAAAUUUAUUUACAAAAUGAAGUCAAUAUUUUUAAAUGUGAUAAUACUGAAUCAAUCUCACUACUAGUAGUUGUCUUGAAUCAUUUUACCUUUAUCAUCCAAAAAUGGAGAAGAAUAACAUGGAAUAAGCUAACACUUAGUAAGCAAAUAACAUACAUAUGAUAUGAGUAUAAAUUACUUUAAUAUAAAAGUAUCUUAAUAAGUAUCCCCAUUUUCAUUCAUUCUUUAAAAAUCUUAACAUUGAUAUCAUGAGCUCACUUGAUGCAUCACCUAACCAAUUAGAAUGCAAUAGUGGGCCAUGUUAUUUGAAACUCGAUCAGAUCUUCCAAUAGUACAAAAAAGCAGUUAAUGUUAAUAGUGAAUAUUGCUCGGGUGCAUUGGUCCCCCACGUCCCAUUUCUCACUCACACCUUCAUAGUAUAGAUAAACACCUCAUAAUAACAACAUCUGAGAUACAUGUCCUUUUGAAAACAUUCCUUCUCACACUUACAUUUAAAAACUCUUUAUUUCAUGAAAUUCCAUGAUGUUUAUGAAUGAAUUGAUAUGCACAAAUUAUCAUUAAUAGCAUUUAUAAUAUAAAACAUAAUGAUAAAAUAUUAAUUUCACAUAAUUAGAUAACACAUUUACACAUUGAACGAAGUAACAUAUGUAUGAAGACAAUAGAAGAUUUACUUACCUUAAGUUCUACCAAUUUAUUUUUCGAAUGGCAAGUGAAAAUGUUCCAAGUCACCCACAAAGUCAACGUGCCAAAACCCUAAGUCACUACCAUUUGUUUGUUUAUUUAUCCAUACCCCUGAACAGGGGGCGAGUUAAGAUUUAUACGGCUCUUUAAAUUUUGAUGUGAAUCAAACUGGUUACAAACAAAUCAAUAUGUUGAUAAAACAUAAAAAAUAGUAAGUGAUUUAAAUCCAAAUAAAAAUCUAGAAUAUGUAGCUAAUAUUGUAGAUUGAAUGAAGAAUAAUUUGUCAGUUUCCUUUCUAGAUUAUAAUGGAUUACUAGUUUGUUGAUUCCCAAGUUCUUACUAAUAGUUUGAUGCCAAUGAAAAAUCAUUGUAUAAAAUUAGAAAACAAUUAAAUCUCCAUAUUUUUAGAUAGGAAACGAAGAAAUUUUGCUUUAUGCAAACCAACAAGAAUUUUCUUAUAAUUUAGAAUUUAGCACACACAUAUAUGAACAUCAUUCAUUUAACUAUUUAUUUGAGGAAAUAUAAUUACCAAUUCUUCAGUUAUCCAGAUGAUAAAAUUAAUUUAAAAGGGGGAAAAUUGCACAGCAGUCCCUAAUCUUUUCAUUUUUUAAGGACUUUACCUUUAUCUUUAUUUUGUGUCAGCGAAGGUUCAUAACCUUUCAUAAAUAUGCACCUGAGGUCCAUCUAAACAAAACCUAUCCAAAACAUCGUCAGUUAACCGAAAAAAUUAAGGAAUUAACAUUCAAUAAAACUGUUCUCUAAAAUAUAUGCCGCAAGUGCACGGGUCGCGUUCAUGUAACAAAGUGGACCUUUUGAAUCCGGGUUGUCGAUCUCUCGAGGAAUAUAUACUUUCAAAUACACAACUUUAAUUAAUUCAAUUCUAACAAUAAAAAGUAACACACAAUAAAUUUAUGACUUUGGCAUUUAACUAAAAAUCAAUGAAAUAAGAAAAUAUAAAAAAUCUUGAAAAUUUUGGAAGAGAACUUGGUUGGGAUUCAUGGUUUCAUUUAAUCAUCACCUAAUUAAUUUCUCCAUGAGCCAAUUAACGAAUUACUCAUUUUCUAUGUUAGACCCGAUUUUUCAAUUUUAGUUAAUUACAUCUCUCAAGCGAAAUUAACUCUAAUUGAUUAGUUUAACCUACUAUAUCUCUAUAUCGAUUAAAACCAAACAACCGCAUUAAAUAUUUGUGAAAAUAGCUCAUUGGGUUACCUAGGGCUAUGGAUAUAUCUCUAUCCCUUACACAAACCUAGGAUUUCUACUAUUUGGUCUAAAAGGCACAAUCUUCUCUCGAGCAAUGUACAAAUUACUAAACAUAACCGUUCAUUGGCCACAUAAAUAAAAAUACAAGAAAUACAAUAGUAAAAACACAUGAAAAUAAGCAAAUUAAUAUCAAAAGGCAAAUAUUAAAAUUAAUCAAGAUUAGAUUAGACUACAACCAUAAAUCUCAACACACUUAACUUAGCCCAUUUUAUAUGGAUGAUAAAAGAAGAAUAUUUUAUACAAUAGAUUGCAAGUUUGACAAAAUAAUUGAGAAAAUACAAGGUAUAGAUAAAACUCUUUUUUGUUGGAUUUUUGAAAAUGAAAUUGUUUCCUUUUGAUUUCUCCAACACGUUGCCAAAUCCUUUGAUUGAAUCUCAUUGUGCUCUCGAUUUGAUCUCCAAAAUACUAAGAAUUUACAAAGAAAAAGAAAGAAGGAAAAAAAUGAAAGGAAAAGGAAAAGAAAGAAAAAUAAAAAUAAAAAGAAGAGAAGAAGACAGAACCCGCAAGAAAAAGCCAACUGGGACCAAAAAUAUGGUUUUUUUUAUAAUAAAACCCUAGCAAAAUUGCACCCAAGUCUUUGGAUUUUGAAAAUAAAUUAGAAACAGUCCGGUUAGGAAGCUGUGUAGUAGUGCGCUACGGCGCCACUUGCCUUUUACUAUUUUUGCAGCUUAGUCCUUUAGGAAAUUGCGCGCUAAGUCUCUCAACUUUGAUUUUGUACAAUUUAGUCCUCGAAUUUUGACUUUGUUUGAAUUUUACCCUCCAAAAUUGCAAUCCUAAGUCCUUGAACUGUUGGUCCUUUUGAAUUUUGGUCCCCAACUUCACAAUUUUGCACACCUUUAGUCCAUUUUCCCUCAUUUUGCUUCGUUCUCUUUCCAUAGGUGAUUUUCGGCCUACAAAAGAAAAUACUACAUAAUUGUAAGUAGAAUUCCAUUCAUUUAAUCAAUUAAUAACAAAUUUAGAUAUUAAAUAAUGUAAAAACACACUUACCAAAAAUCGUUCAAAAACACUUUCCAAAAGGGAAUCAAUAUCCAAUAAAAUCAUCACGGUAGCAGAUAGUUAAAAGAAUUUUUUCUCCCAAUCAACUGACAGUGUUUUGGACGGUUUCCGUCCAAAUAAAUCUCAGGUACAUAUUUUUGAAAGGUUAGGGACCUUUGCUGACACAAAAUAAAAGUUAGGGUAAAGUCUGUAAAAAAUGAAAAGGUUAGAAACCACUAUUGCAAUUUUCCCUUUAACAAAAGAAUCAAAUGUCAAAAUAACAAAGUGAUUCUUGCUCAAUUAAAGUUAUGCAUAAAGGGGCUCUAAAGGACCAUUAAAUUAUAUACAUUUAUCUAUGGUUGUAUAUGUGCAUGUGUGUGUAAAAAAUCAUAUCCUUAUUCAUUCAAUUUAAAGAGAUUUAGUGGCCUAAUAACGUGUUUAACACUAAAUAACCAUAAAAUAUUAAAAUGAUGAAAUAAUUAUACCUUCAAUUGCAAAAAUUCCCACUUCUAGAAGUUGUAGCUGAUAACAGUGGUGGUUUGAAUACUAAUUCAAUUAGAGAAGGAUAUGGAAUUUACUCGAGAAUUAACAAUUGGAUUUGGGUAAAGAUUUGAAUUCUUUAUUUUUGAUAUAAUAGACAUGUGAAUAUCUAAACUAUAUUGUUUAUUAAAUUAUUUUUUUAAUGUUUGGGCAAUUUCGUGUCCGCAUUCCAACAACUGGUAUCAGAAUAAUUUAGAUUUUUUACUUGUUCGUUAUUUUUGUAUCUUGACUGCAUAUUCUAGUUGAGGUUUUUAAACUAUGAUCAUAUUAUUUGUGGCCAGUUCUUGAUGUAGUUUUUUAUUUUGAGUUUAUAACAAGAUAGGUGGAUUACGAUACCAUCAUCUUGAUUAAAUUUUCAUUUCAAUUAGGUUCAAAAUUUGAUGUGAAUGGAACAUAUGAAAUAUGUAAUUCUUAUAAUUGUUGAUUCUUAUAAAUUGAUUGAAGACCUAGAAGACAUGACGAGAAAGAAAAUUCAAGAAUUUGUAGUGGUUUAAAAAAAUUAAGUUGUACAGCAGGUAGCUGUGCAGUAGCCACUAUUGCUAGACGCAACGAUAGCAGCAGGCUUCCCAAGCAGGCAAUUUCUGAUCGUCAAAGCAGCACUAGCUGCCUUGGGCAACGACUAGUUGAUUAGUGUCUUGCUUACGUUUGGUACAAUAUAUUGCAUGACUUUGAUCUAGGUUUAGUUUUUUAUGGCAAAUCUGGAUAAGUCGGGUUUGAAGUUAAUUAAUUUUUGAAGGUACGAUGGUGGAUUACUGUUGUUAGAUCCUUGAAAACUUGUGGGCUGAAACUUUAGAUUAAGUAUUGGGCUUAGGUCCAAUUAGUUUUAUAUUUAAUUUUUGAGUCGAUUUUUGUGCUAUAAAUAAUUGUUAUUUAUCGCUUUAUAAAUGCUUUAAAUUAUCGUGUAAAAUAAUAUCUCUCUAAAUACCAUAAUAUAUAGAUUUAUUUAUGACAUCGCUCGUGAUAUAAUAAAUAGGAUGCAUAUCAUUGUACACCGAUUUUUCUUUGAUUAAUUAAUUUAGAUUAAUUUUUUUUUUUGGAUGAAAAAUUCGUAAUAAUUAAAUUGCAUAUUAAUUUGAUAAUAUAAAUAGUUGAUAAUUAUUUAAUUUUUCUUUAUUAAAUUAAUUUAAAGAAAAUUUAUCUAGAAGGAAAAUUCUUAAUAAUUAAACCAUAUAUUAAUUUGAUUUACGUUAAUAGUUGAUAAUUAUUUAAAAUUUUCUUGAUUAAUUUAAUUUAGGUUAAAUUUAUCUGGAAGAAAAAUUCGUAAUAAUUAAACUGUAUAUUAAUUUGAUUUAUGUGAACGGUUGGUAAUUAUUUAUAAUUAAAACUCAUUAAUUUAAAAUAUUGAGUGAAACGGGAAUUUAUUUAAAUAGAACUCCAAGGUCUCUUUUGGUUAAUUCAUAAGCAAAUUAACACACUUGCCUCGUGCGGCCAUACAACAAACUCCCUAUAGGAGGGCCACGUAGGUCGAGUUGUUUGGUUGGAUUUUCCUAUUAUAAGUCUGUCUAAAUAAAAUAUAAUUUGAUAUCAUCUUAUAGACGGUAAAAUUAUUUUCAAGUAUUUAGAAAUUAAGACAAAUGCUAUACAUUGAAAUCAAGAUCAUUAGCGAACUUCCUAUAAAGACUCUUGUUUAUGAUCUUGGUGACCAAAUAAAACGAUACUAGACUAAUAUAGAAAUUGUUGUCAAAUAUGAUUUAUUUAGUGGGAGGAUCACAACCAGAUUAGUAAACACAGUGACAUUUCCUAUAAAGGGGCCUUUUGAAUAACAAGGAUCAAGUAAUUGUUAUAUUAUUGUCGUUAGAUGGAUCUAUAUGUAUAUUCAUGCAUCAUAUGUUAAAUUGUUAUUUGCUACUCAAUUUUAAUAUGCAAUGUAUGAUUGUUUUUAUGCGAAAUAUCACUUGGCUAAUUUUUCUAUUAUUCUAAAAUAAAACCAACUAAUCAAAAAAAAAAAUUACGUGGAUUGAAAACAUAAUUUGAUGUUUAUGCUCAAUACAGAAAAACUUACUUUUGCAUUUGACGGAUGUCUUGAUGGACAUACUAAGACCAUAUAAAAGUGUCCAAAAAGCUAAAUAUAUUGAGUGAAAGAUUGUAGACAAGAUGGCUAGCUGUUCAUUUUGGCUUCAAUGUCAAACAUGUUAUAAAAAAUGCUUGAAAGUCAGAGUACCUUCAAUGACAUUCCAAACUCUUUAGGCCAUUUUUUGUCAUCAAAGUGGGAAGGCUGGUAUUGUGUUUUGAACACUUAUUUAAUACCUAAAUAUGCUUAUUAUUGAUGAAAAGAGUGGAUAUCAAGUCACAAUUGAGUAAUUUUAACUUUUGUAAGUCAUAAACCCCAAAUGGAAAGAGAACAAGGCAAAAAGGAGUUAAAAGGGAUGGAAAGCAUACAAAAUUGCGAAGUUGGGACCAAAAUGCAUAAGUGAAGAAAGUUGAUGGACCUUGGAUGCAAUUUCAUGGAGGGCGUAAUUGAAAGAAAAGUCAAAAGUUGAGGGACAUUGAGUGCAAAUUGCUAGAGGACUUGUGUGUAAAAGAAAAAGAAAAAAAAUAAUGAAAUGAUUCAUUAUGGCAUAGAGAUGGUGCCUAGACGCUGGAAACAUGGUGCUUAGGGACCAUAUAAAAAACUUGGCAUCAUUUUUGUUGUUUGUUCAAAAUAUAGGGACUUAGUUGCAAAUUCUCUGGGUUUAAAGUUAAAAGUCAAGAGCCUCAUUCCAUCUCCUUCCUUCUUCGAUUUUUCCUCGCUUUCAUUUUUCUUUUCUUUCUUUUUCUUUAUUUUUUCUUUCUUUUCUUGUCCUUUUCAAUUUCUUGGUAUUUUUGGAGCAAAACAUAGAGUACAAGAUGAAUAUAUUCAAGGAUGUAGAGAGAUUUUGGAAAAAUCAAGUUUAAGCCUUUAACAUCUUCAAAAAUCCAAAAUGAUUGUAUCCCGGAUCUUGUAUUUCCUUCAUUAUUAUCUUCUAUUUGCAGUGUAUUGAAUAAAAUAUUCUCAUUUUUAUCAUAUAAUUAAUGUUGGCUAAAUAUUUGUACUAGGAUUUAUGGCAGUAACUUAAACUAGCUUGGAUUAAUUUCAAUAUUUGCUUUUUUGACGUUUAAACACUUUUUUUCAUGUGUUUCUACUAUUGUAUUUUUUUGCAUUUUCAUUUAUAUGUCCGAUAAAUGGUUAUGUUUAGUUAUUUGUACACUGUUCGAGAGAAGAUUGUGUAUUUUAGAUCAAAUAAUAGAGACCAUAAGUUUGUGUAGGGAGAUAGAGAUUUACUCCUAACCUAGGUGACUCAAUGAGCUAUUUUUCACAAAGAUUUAAUGUGAUUCUCUGAUUUUAAUUGACAUAGAGAUAUAGUAAAUUAAACUAAUCAAUUAUGAUUAAUUUCGCUCGAGAGAGGUAAUUAACUAGAAAAAUCGAGUCUAACAUCAUAAAUGAGUAAUUUACUAAUUGACUUGUAGAGAAAUUAAUAAGGCAACGGUUAAGCGAAACUAUCAACCACAUUUUUCUCCGAAAUUAUCAAGCAUUUUUAUUUUCUUAUUUUAUAGACUUUUAGUUAUUUUCUUUAUUUUCCAAAUUCAUAAUUUUAUUGUGUAUUUAUUUUUAUUGUUAAAAUUAAAUUGAUUAAAAUUGUGCAAUCUAAAGUAAACAUUUCUUAAGAGAUCGACAACUUGAACUCAAAAAUUCACUUUGUUACUUGAAUGCACCCCUGCACUUCUUGGCUCGGGUCUGGUAGGUGGUCAGUAUUAAGAUAUCUAAUUGCAUUCGAAUCGAGCUUUGAACUUCGUUAUUCCAUUGGAAAUGGACCAUUCAACCUAUAUUUCCCCUUUUCUAUUGUACAGAUGACUUGAGGGAAAAUAAAAAGGAAUAAAGAACCUUAUUAGGCUUAGGCUUAGGCUUACAACAGGAACUCGAAUUACACAGGACUAUGCAGCGGAGGUGCUUAUAAAGGAAUUCCGUCCAUCUCAAGAACAUGUUUGCAGUAAGGUAAUAAGAAAAAAUCCAUUGUGCUUUUUGGCUUUAAUUGAUCAUUAUAUCGGAGAGUUUUACAGUUUACACUUUCAUAGCAAACAAGUUUUUGAUGCCGUUACUAGGAAUUUUUUUACUUUGAUUAUGACUUUAAUUAAUUUUAGUUUUAAUAAUUUCUUUUAUUUAUUUUUAAGUGAUUUUGUUUUAGCUAACCCCCUUAUUAAUAAUCUAUCUUGUGUUGGUAUUCUCCCCUUAUCUUUUUAGCUAUAUUUGCAUUAUUCCCAUCUUAUAAAGUAACAAAGUUUUUGCAGUAUCUAAUCUCUACAUUGACUAUGGAUUUAUGCUUAGAGGUCCAAAAUGUGAAAUUUGUCAAGCGAUUCACUGUACAGGACAAUGCUUGUAUUCGUGCACCGAUACCUCAAUGUCGCAAUUUCUUUGCUUUAGGCAAUAUUGGAAAUGUCAAAAAUAAGCACUGGACAAUUUUCGAAGAUAGUUACAUGCUCGCAGGAAAUUAUGUACCUGAUAAUUAGGACAAGGACAUCAAAUUUUCAAGAGAUGGUCCUCCUUUAUUAAACUUAUCAAGUUGGAUCAAGACAUGCUUGUGGUAGAUUACAAAUAUUGCGAUGGAUUUCAAAAGUGGAGUAUAAUUCACUCGACCGAGUUAAUAGGAAAGACUUGCCAUUAACUGUAGAGUUUGAUUGUGGACCAAUCAUUCAACCUAAUGAGAGUUCAACCCUUGAAGAAGAGCCUAAAAUGAGAGAAAAUUUAAUCACAAUGGAGCUAAAUGAGGAUGAGGCAAUCAAUAAGAAGAAAAUUAACUUACGUUUUUUCAACUUAGUUGAUUGCCAAGAUAUUGAUUUUGUGAUUAAGCCGGAUGAAGAGGUAUAAAUCUUCAUAGUUGAAUUUAAACUGGAUGGAAUAGGCAAGUUCUAUUAAAUGGAAAGGGGCAAUUUUGAGUUUCGGAGAUCAAAUGAAGAGCGGAACAAAGUCAAAAGAAGAAAAAUGGGCAAGGCUUCCUUCUUUAGAUGCCCCUGAUUCAAUUGCCAAAGUCGAGCUAAGUAAUAUAAAAAAAACGUUUAUUGGGAGGUAACCUAAUUUUAUAACUUUUAAGUUUUUUAUUUAUUUUAUAUAUUUUCGUGCUUUCAUUUAAUUAGCUAUCAUUUUUUGUAGGUAAGUUUGAAGUCCCAUGUAUCCAUGGUUCCUCACAAGUUCGGAGGUAAAUUAUGUACGAGAAGGUCAUUUGCCCACGUUCAUUGAAAGCAUCAAAAGUCCAAGUCAAGUAUUGGUAACUCUUCACAAAUAAACAACUAGAGAAGUUUUACGACCCUCUCUUCUAUUUUAUCUUGUUUUUUACACAUUGAGGACAAUGAGUAAUAUAAGUUUGCGGGUGAUUGUGCUUUAAUUAUUAUGAUUUUGUAUUGUCAUGUUAGAUAGCCUUUUCGGCUUUGGAUAUGUUGAUGUUUAAAAUUUUUAUUGAUUCAUGAGCUAUGACCAAAUAUGCUAUUUGUGCCUAAAUUUUUUUUUUUCAAAAAUUUUGCUUGUUCAUAUGAGAUCCCAAGUUAUUUUGAGCACAAUACUUGUGAAUAAUUGUUAUCUAAAUGUGGAAAAUUUUGAUUGAUGGAGAGAUUUUGAAUUGGUAAGAACAAGGUUACGAGUUGUACAUAAGUUUUGUAUUCACUUCUCUUUCACUUAACUAUAUUGCGAGAUAAGUUUGGGGGUGAUCAAGUAGGUAAAAGAUAUUAUUCAGAAGUGCGCUGAUUCCAUACAUAUUGAAAAAUUUAUUUGCAGUGUGUUUUCCCAAAUAUAAGCUAGAUAAUGACCAUAUGUUAGGGAUCUAAGCCCCCAUGUGUCAUGUUGUUCUUAAAAUUAUGAUUUUGCAUUUGUAGAAUCCUAGGCCUCAUUUCAUAGUUUCUUUUUUUACUCAAGUUAUUAAGUUCGUUGGGGCAUCUCAAAAUUCAAUACCCUUUAGUCUAAAGAACUGGAGAGCUAUAGACCUAAAGCUCGCCAUAAGAAUCAAAAAGGAAGUUUAAGGGAGUGAGAUAAAGCACGAGAUUUAAUUGAAAAAGAAAAUAAUUGUAAGCGUGCAAUUGUAUUUGAUGUUUAGGUUUAGAUAAAUAGUGAGAUACAAUUACCUAGUAUAAGUUUGAAUGUGGAAGUACUCAUUAGUGGAAAAUCAUUAUAUGUCUAGAUGUUAGAUUGUUAGUUAGACCAACCUAGCUAGAACGAAAAAAAAAAAAAAAAAGAGUGAAUUGAGAGAAACCUUUAAUUUCCACCUCAGAAAAUAAAAGAAAUAUCAAUUUUAGGAGUGCGAAUCUCAUGAGCAAGAAAUGAAAUAUAUGACCACUAAGGGUCGAGUUGAAGCCAAUUUGAAAAAUUUUCCAUCUUGACAAUUUUUUUCAAAUUUAAAUGAUGAUUAAAAGUAACUAUGAACAUACAAACCGAUGGAACAUUGGAUAAACUUAAAUUAUUUUUGUUAGCAUUAUUUAGAGCAUAUUUGUGAAUUGAUCAUACUAUUUUACACUCAUAGAUAAUUUUGUAAGUUAUCUAAUGUGUUGAUCUUUAUCUCAUUUUGCUUGAUUCUGUUAUAGAUAAUCUUGCUUAGAACGAGCAAGAACUUAAAUUUGGGGUAUUUGAUAAGUGUAUUUAUGCACAAUUAUUUAAUACCUAAAUAUGCUAAUUAUUGAUUAAAAGAGCAGAUAUCGGUUCAUAAUUGGGUAAUUUUGGCUUUUUAGGUCAUAGACCUCAAAUGGAAAAAGAAGAACGCAAAAUGGAGUGAAAAUGGACAAAAAGUAUACAAAACUGUGAAGUUGGGACCAAAAUGCAUAAGUGCAAAAGGUUGAAGGACCUCGGUUGCAAUUUAUGGAGAGCGUAAUUGAAUGAAAAGUCUAAAUUUGAGGAUCAAAUUGUACAAGAUUAAAGUUGAGGAAAAUGAGUGCAAAAAGGAAAAGAAAAAAAAAUAAUGAAACGAUUCAUUUGGAGAGAGAGAUGAUGCCUAGGUGCCAUGUACAAAAACUUGGGAUCAUUUUUAUUGUUUGUUCAAAAUAUAGAGACUUAAAUACAAAUUCUCUAGGUUUUCAAAACUAAAAACUGGCAGCCUCAUUCUAUCUCCUUCUUUCAUUAAUUUUUCCUCUCUUCAUUUUUCUUUACUUUCCUUUUUCUUUCUAUCAUCUUUCUUUUAUUUUUAGUUUUUUUCCUUUUCAAUUUCUUGGUGUUUUUGGAGCAAAUCAUAAAGCACAAAGAAAAUACAUUCAAUUAGGUAAAGAAUUUUUGAGAAAAUCAAGUUCAAGCCUUUAACAUCUUUAAAAAUCCAACAGAAAGGGUUGUAUAUCGAAUCUUGUAUUUUCUUCAUUAUCGUUUUCUAUUUGCAAUGUAUUGUAUAAAAGAUUUUCAUUUUUAUCAUGUAUUUAACAUGGACUAAAUAUUUGUUUUGGGAUUUAUGGUAGUAGCUCAACCUAGUUUGGAUUAAUUUCACUAUUUGCUUUUAAUGUUUACAUACUUAUUUUCAUGUGUUUCUACUAUUAUAUUUCUUGCAUUUUUAUUUAUCUGGCAAUGAGUGAUUAUGUUUAGUGAUUUGUAUACCGUUUGAGAGAAGAUUGUGUAUUUUAAUCAUAAUUGUAAUUAAAGUAUUACGACUGCACAUAUAAUUAAAUAUAAACUAAUUAGCUGUAGACUUUAAAAUUAAGCCCCCAUUUGAACCCCAAUAUUUGAAAUUUUAAUCGUUGAAAUAGUGUUUGUUUAAAAAAAUGUAUAGUUGAAAAAGAAGAAAAAAAAUUGGGAUUACAUGUAAUAUUAGUUCAUUGAUGAAUGUGUGAUUAAUAAGAAGAUAGAUUAAAAUAAAUUAUAAUUUUAAUGGGACCAAAAUGGGCUAAAACUCUUAAUUGGGUUUUAAUUAUGACUCCUAUUUGAAUGUGCAAUUUUCAUUUUAUAAGGAUUUUAACUAUUAUAUCUCUAUAAAUAGAGAUUGGAUGGAAUCUAGUUAUCCUACUCCAUGGUGUUCAAAUUUGGAGAAAGAAAAAAAGAAAGUAAUUAUUUUCUUACUUAUAUUCAUAUGGUCAGCUCAAGAAUUAGUUUCUUGAUUUAAUUAAAAAAUGUGCCACCCACUAGGUGUAGUCUUAAUUGUGGAGAAUACCGUAGAAUAGUUGAAGGUUUGAAACAUCGAGUUCUUGGAAUUAAAAGUUGAAAAUUCAUGAUCUAAAAGUCUGGGAAUUCGUAAUUUAGAAUUUACUCAAAAUUUAACAAUCGAAUUUAGGUAAAAAAAAAAAAAAAAAACCGAUUUCUUUAUUCUUGAUAUAAUAUACAUGUGAACUUUAGACGAUCUCAUUUAUUGAAUUAAAGAAAUUUUUUAAAUUUCCGAUUAAUUCUUCUUUCGCAUUUCAAAAUGAAUAUUUUUUGUAUAAUAUAGGAAGUGUAAUACUUGGUCCCAAUUCUUUGCUUUUAAGGACUCAAUGGCCAUAAUUAUGCUAAUUUGACUUGACCCUAUUAAUUUAAUCAAUAUUUACUCAAUGAAUAAUUAAUCCUUUUAUUUGGUUCCAUUAACGAUUUUUAUCCUGAAAUAGGAGUCAAUUAAAUUAGAAAUUGGUGUAAACUACUUAACUUGGAAUAAACUCACAUAACAUGAAUAUAAAGCGAAGGAUUAUUGGAACAAGUCAAGAUUGUUAGCCAAAUUGUAAGCAUGCAAUAUAAUAAAAAUAUCAUACAAAUUAAUGAAAUUUUAAUGGAACUUAAUGCAUGUUAAAUUUAUAAUUACUAGGAACGUCGAUUGUUUAUGGCGUUUAAGGUGCAUUCCAUUGCAGCAAAUAGUUAGCCAAGACUACAAUGAUUAAAUAAUUCAAUAGUAAAUGUAAUAUAAAUGCAACGAAGCAAGAUAGAUAUGAUAAUAACUAAAAUUAAGAACCUGGCUUUACAAAAUUCUAUCCAUUAAAAUAAAUUUCGUCCUCAAGAUUAAAUUUUAUCAAGUAAAUGUGGGUAUUUGGCAAAAAUUUCCAUAAAAAUCUGUUCAUGAACUUCAAUAUACAACAUGCAAAGCAUAUGCAAAUUAGAAUGAACUUUAAUCAUGGACUUGAAUUAAGUUUAAGACAACCCUUUUUUAAAGAAUAUAACACGUUUUAUCAUUUCAAAUUCACUUUAGUAUAACAUAUUCAAAAUUCAUGUAAGUCCAUAAUAUAAUUAAUAAAAACUCAUAUUCAUAUUUCAACCUAUCGACAUAGCACACAUAAAUCUUAUAUCGAGAUAAAAUCCUAUAAAUAAUAUUUAAGUUCUAGUAGAAAAAUACAUUUGAAAGAAUUUAAUAAUCAUAUGAUUUUAAAAUCAAUUCAAAAUUAAUAAAAUCAACUCAAGAUAACGACUUGUGGUGACAUGGACUUAAUAUUGAGAAACAUAAAUGACAUCAAUAAAUAUCAAUGACUUAUUAGUUUAAAAUAAUUUAAAAUGAAAGGCAUUUCUCAAUAUGUACCCACUUUUAUUUAAUUUCUUUAAAAACUUUAAUGUUGACAUCGUGAGUUCACUUGGAGUAUCACUAACUAAUCAAAAUGCAGUGUGCAAUUAUUAUAUGAAACUCGAUUCGCCCUACCAGCAGUAUCGCAAAGUGGUUAACAAUAACAUUGUCAUUAAACAUUGGUUGGAUGCCUACCCCUCAUUUUCUAUUCACGCUUUUCAUGGCAUGGACAUACAGCUCAUAAUACAAUAUAUUCGAGAUACUUAUCUAUUUGAAAUAGUCAUUGACUCAUUGACAUUUGGAAAUUUUUUAUUUCUUAAAACUUCAUGUAUGCUUAUAAAUGCAUUUGCAUAAAUGAAUAUGUCAUGAGAAGCAUUUAUGACAUUAAAAGUAAUGAUCAAAUUUCAUGUUCACGUAAGGACAAUUUCAAUAACAUAUUUAUACAUUUAAGCAUGACAUACGCAUUAAAAUAAAGAGAUGUUUACUUACAUUGAAUCCUUAGGAAUUUUUUUUUUUUUAAACAAAUGAAGUUGUCCCUAGCUCCCGACAACAAUAUGCCAUGAGUCCUAUAUCAUUGUCAUUUAUUUGGGAACAUGAACAUACUUAUUCUUUCUUUUUUUUCAUCGGUAAAUGUAAAUUUUCAUUGAUCAAAAUUUUUCAUAUACAAGUACACCGUGCAUACCCAAGCAAACAAAAGCUAAUAUCAAAUACAACUACUCUAGGGCAUACCCGAGAGAUACAAAAUAAGUGAACUACUGAACAAGUCAAUGACCCAACACUAAGGACUUGAUAUAGAUCAAGACAUCCAGAUAUAAAGAGAAUAUAACUUUGUAUACGUGUGUCAUGAUUCGUCUCACAAUGCAAUCCAAGUUAGGUGAAAGGUCUUCAAAAAUCUUCCUAUUACGUGUUAACCAAAUGUAGUAGACUGUACUUGCAAGUGCAAUCCUCUUUGCCUUGCUUUGUCAUGAUGUCCCACAAGCCUCUUUUUUCAACCACUUAAGAGCACUAGCAAUUGUUGACAUAGAUCUUUUGAUGUUGAGCCAAUGUCUAAUAUUCCCCCAUAUGGAUGAAGUGAAAGAACAUUCAAAGAAUAGGUGACAUCCCGUUUCCACCAUAUGUCCACAAAAAACACAAUUAAGAUCAAUAUCCAAAAAUUGUAAUUUAUCUUUCCUUAGGGUUUAGAUUGAACCCCUAACCAAAGCAAAAAGGAGUGCUUUGGAGUUAUGCACGGUCUCCAAACAUCGACAGCCCAAAUCUUCUUUGUACCCCUCGGUCUAAAGAAAUCAUAGGCCAUUUUUGUGCUGAAUUAUUCACCUGUCGACCAGCCAUGAAAACUGUCCAGAAAUCCCAGAAAACGGUUGCUGUUUUGACCUGUCGACCAGCCCUGAAAUCUGUCCAAAUUACCUUGAAAUCGGCCCCUGUUUUGAGGAAGACCAGCAUCCUGACUUGAGGUAAAAGCAUCAUUAACAAACAGGUUAUUUCCACCAUCCACCUGAACGAGCAUCACAUGUUGUCCUUGUCCGAGAAACUGGGGGGCAGCAACCAUUUUAAGCCAUAGAUCUCUAAUUUCCAGCAGUUUUUUGAAGAGUGGAGAGUGAUCUUUCUUAGGUAGAACAUCCCAAAUGCAAGUCCCUUUAAGAUAAACAAGGUGAACCCAACGUAUCCAAAGAGUGUCCUUUUUAUGUUGGAUAUUCCAAAGAGAUUUAGCAAGUAGAGCUAAGUUCCAACUCUUCAAGUCUUUCAACCCGAGGCCCCCUUCAUCCUUUGGAAGGCAAAGAUCCUUCCACGCCACCAAAGGCUUCUCGGAUCUCCAAAGAAAUUUCCGGCCUAGGCUAACAAUUCUUAAGAUAAUUGUAGCUGGGAUAGGAAAAAUAGAAAACUAAAAGCAUUCAACUCCUUGGAGCAUCGCUCUAAUAAAUUCCAACUUACCGGCAUAAGAUAAAGAUGAGCAAUUCCAAGCCCUAAUAUAAUCAGCAAUUUUAUCAAGGAAUAGAGCAUAACAACUCACUUUGAGCUUCUCCGAAGCGAGAGGAAUACCCAAGUAACGGAAAGGCAUAGUACCUUUCGGUAUAUUUGUGACUUCCAUGAUAUUAUCAAGCUCAUACCCAUAAAUUUUAGCUGUAUACAAGCUGGAUUUUAAAGUGUUCAUCCUCAAACCCGAUGCAAAACCAAAGUUGGUAAGGCAAUCCAUAAGAAUUUGCACCGACAUAACAUCUCCCCUUGCAAAGAGCAUCAAGUCAUCCGCAAAAGCUAAAUGAGUUAUCUUUAAGGGGCUAGAUUUGGGGUGAUAAUUGAAUUCACUAUCAUUUGUGGAUGCCUUAAUCAUUCUAGAAAAAUAUUCGAGACAAAGCACGAACAAAAAGGGAGAGAACGGAUCACUUUGUCGAAGACCUUUCCCACCCUUGAAGAAGCCAUGCAUACUCCCAUUCAAAGCUUUGGAAUAUGUUGGAGAAGUAAUACAUUCCAAACCCAUUGUAUAAAUCUCAAAGGAAAGUGCAACCCUUCAAGUACUUCUUUAAGAAAAUCCCAAUUUACCAAAUCAUAAGCUUUCCUUAUAUCAAUUUUUUGGAGGCAUCUUGGAGCUACCCUCUUUCUAUUAUAUUGUCUCAUGAGUUCUUGGGCAAGAUGAAUACUUUCCGUCAUACUCCUACCUUCAAUAAGAGCGGCUUGUGGUUGAUCCACAAUGUUUCCCAAGAUAGGCCUUAAUCUAGAAGCAAGGAUUUUAGUGAUCUCUUUAUAGAUGACAUUACAACAAGAUAUGGGCCUAUAAUCCCCAACACUAGGUGCGUGACUUGACUUUGGCCCCAAAGCAAUGAUCGUAUGGUUGAUUUGUUUGAGGAUGGAUCCCGAUGAGAAGAAUUCCAUGAUAGCCUCCACACAAUCAUGUUCAAUAGUUCCCCAUGCCGUUUUAAAAAAACAUGAAGUGUAACCAUUCGACCCGGGAGAUUUAUCAUCUCCCAUCCCAAAUAGAUCUUCUUUGAUCUCAUCACUAGAAAUGUCUCGGAUCAAUGAGUUGCUUUCCUCCAAAGAUACCAAAGGCCCGUUGUUAAUAAUUUCCAUGUCAAUAGGCCAAACCGGCUCUUUUUCCCCUAACAAGUUGGUGUAAAAAUUGACAAAUUCCCGAGCAACUUGGUCAUGUGACGUAGUAUACAUCCCAUCCUCUUUAAUAAUAGUAGUAAUAAAGUUUCUCCUUGUGAUCCUUUUCACCACCGAGUGAAAGAAUUUAGUACACUUAUCACUUUACUUAAGGAAAAUGCACUUAGCUUGUUGAUAAUAAAAGCUACGUUCCGCUUCACAUAAUCCCAUGGCUUUCUUUCUUAAUCUUGCCACCAUAACUUGAUAAUGCUCGUUUGUAGGUUGAUCAUGAAGUAUGAGUUGGGUAGCAUCCAAUUCACUUUUAGCCUCAUUUGCCCGAGUUGAAAUGUGCCCAAAGUGCUUAAUAUUAAGCUCCUUCAAUGCUCCUUUUAAUUUGCGCAACUUCUUACAAAGAAUAAAUUGCUUUGUUCCCACCACAUUAAAAUUCCAGCUCGCUUGAACAAUAUCAUAGAAGUCCUCGUGGUUUGUCCACAUGUUAAAGAAUUUGAAUGAUUUCCUAGUGUUCAUCAUAUGGUCAUGAAUGGAAACAAUGCAUGGAGAAUGAUCGGAAAGGCAUCCGGAAGGCAAAAAAUCAGCAAAGACAUGUGCACCAUUUUGUACCCAAAUGUCAUUCACCAUACCCUAUCGAGUUUGCUCCGCACCGAUUUAUUAGUCCAUGUGUAAAGCCAACCAACAAAGCGCACAUCCGUAAGACCAACAUGAAGGCAACAAUUAGCAAAGUCUUUAAUUUCAUAAGGAGUAACUUCUGCCCCAUUGCUUUUCUCAUCAAAUUUGAGCACAUUGUUAAAAUCACCAAGAAUCAUCCAAGGUAAUGACACAUUUGCAUUGAAAUUCAUAAUGUUGUUCCAAAGCGGUCUCCGGCUAACAAUUGUAUCAAAAGCAUAAACAAAGCUAACAAGGAAAAUAUAAGAUGUUAUCUUGCAAGUAGCAAUACAAUGGAUGGCUUGUGGGUUAGUCUCCAAAACUUCCAACUUGACUUUAGAUUAAUUCCACAAGAUCAAAAUCCUGCCGGCUCUAUGAGUGCAAAAAUUGUUGGCUUGCAUGAAACCAUCAAAUUUAUUCUGCAUAAUUCGGAUCAACUUUCAAUCUCCAAGCUUUGUCUCCAAAAUACCCAUAAAAUCAAUGCAAUGUCGCUUGAUAAAAUCUCGAAUCCCAUUUUGUUUGAGGGGGGAUUCAAGCCCCUAAUAUUUCAAGAUGCAAUCUUCAUGAUUUUGAAGCGAGGGAAGUUCCCUUCUUGUCAAUUUUAGUUCCCAUUUUCCUUUGCUCAUUGACCUUUCCUUUGAGCAUUUCAUUGCUAGACUUAUUAGAAUCUGCCCAUCUAACAUUUGAUGUAGAAUCUGCCCCCAAAUCUUCCCUUUGACAGCCUUCAUCUGCCGACACUUGAGAAGGAGUAAUACGUGCUGAAUUUUUUCCAUUUUUCCUGUUAACUACCUUAACAAAAGGGGAAACUGUCUGGUCAUGAAUCUGCCCUUGCUGGCCAUCUACAACCUGUGAAAAAUUCUGAUUGAGGGACUGCCCCUGCUGGACAUUUAAUUCCCUAUCUUGCUGUCCAUUUUUUCCGGCUGAAUUCUCAUGAGAUUUUGAUGCUGUCUUGUCUGAAGAUAGCUGCAAAUUUGAAUUUGUACACAACUUCCCAGCAUGGACGUUCUUUUCUAGUGCAGCCGGCAUGGAGGCUUUUGAUGUCUCACCAUUUACAAGCUUCCCCUUGUCAGCCAUGGCAUGUUUAUUGUAAUUGCAACCGAGAGUGGAAUGCCCAAACACUUUACAAGAACCGCAAAAUUUUGGUUCAUGCUCAAAUAUAAUUUCUUGCUCCCUCAAAAUGCCAUUAGGAAGCCUUAUCUUUUCCACCCGCACAAGCUCAAUAGAUGCACCAACUUCAAUUAGUGCUCUUGCAUAUGAUAGUCUACCUCUACUUGCCAUGACCUUAUCGGUCGAUAUGGGUUUACCAACUUUGGAGACAAUUUUACUCAAAGCAUUCGUGUUCCAAAACUCCAAUGGCAAUCCCGACAAGUUGAUCCAUACCGGCAUAGUGCUAACAUCCUUAUCAUCAAAAUCAAAGUAACGGGGCAUGACUUUUAACAUUAAUGGUCUUCCAUAUACAAAGUAGGGACCACCAUGCAACACACUUAGUCUUUCCAAGUCCGUCUCAAAUUUGAAGACCAACCACCCGCUCGAGUGCACAAAGUAUUUGUAAUUAACCUUCCACGAAUCACACAAUUGGAGUAAGGCCACUUUCCCCGGAAACCUACUAGCAAAAUACCCAACAAGCUCAUAUCCCCAAGUAUUUUCAAUAUUAUCUUCAUCCGAUUCACCCAAGACAAGUUCAUCCAAAUGAUUUUCGGAAGGUUUUAACUUAAUAUUUUCCUCCAUUUUUCUAUUGUCUUUAAAAAGAUUUACCCAUGGAGCUUUUGUAUCUUUCACACCAUCAACAUUAAUAUUUUUGGGUUCUUCAAUUACACCGAAUGCGAUUCAAAAUCAGAAUUUUCAGAUUCCGUAUCAUUUUCACCAAGUGUUAAUGAUACACUAGGUGAGGGCAGAUUUACCUUAUUAUCCUCCACGAAAUUGGUCUUCGAAUUGGCAACAACACCCCCCUCCAACAUCAGCCUGCUGACCAGCUAGGGGUUUAAGCGGAGCCAACCCACUAUAUUGGCCAGCAACAGAUUUUUUCUUCCCCGUGCAGAACAGAAAACGGGGGCAGCUGGGAAGAUAAACACGUGCAGGACAAAGACCCAACAGGAAGAAGAAAAACAGCCCAAAAAAUUAACCCAAUAGGAGAUAUACCAGCCCAACACGUUCAGGCCUAAUCUGGCGUAAAAAAAUGGGGGAGAAAUGGGCCACCAACAGAAUUCUGGGAAUAAGAAUAAAAGGCCCAAAAGGAGAGAUAAAAUACCCAAAAACCAGCCCAAACGUAGGCCCAAUAAGGGGGGAAGGGCCGGGUCAAAGGUAUAAUAAUGGCCCAAAGAAAUCCAGCUGAAACAGGCCCAAAUAAAGGACUCGACUCACACCGAAACCCAACAGAAAGUCUGCAAAUAAAUGUUUGAAAACUUUCCCAAAGAGGAAAGCCAAGGAUCGCCUGAUUAAACUUACAAUGGCUCAAAAAUAGAUUGCAAUUAAUGAGAAAUCACCCAAAAUGGAAGCCCUUCAGACCGACACCAAAAUAUGCAAUAAAAGAAUCUGAAAAUGGAUGGACCAGUCUGCAAAUCCAGGAACCACAGCUUUGACCAGAACAGUCCAGCAACGGUCAACAAGUUCAGAAUCGAGAGACCACCAAUACAUACAAAAUACAUACAGUCCCAGCACAAGGAAGAAUACCAAGAACACACGCUAGUCCCAGGCAAAUCGAAAAUCAAUCCCAAACUGAAACUGAAGAAGAUAGAACCUGAAGAAGGCUGGACAACCCAAAACGAAGCAACGUCCAAACAAAACCCAGCUGGAAAAUACUGAAAAGCAC
This 158948-nucleotide long non-coding RNA is filed under the name Olea europaea (common olive). RNAcentral's name for it is "long non-coding RNA (OEUR_LNC010326)". The record is from RNAcentral. Lineage: Eukaryota; Viridiplantae; Streptophyta; Magnoliopsida; Lamiales; Oleaceae.